AUCGAUAAGGUUGGUUAGCAAAUUUGGAGUCCUUAUCCUAGUUAAGAGCACUAGGAAUCCUUCAAGAGAAUAGCAAGUUGAUUCUUGGAAGUUUGAGGGCUUAUGCAAGGUGAUCAAAGAGGUUCUUAAGAAGGGUUUUAGUUGGAAUGACUUCUGGUCAUGACAAUUGCUGCCUUCAAUUCGCUCAAGAUCCAUGGUGGAAAAGAUUUCCAAACCCUAAGUCAUUUUGGGCCUGGUGGAGGCACGUCGUGAGAGAUGAGAGCGGGGAGGAGUUCCAAACCCUAACUCUAUCUUAUAUAUGUCACAAUCAUAUUGAGCUCGAUGGCUCCGAGCAUGUUUCUAGAGGUGGGCCGCCCACCUUUGUAAACGAAUUACAGAGAUAGAUGUUUUUGGACUGCCUCCUUAAGUAGAGCUACCACCACCGAAAAUUAGGAUCUUUUUGGGAGGCACUAAGAAUUUCUAACCACCUCCAUUAAUAAAAUCCCUUAUCUCCUAAAAUAUUUUAUGUAGUAGUGCAAGUCUAAAAGAUAAAAGCUUGAACAGAAAAUUCAAAAUCCUUAGUCUCAAAUUGGAGUUUUGUCAAUUUUCCUCCAAAUGGGGAUUUCUAUGUGCUCGUGGGAAAUCUGCCUAAGGCAGCUAUGUUUAUUCGUGAGCCCCUAUAGCACCUAAAGAUCAUUCAACGAUGUCCCAAAUACCUGAGCACAAAUAACUUCGAGAAAAUAACCUCAAGAAAUGGUAUUUUUAGAAGCAAAUUAGCUCGCCAACUGCCUCUAAGAGCAACUCCAACACUACCCUAAACUUCACUUGGCAAAUCUUGGAUUUUGCCAAGUGUAAAGCUCAAAUGCCAAGUGAAAAAAAGAGGCUUCUCCAACAGUUAGCUAUUUUUUUGGCAAAUUUGGACUAUCUUGUGAUUCCUGAAAAAAUCAGAGGGACUUUUAUGCAAAAGUUGCAAUCUAUUUAAGGCAUGCGUGCAUGCUGAAUGUGUGGGUCCCACCGCGUAGGCAGGAUGCCAAGCGCUCCCAACGCUCCUAAAUUUGAGCCAGUUGGCCCUCUUUUUGCCAAGCAUCCUAUUUUGUCAAGUGCAUAUAGGGUAGUGUUGGAGGAGCUUUUUCCAUGUUUUGCCAAAAAUUAGGAUUUGCCAAGUGCAUAUAGGGUAGAGUUGGAGUUGCUCUAAUAAAAUAGCAUACAUUUCUAGAGGCGGCUGGAGUUGUCUCUAAAAAAUUGAUUUUUAGAGACGAGUUGACUCAAAAACAAUUUUUAAAGACAGAUUUUUAUAAAGUAGCCUCUACCCAAAAAUUGAGACGUCUCUAAAAAUGGACUAUGACUGUAGACCUGUAGCUGGAGCAGGCUUGGUAUUUGUAGUUUAGAAGUUGCAGCGGCAGCGAGAGUUGGUGUGGCUUGUACCAUACUCCUAUUAAGUAAAGGAAAAUUGAUAGUAGUAUACAGCCUAAUGAGACAUAGACCAAUCUAUUUCAUUUUUGUACUCAUUAGAUAAUCGUUUAAUCAUUUCGCAAAAAGAAAAAAAUGGAUAGACACACUUAAUAAUACACAGAGUGAUGAAACAAUAUAACAUAAGCACAGGAUAAAAUAUGAGUACAUUUAUUGUCCUUAGCACAGACUGAUACACUAUAAUUAUAAUCACUCUCUCCGGUACAAAUUAAGCAGCAACAGGGACACAGUUCACAUCACAAAUCAUCUGAUUAAUUUGGUAUAAGAUUAUUGUAAGGUUUGGCCAUGAUCCAAAGCAUGGACUUCUUUCUUAACGUUAUCCCAAAGAUCUCUGCCAUAUCAAAUUCUUCCAACUUGACGCCAUCAGGUAGAGUCCAAUCAAAAUGGUAAAGAAGGCUAACAAGAGCCAGCUCUAGAUUGGCCAAACCAAGCGUUAUGCCAGGGCAUAUUCUCCUACCUGACCCAAAGGGAGUGAACUCGAAGUCAUUACCUCUAAAAUCGACACUACUAUUUUCAAAUCUUUCUGGCCUAAAUUCCUCUGCAUCAUGCCACAAUUUUUUGUCCCUUGCUAUUGCCCAAGCAUUCACGAACACCUUGGUUCCCUUUGGAACAUCGUAACCCAUAACCUGACAUGAUUCACGACCUUCUCGAGGGAGCAACAGUGGUACUGGAGCAUGCAACCGUAAAGUCUCCUUGAUCACCAGCUGUAGGUAUCUCAAUUUGAUCAAAUCACCUUCAGUUAUCUUGUCUUGUCCUUUGAAGGCCUCCCUCACCUCUGAUUGGGCCUUAUGCAUGACUUGUGGAUUCCUAACAAGCUCUGACAUUGCCCAUACUAGAACAGUUGAUGAUGUUUCACUCCCAGCAGAGAAAAUAUCCUACAAUACAAUGUUAUAGUUACAAUUUGUAAAAGGGGACAUUCACAUUUUAAUUCUCAUGAGAAUGUAAUCAGUAAACAUAAGAAUGUAAAAAAAGAAUGUAGGUCAUAAAUUAUAUUCUUGUUCACAUUUUUAUUGAGUGCCAAUCGUGCAGAAUUAAUUAAAUUCUUUUUUAUCAUUUUAGUAAAUAAGAAUUCAAUUUAUAACCUAAAUUCUUAUUUUAUAAAAUACAAAAGAGUUCUAACUAAAAUGAAAUAAGUACAUAUAAGAUUUUCAACUUAACUUGAGGAUUAAGAAACUACAUCAACUAACAAAAUCAAAAUUUAAAAUCAAGAUCAAAUAUGUCAGGUGACAUGGCUAGCAAUAAGAGAUACCAUAACUUAAGCUAUGGUUUUAACUAAAUGUGUAUUGAAGACAAAUGGACGUGCCACGCACAGAGAAAGAGAAAUUAUAAAUAUGGAUAAAAAAUAUAAGGAAUAAUUGAUAAGUUGAUCUCACCGGUAAAGAAAGAAAUAUCUAUAUUGUGUCAAAAAAAAGAAUAAAAAUAAUAGCACAAGGAUAAUUAAUUUGUUUAGUUGUAGGUACUAAACAUGGACUACGAUACCAAAACUUAUUUAGUGUAAUAAAAUUCCAUUUGCCUAAUGCUAAACUAGAAAUAAAUUAGAGACCAUUAAUAAUGGAGAGGUUUUGUAGGAGUGUGGUGUUAGAUAACUAGAAGAUAUCUCGCGCAUUGCUACGAGAAUCGCAAAGAACUUGCUUGGAAUGAAAUUAAAAGAAGAUAAUGUGAAUAGCUUGCAACUAAGGGUCCAUUUGGUAGGAUUUCUCCACCGGCUUCAGUUUGUUUGAAGCCAUUUUCUGCCACACGGUAUAAAAUAAAACGGCUUUGCUAGUGAAACUCCUUAAAACCAGCUUUAUAAGAGCGGAUCUCACCCAAAUAACCGUGCUGACAAUCUCGUUGGUGAGAGCGAACUGCAGGCCACCAUCCCUCUGCAGCCUCAGGAGAACACCCAGAAGGUCCUCCUCGUCUCGCUCUGGCGCCGUCGCCAUGGCUUCAGCUUCACGCUCAUGAAUGAUGCUCCGGAUGAUCCGGUACAUGUUCCUCUGGCACCUCCUCGCGUCCCUCGCGGCGGCGCUGAACCGGCGUACCAGCUGCGAGGACGGGUACAGGUCCGCCAGGUUGAACCCACCAAACAGCCGCACCACUUCGUCUAGCUCAUGCAUGUACUCAUCCCGGUACUUGCACCGGUCGCCGACGACCGUGCGCGCGGCGACGUCGUUUACCAUGCGGCAGAUCCCGUCGCUGAGGUUGACGGGCCGCUGGCCGUCGGCAGACUCCCUGGAGACGGAGCGGAGGAGGUUCGCCACCUCCUCUUCCCGGAUGUUCCGGAACGUGAGCACGCGGCGCUGGCUGAAGAGCUCCACCAUACACAGCUUCCGGAGCUCCCGCCAGUGGGCGUUGUAGGCGGAGAAGAUGAUGUCCUUGCCGCCGCAGCUAAUGAUCUCCAUGGUGACGCUCAGGUUGCGGUCGCAGAAGGUGAGGUCGUGCGUCCUCAUCACCUCCCUGGCGGCCUCGGCGGAGGAGACCACCAGCGUGGGCACGGCGCCGAAGCGGAGCAUCAUGAGGGGCCCGUAGGUUCCGGACAUCUCGCGCAGCGCCCGGUGAGGCAGGUCGCUGAAGCGCGACAGGAGGAGGUGGUGCAGGCUGCCGAUGAGCGGCAGCUGCCAUGGCCCUGGUGGCAGGCGAAGCGCUGGUGAUGGCUUCGUGCGUGAGGACGUGACGUAGCUCCGGAUGAGCCUGAGGAGGAGGAGGGCGAGGAGGACGACGAAGGCUAGAAACUGGAUUCUCAUCAUGUCCAUAUUUUUGCCGGGGAUGGGACAAGUUUGCAGCCAACUGCGUCUCGACAACAUCGAUGACACGUAUUUAUACUAGGGGCUUGCUACCUGAAUUCUAGUUAUAUAUAUUUAUAAUACUAAUAAAAGUGUCCUUGCAACAAGUAAAAAGGUAUAAUGUUAUCCAUAGUUUUUUAUCUUGAAAAUAAUAAUUUUUCAUUUACAUCAUUAUAUUUUUAUUGCACUCAACAUGAUGCUAAAAAAGCAUAUCAUCACACUAUAAAAAAACAAGUUUUUAGGGUUUCUUCCUCUAUAAUAACCGUUCGAUUUGUACGCCGUGCUAUAUGAGUCCUACGUCAUGUAUGAUCUUACUUUUUUGUAUAACAACCGUUCGAUCUAGAUGUCAUGCUAUAUGAGCCCUCCAUCAUCUAUGAUCUUACAUGUAAGAUUUAAGACCCAUAUUCAAUCUCACAGUAAUGCUACCCAUCAUAAGUCAUAUCCUUCUCUCUUGUGUACUGUCGACUCCCUGAUUUUGACUCGACAUAUUUUUCUUCUAUUUAGUAAUCAAUUGCUUCUUCAUCGUGUAACUUUUGCUAAAGUCGAGACCAAUAGCACACAAUUAAUCAAUAGGAGUACAAACCAAUAACGGUAAAAUUAUUAAGAUAGAAUCAUACUCAUGUAUUCUAACGGAAAAAAUAAUAACUUGAUAGUCACUUGCCCUCCAUAUACAAUGGUCAUUUGCACCGACACGGAAGCUAGCAUUGCUUGAUUUGGCUAGUGUUGAUAUACGAGGCGGACACACAUGGCUACCUUUGCGUGCAUCUUCUUGGCUUCGACAUACUGGUCGUGUGUUUUUUUCUUUUGCUAUUUUCUAGCUAUUUAACAAUUAGUUGUUACUAUCAGCGUAAUUUGUGUAAUUUUUUAUUUGUUUUUCUGAAUUUUAUAUAUUAGUUAUUUAAAAGGAAUGAUUUUAAAUAAAGUUUAUAUUUUAUAAUAAAAGACGUUUCUUCUUUACAUACCGUUUUCAAAUUAUGGCCUGCUUUUUGAUUUUUGGCCUUUUUCUUCUUAUAGCUGUUGCAUGCCCAAUUGCCCAUGGUAAAUCCCAGCGUGUUGCCUGUUGGUUAUGCAAAGUUGUAGGUAGGCUACGCGUUGUCCUUUUCCCAAUUUGAUUUUUUUUACCGUUCGGAGCACGGUUCAGAGGUGUAGAUAGAUAGAGAUAAUUUCCAAACUGAAGAGGGUCGACUUUAAAAACCAUAAUUCGAGUAGAGAUUGGAGUUGAAGGAAAAAUAUUACGGAUCGAAGCCUAUACGGACUGGAUAGGCGAAAAAAAGAUGUCUGCUGGACUGAAAUUUUCAUAAUUAUAUAUUAGAAGAAAGAUUGUAGAUUUCGUUCAUUUUAAUUUUCUAGACAUAAUUUAUAAUUUUCGGUACCGAGAAUAAAAAUUUGUUAGACAAAAUUAUAAAUCUGACAAAUGUAUUUGAUCAAAGUUAAUAUUGUUUGACUCCUGAUAAAUGAGAAUAAGCAUUCUUUUAGGCACGGACAAAGAAAUUUAUCCACAAACAUGCGUGAAGAUGUGCUGUACAUACUAUGUACCCGUACUCCGUGAUGUACAAAACUAGGACCAGCAGAGGCUAAUUGUCUCUAUAGCAGCAGGCUACAAUAAUUUGUCUCCGUGGUCCAAAACGUGGGAAGCCUGUUAAGUGGUUGUUUGGUUCACAUAUUUGUUCACUUGUCUAAGUUGUAUUUUUUCUAACAGCCAACAGUGUUUUUCUUUCAUAAUAAAUCAGCGAAGAAUAUUUUCAACUAUAACUUUUCAGAUCAGCGAACAUGCUAGUCUCAUUUACUUUCAUUUAGUCAUUUUUUAUCUAAACACUAUAACUAAAUGAGGUUAAAUGGACUUUAGUCAUCUCUAGCAAUUCUGGAAUAACUAAAUAAGACUAAACUAUUUAGAAGGGACUAAAGUUUAGCAGCCCGAAAAACACCCGUGAUGUCCAUCCAUCCAUUAUAUAAGUUGUUGCUAGGCAGCUAGGGUCUUAGUAUUUUCGUUUUAUUUUAGUAAUUAGUAUCUAAUUAUGGAAUCUCUAGAUUUAAAAGAUCCAUCUCAUAAUUUAUAGAUAACUUGUACAAUUAGUUUUUUUAUCUAUAUCUAAUGUUGUAUGCAUGUGUCCAAGAUUUGAUGUGAUAGAUGAAAAGUUUUUAGGUGAAACUAAACAAGGCCCAGGUAUAACUAGGGACGGGAUAGAUAUGCAGCCAACUACGUGACGACAAAAUCUCGAGGAGCUGACACAGAUAUAUGGACUAGAUAGAUUUUAAUAAUAUAAUAGUACGUAUCAAUAAUGUAGGAAAUAAUGGUAUACUAUACUAGUUCAUAGGAUUCAACUGAAUAUUUUUGACAACAACGUCGUAUUGUGUUUGAUACUUCCACGCAACUACAGGUUAUUAGUGGCGUCGGUCCACGAAUGUGUACGUGCACGCCGCCUUUCGUUCAAGAUAUACUAUAUGUUAAUUCUGUAUUUGUUUGUAUAUAUAUAUACGCUUAAUUAUAAGACAGCGAUAGGCAACGGAAUAUAUAUAUACACACACGAAGAAAAAUCGCUGGAGUAAAGAUAGAAGCUUGUGUAGAUAUUCUCGCUAUGGAGUAGUAGUUCCAAUCAUAUAUAUAUUGUGCCGCUGUGAGAAGUAGCCAAUCACCAAACAGGAGUGCUCAGCUCACUGAUGGCACGUCGUCUAUCCGUAGAGGCGUAGACGGGUGCAUGAGUGCAAAUGGACAUGCAUGGUUUCGAGGACUUCCCAACACACCCACAGGGCCACAGCCCACAGGUGAUGUUUGUCUCCAUGUUUCCCUCCUAUUUCCGCUGCUAUUAAUUCUCGUUGCUACGUGUUUGUUUCAGCAGCAGCGGAGCCAUUCGCACAAGGGUCGAAUCCGGAUACCGGAAACGUCGUUACCGCCCACUCCAGGCCUUAUCGGUUUAGGGCAUGUACAAUCUAGAUAGGGUCCGUCUCUAAGACCAGUCGCAAUGUAUAGUUUCAUGGUAGUUACCAAGACUAUAAACUAGGUAACCGAGUCAUAUGAGUUUUAUGAGGAUGAAAACUCCUCUCUCAUCUGAUGAGACUGCUUCAUUUAAUGACCCUGUCAAGUCAGCAAUUUUGCUUAUGUGGCACCUUAUUUAAUGUGCAUGAUACUCUCAUGAAACAUGCAUUGAGAUUGACCUAAGUAUCUCGAAUCUAUGAUACAGACAGAUAUAAAGACAGAUUAUACAAUCCAUACUUGGGGGUUCUAAGGCAUUUAAUAAUUUGCAUGUAGCUAAGAUCAACUAUGGAUAUCAACUUGUAUACCACUGUGUGGCCGUUUGAUAGAAGACAAGUUCAAGUAUAAAUAAGAUGAACAUAAUUAUAAUAUUUUAAAACCACUAAUAUAAUAUAUAUUAUAUAUAAAGAUGAACAUAAUUACAUAAGCACACUCAAAGAGGUCAGUCCACCUAAUAAUCUUGUGCCAUGGAUCCUUGCAUUGCUUUAGAUUCCUUUUCCUACGGGGUGGAGCUGUCUUGUUGUAUGAUUGAACAACAUCAGACCAAUAUUGGUUGCCACCUAUAUUAGCUCCACAGGUCGAAACUGUUGAAUGUUCUAUCCAAGAGCUCAUGCAUCAAGCUGACAUCCUCAUUCUUUUUCCAAGGAAUUUGCUUCUCAGUCCUAGCAUUUUCAUCAUCAGUGUCAACUAGUUCAGGCUACUGCUUGUCCACUCUCUCUACUUCUACUGGUAAAAUUUCUUCAUGGUUGUGAACAGGUGCACCAACCUAAAAAUUGUGUGGCUGGUUUCCAAAGUAACUCAUAAACCCACCAGGUGGGCAUGGGUCGUCUUUAUCCCUGCAGGAAACAUAACAUCACUAAAAUGACUCUAUACAACAUUACUUUAAUUUGCACUAUCUGCUUCUCAUUCACACUAACAAAUAUCAAAUAGUUUAUAAGAAACAGAGCAUUAGUUUCAUUCUCAAACAUUUGCAACAAACAUCAUAGACCUUCAAAAGGAUCUAUGACACUACAUGCAGGGAAUAAAAUAUGUCAUUUGUCAACCAUGAUGAUCUGACCAGGAUGAACACACAUGCAGCCCAUAGCCACCCUCCUGCUAUUCUUCCCCAAAUAAGAUGAAACAAAUUGCAAUAUAUACAACUUAGCACAUUCAGCAGCUACCAAAGCUCUGUUCACAUUCAGAUACAGCUAGCAAGUUCACGCAGGUUCACAUUCAGAUAAUAACUAGCAAAGCUCUAUUCACUAACAGAUAAGAUAGAAUUUCACUAACAGAUAGGAGCAAGUCCAGAUCAAUUCACAGGUCAGGUGAUUAACAAGAUGGAUCCCAAGCUGCUGAGCGCACAAACGAAGGAGAAGCUGGAUCAACGUUGGUCGAAUUCCACCAAGCAGUAGAUGGUGAAGUGGGGAAUGGAAACCCACCGAAGACGAUGGAACCGUCGCAGCACUGGGGAAGGCACCUCCACUAGAUGUACCAAUGGAGAUAGGAGGUGUUGCCAUGCUGUUGCUGAGGGAACAGGAGAUGGGGGUACCCCGGUGCCACCACCGCUGAUCCACUUCCGCGACCUAGGGUUCAGCCCAGGGCAUCCGCGCCCAACGAUGAGCCUCCACCACGACUGAGGUUGUAGUUCGACGCCGUCGAGAUGGCUCCGCGACCGAAGGUGUGCACCGGGAACACCGCUAUCGCUGUCGCCGCAGUUGACGCAACAAUGGGGGUGUCCUUGCUCUUCUUGUUUGUGGAAGCUAGUUUGCACUUCCUCGCUGAGGUGCUAAACAUCGCAGCCACCAAAGGUUGGGGUGCCCGAUUGAGAAAGAAAGCUAGAGUGUUGUGGCUGCUUCACCGGUGAAAUAGGGAUGAGGCAGAGACGGAUUUGGCGGGACUGCUCCCUCCCAUGCGCGCCAAAACUUCAUUAGCAUGCACGCGAGUGCCCCAGAUCCGCGCGCCGUCGAGACAAGGGGACGACUCCUACAAUGCUGCUCGGCUGGUCUCCUUUGCAUCGGUGCAUGGGACGGCUCCGUCGCUUCACGAGACGACGGAAUAGUCGUCUUCAGGCCACAACGGCACAACAGAUUUUUUUUGUAAAAGUACCCACGAAAGGACGGGGUGAAGAGUUUUUAUAAAAGUACCCACGAAAGGACGGGGUGAAGAGCCCCGUUGUACAUACCCUUAUUACGCAACUCACGUGAGAAUGGAUAAAGGAUAUCUUAGGUUGGAUCCUAUGAACUAAUAAGUAUAAUUGAAAGUUUAGUCUUUAAAGAUCUAAACAAAUGAACUAGUUAGUGAGCUAACAACUAGCGAAAGCCUCAACUAAUUGUUACUUCACUAGCAUAUAGAGCCCAACUAGUUGGGCUAAUCACUAAUUCUAGUUCAUCCAAACAGCUCCUUAACCAACCAAACAAAUUGUCGUUUUUCAUUUCAGGCAACAGGUAGGGGCGGCACCCAUUUUCAUUUGCAGUACAGCCCCGAACUAAACAGAGAAAGAGAGACACACAUUUGGCGGCCAAAAAAUCUGGGUUUUGAUCUAUCAUUUUGCAUAAUAAAACUAAACAUCAUGCAAAAAUUUUUAGCAAAAAAAAUUAUUCUUCAUUUUGGAUUUUGGUCUCAGGAGGCCAAAAGCCCAAAAGAGUUACAAGAGACCAUAAUAAGAGCAAUAAAUUCUGUAUUCUAGACAAAACUAAAUAUAACCUUAAAAAUGUUAGUAUUUAGUAUUUUAUCAUUUCAAGGUAGUCGGCAUUUUGCAUUUUGCAUUUUAUGGGAAAUUAAACACCCCCUAGCACAACCAAAUCGUCAACUCCCAACACUGCAGGCUUGAUGGAGCAUCAUUACCACGCUUCGGUUGAAGCUAAGAGCUGCAAAGCAUUUGCCAGUGCCAUUACCACCACCAUUUCAUGUUGCAUGGCUUGACCGGUCGUAAGAGUCCCAUGCACGUCGCAACUCGCACAGGCAUUGCUCUUGCUCGCGGUGCCAUGAUUGCGCCUUUCACAAACUCAUAGUUGAUCAAUUGGAGCACUUGCGAUUAUUGAAUCAUUAUUGUACUACCAUUUAGUAUGAGAUUUGAAAUUUACUUAAUUUAAUUGGAUAAAUAACAGGCCAUAUCUAAUUAAUUAAGUCCAAGAGCUAACAAUUCCAGGCUGUAAUUAAUUGUGCGAGAUGAUGUGUUCCUAGUCCACGAUGACCUUGAGAAGGACAUUGAGGAAGACGAAGGCUGCAAACGAGAUCCUAGUUUCCAUAUCUGCCAGGGAUGGGAUUUCGGUGAGCUAGCUUAAAUAUAGAGUAUUAUGGCAUCUAGAAAUUAACAAUAAUACAGCAAUGCUUUACAGCACUCAAGUGUUUUACAGCAAUUCAACACUCAAUUCCUUUCUGUUCUCUUCCUCUCCCUCUCUUCUUCUCUAACUCUGGCAAGCUUAGAUGAGACUGUGGGAGGCAGGUCGGCCAAAUGGUGGAAACGGCAGGAGGACGACGGUUAGAGUUCCAGCGGUGUAGGAGGCGGUCGAACUAGGUCAGGGCGAGGGCAUCUAUGGCCAUACGACGGUGAGGGGAGGAGAAGAAGAAGGUUGUUGUGGGCGUAAUAGGGUCUCAUCGGAGCUCAAGACCCUACUGCACUGAGGCGGGGCAGUGGACGACGGUAGGGCAUCGGGAGGAGGAAGAGGACGAUGAAGAAAAAAUCAAGUGUUCUCGAGAGCCAAAACACUCAAGCGACAGAUGAUAGAUCCUAAUAUAGAAAUGCAACAAUGUAUCCAAAGUAUGGAGGCACUGCUGUGUUUGUUAUUCCCAUCCUAGAGGUAAUCUUUGGUGUCCACAGGGAGAUAUUUAUUUUGUUCGUGCCUCUCGAGCCUCACCAUAUCAAUUCUAAUUAUGUUUCCGUCUAAUGCUCCGUAUAUAUAAUACGCUAAUAAGAUAGUGAAAUAGACGAAACUGAUCGACACAUUAGGUUUUUUUUACAACAAAUAUUUUUCAUUUGAGCAGCAGGACGCUGCAAUCAGUCUAACAGACUGAAGGUUUACAUCUAUCAGAUGCAUCAGGAAUGGGCACUGAUAGGUAAGGCUCUGAUGAGAGCAUACAUGAUGGAAGAAAGAUUCAACAGGAACAAUAACUGAGAAAGCCUGUCUAUCUAAAGCAUAUGUUGUAUUAUUUAUGUUCCUAUUGAUUUUGAAGAUCAUGGCAUGACAUUGAUCACCUGUGUUCCUGAACAUCUGGGUGAAAAAGGUUUUAUCCUCCAGUCUACAGGAUGUUCUUGGUCAUCUUCAUGUAGGAAUUGUACUAGCUGCUGGUUAUUAGUGAGAAAGGUGGUGUCAGUGAAGUUGAGUCGUUCACUAACAACUGCUGCUAGAGCAAGUGCUACAACUUCCGCCAUGAGGACUGAGUGGACUUCCAAGGCUUGUGCUGUGAUGUAGAUGGUUUGUGUGGUUGUACCUAUGGAUUGACAAAAAAUCCCAAGUCCUAUAGCUAUAUACUGCCUGGUUGGUUGGUCAUACCUUAAGGAGGCAUCAAUGAAGCAUCUGACUCCUUGGAUGAGCUCCAAUAUAGAGAUGAAGUAUUUGUCUGUCUAAGGUGAAGCUCUUGCAUUAGAUGUGAUAAUACCUGGUGAAGUCGGGGUGGCUUGAUUUGUGAGCAUCAUUUUCUAGGGGGUUUGUGCUUGUUGUUCCUCCAUAGGGUGUGAGGUGCAGGUUCCUCCUGUUGGUGCUGCAUGUGAUCAGGUGCAGGCGUCUCCAUCUGUUGAGGUGUGUGGCUGUGAUCCUACGAAGUAAUAGCAAUGGCAGUUUGCGUACCUUGUGCAGUCAUUUGUGGGGGUUGAGGUGGGAUAAGUAGAGUGUCGGUUUGGUGGCUGCUAAUGUGGGCUACGACCACAUGGUGUACCUGCCAUGGAGUCCAAGUUUUUCUGUGAAAUCAAAUAUCAUUCCUAGCUUUCCACAAAUACCAGAAAGUGAUUAGUAAUUUGUUGAAUACAGUAGAUGGGAUGGCGGCGGGGAUGAAGCUUGGUAGGAUUAGUUGCACGCCAUUAGUAUCUUGAGGUAAAUUGUCAGUGCAAAGAAGGGGAUUUGAUGAGAAUACUGUUGUGGGAGGUGAUAGUGGAAGAAUAGGUGGGCAUCAUCCUCCACCACGCCAUAGGAACAUAGUGCUUGUCUAUGUGGGGGAGUAUCUCGCUGCUUGUUUUGUUGUAGCUAGGGCUCUUUUGAUGAGUCUCCAAGUGAAGGAUUUAACUAGAGAUGGUGGCUCCUUACUAUUCCAUUCUCUCUGCAUAAUGGAGUUAGCAUGGGGUCCACCUCAAGAUGUCAUGACCAUCACUAUGAAUAGUUGGUGUUACAGUUAUGACCUGUACAUCCUAAGCAUCAAAGAUGUUAGUGAUGAGGUGAACAUUCGUGUUAUGGGAAUUUGGUUGCUAAAGAUUAGAGAAAUGGUUGGCAUUGGAGAUUGAGUAGCUAGCAGGAUCAUGUGGUCAUGGAUAGAGUUCCGAAUGGGCACCAAGGGGUGGACCAUAUAGAACUGUUACUUGAAUGGAUCUAGUAGACAGAGUUGGAGCGAAGUUUAGUUUUGACCUACAAAAUAGAAGACCAGAAGAUUGAUCUAGGACCAGUGGUGUUGGCUUUCCAAAAGGAGGUGUUGUGGAACUAUUUAGCCUUAAGGACAGAGGUGAGCAUGGGGUUUUUAUUAGUAGCAAUGUUUGCCAAGACCCCCAUUCUUCUUGGGCUAGCAAAUGUCUUCCCAAGACAUGAACGCAAUGGGAGAUGUAGGGUUGUCUUUCUAGACUCUAGUGCACCAAAAUUUCCUGAUUAUAGUGUUGAUUUUACCUAUCAUAGUAUUAGAAAAUAGCACAGUACACAUGUAGUAUACAGGGACCAAAGCUAGGACAGAUUUGAUGUAAGUCAGUCUCCCUGCAUGAUUAAGCUUGUUAGCUUUCACAGUAGUUAACUUAGCUCUAAAUUUUUUAAGAAUAAACUCAUAAACCUUAUUCCGAUCAUUACGAUUAAAAUAAUCAGGUGGCCCAAGGUGCAUGCUAUUAGGAAGGAGGUCAGGGGUAGGAAAGAUGUUCCUGAUAUCAUUUCUAGUGGUCAAAGGCACCUUUUUACUAAAAAGGAUUGAGGACUUCUAAAGAUUGGGAGUUUGCCUAGAGAGGUGGCAAAAGUCUUGUAAAAUGUCCCAGAUUUUGGUGGCUUCAAUGAUGGAGGCCUCGCCACAUAAGAUUAGAUCAUCAACAAAGAGAAGAGAGUGAAUGGGAGGGCAACUAGGACCAAGGGAAAUGCCCAAAAAAUUGGAGUAAUGAGUUCAGUUUGAAGGUGAAUGGAUAGCUCAUUGGUGGCCACAACAAAAAGACAAUGAGAGAGGGGGCAGCCCGGGCGAAUACCAUGAUGGGGAGUGAAGGAGGUGGAAGGCUCUCCAUUGAUAAGGAUGGAGAAAGUAGUAGUGGAAAUACAAGCUUGAAUGAGGUUGGUGAAAUUGGAGGGCAGCCCAAGACGAUUUAGAGAGUCCCAAUUCAGACAAUCAAACGUUUGGCCAGGUCAAGCUUGAGAUAAAAAAGCUUGCUGGUUCCAGUUUUUUAGGUUGGAAGAGAUGUGCCUGUGUUUUGAUGAAUGCAACUUAAGAUUAUUGAGUCAAUCGACAGCAACUUUGGCGUUUAGUAGAACACAGCAUGGUGCCAAGAUGAUACUACGAUGUCAGCAAAAACUUGUGGGAUCCACCAUUUAGUAAACGAUUAAAGAAAUUUUGAUUUCUUUUUUGUCGUUUCUGCACACCUCCAUGCCUACCAUACGUGUACUGUGUUGUUUUCAGUGGCGGAGGCAGCUGGCAAGGUUCGGCCUCCGCCGUACCUAAAAUGUAUAGAAAACACUAGUAUAUUAUGUGUAUAUACGGUUAUACACGUGAAAUAUACAUGGCUUAGCCUCUGCCACUGUGCACGAAUAGAUUUUGUUUGUGGGCUGGUAUCUCGUGGGCUUACACGACUACGAGCCCGUUCGCUUCUUAGCUGUACUUUUUUUCAGUGAUUUUUUUUUGACCAGCGAAUAGGCUCUAUGUCAAAAGCCCACGACACUAUCCAUAGAAGGAAGCAGCUCAUUGGUCUUCCUGCCUUCCUGGCUGGUCGACUACUCCAGGUUUUAGUGGCCGACUUGUUUAGUUUCAAUUUUUUUUAGCAAAAUAGAUACUGUAGCACUUUUGUUUGUAUUUAACAAAUAUUAUUCAAUUAUAGACUAACUAGGCUCAAGAGAUCUGUCUCGCAAAUUAUAGACAAACUGUAUAAUUAGUUAUUUAUUUUAUUUAUAUUUAGUGUUUCAUGCAUGCAGUGGCGGAGGCAGGAUUUUUGCUUGGGAUAUGCCAAACAAAAAGUUUUCAUAUACAAAUCGGUAAAAUCUAUUUAGCAAUUCGGUAGAAUUUUAUAAAAAAAAUGUCUAACAAUUCGGUACACAACUGUUAAGGCCUUGUUUAGUUCCAAAAUGGACAUUGUAGUAUUUUCGUUUGUAUUUAAUAAAUAUUAUCCAAUCAUAGACUAACUAGGCUCAAAAGAUUUGUUUCGCAAAUUACAUGCAAAUUGUGCAAUUAUUUUUUAUUUAUAUUUAAUACUUCAUAUAUGUGCCGCAAGAUUCGAUGUGACAAAGAAACUUUCAAAAUUUUGCUAAUUUUUUGGGACGUAAACAAGGCCUAAAUGGCAUAAGUCGUGCGUCCAUGGUGUGUUUGAAAGGAGCGUCCGAGAGCAGGUGCGAGACGAAUACCGAGGUCUUGUUUAGUUCUUCUAUGGUCUCCAAUGGGAGGGUUAGCUGAUCCACAUUAGUUAACCACUACUCCACAUUGGGCAAAGUGAUUUUGUUAACGCACGUAGCCACGGUAAAUCAUAAUUAAAGAGCCAUCGUGAUCAACUUUCAUUAUGUGAGCUUGAACAAAAUGAUCAACAUCAAGAGUUGGCCUACAAAUAAUUGUAGAGCUUUGCUAAAUUUCCACACCCUUUCUCCCACUCCAAAAAGCCAAAGUGCUCAAUCCUUAAGCAAAUCAUUCCACCAGGAGAACAAAAGCAAUGUUGUGGUGAUCAACAUCAAGGUAUAUCUGUAGAGCUUUGCUUUUACCGGUUAACGUGCAAUAUGAGUGCACAAUUAUGUUUAGGAUAGAUUUAUUAAGCUAAUAUUGUUAUCUAGUGCCACUAGGUGGGGACUAACAAUACACAUGUGUUAGACUCAGUGACAUGGUGAGGAAGCAAGUGAAAACCUUUGAAAAUGCAAACUCAGUGCUAAAGGUGUUAUUGUUCCGUCUGCCACAUUUGGGAGAUAUCAUAUUUGAAAAAGGGUUUAAGAGAGGGGCUUGGUGAGAUGGUUUGAAUAGUCACUAGAUAAGUCCGGUGGUCAUCAGAGCUUAGGCACACCCACUUUACUAGUCUAGUCAUCAGGCUGUCUCACUCUGUAGUGGGCCACCAAAAAUAUCCAUGCCUCUAGGUCCGAGCACUAAAGUUUAGGCUCCUUCACUUUGGGAGAGAAGGGGACGCUGGACACGAGGCAACAAUCGGCAAUGGCUGCAAAGCACACAAAGUUUAGAAGGAUAAAGGAAGACGACUAGAGGAGGUUAAAUAGUCAUUUCUAUAACUAAAUCAUGAAUCCUAGGCAAAUAAAUAACAUUAAUAAACUAUUUGUCACUUCCCACUAUAACAGCAGAAAUAAAACAACAGAGAUAAUCUAUUUUCAUAACAAUACAAUAAAAGGUACAUGACUCAUUAUUUCCAUGAUGAUUCCAUCCCUACCUGCGAGCGUGGAAAGCCUAAAAAGCCUCUCUCCACGGCCUUCCUAAAAAAAGCCCACCUGGCCACCUGUAGUUCAAUAUAAGCUACUGGAGAAGCUAGGCGUUUGGUCCAUCUCGAACCGCUUUUAAAGCUAAACAGCCCAAUAACCCAUUUCAAACAAGGUCGAAGCCCAAUGAGGCAGGUGGCCCAAAACCUGACCCGAUUCUCUCCCAAUUCUUUUUCCUCGUGUUGGAAUCGGAAUUGGAAUUGGAAUUUGUACGUAGUGGCGGCGAUAUCUGGUUCAGAGUGGGUGUUGAUUCGUGGAGAGCAGCUGGUCGGGCCCAUCCGCGCAGUUGGCUUGGCUUGGCCGCUGCCGCCCGUGCUCGCACCGGCCGCCCCACCUCCAUCUUCCCAUGGUGGUGGUAUCAUCCCCCCCCUUUCCUCUUCCUCCUCCCCACGUGCAACCACCUAACCCCUCUCCCACCGCCCUCCUCGCCUAGCCCGCCGCCACAGCGGCCGUCGACGAGCGCCAUGCCCGCCGCGGCGUCCACCUCCGCGACCUCGCUGCUGCUGGGCGGCGGCAGGCUCCCGCGGCUCCAGCUCCAGUCCCUCCGCGCCCCCGCCAAGCCCCCCUUCCGCCGCCCGGCCUCGUCCCCGUCCACACCGCUCCCCAGAUGCCGCGCCAGCGCGAGCCCCCGCCCUCUGGGCCCCGUCUCCGCCUCCGCCCUCGCGCUGCCCGUGUCGGUGACGGCCGCUCCCCCACCGCAGGUGGAGGAUGGUGGCUGGGUGGGAGGCGCGGCCGCGGCCGCGGCCGUGAGGAGAGUAGCUGUGGCGGUGGCGUGCGGGGCGCUCGCGGCGGCGUGGUGCCGCCGGGCGAUGGCUGUGGGGGCGGCCACGGCGGCGGGAGCGGGAGCGGGGGCCGGGGCCGGGGCGACGGGGGCGGUGGAAGCUGCCGCGGGGAUUGGAGGGAUGGCGCUGCACGGGGGCUGGCCGAGAGUGCUGCAGAUUCUGCAGCUGCUCAGGGAGCAGGGCCUGGUUCUGGCCGCGCUGCUCGGCCUCUCUGCGUUCUUCUCCAUGGCAGAAACUUCUAUCACGACGCUUUGGCCUUGGAAGGUGCGUUCAGCAAGUCUACGGAGACCCAUUUUCUUAAACUCCUGUUGUUGCCAUAGUAAUUACUGUACGUACGCGAAAUGAACUAUGCUUCCAGUUUUGCAAUCGGUUUGGUUCACUGAGCUACGAGGUAGGAUAUUGGGAGAUUUUUGGAUACUUAGAUGAGCAGAUUGGUAUUGGUGUAGUGUUGCUGCUAAGAGGGGAUGCUGAGAUGGGGUGAGUGUCUUAUGGGUACGUCCUUGUAUCAACUACUAUACUCAUUCUAAAUGGGUUUAUGCAAUGAGUAUUUGUAUGAACAAAGCAAACGGAUACGCACUAGCUUAGGCUGUUGGGUUGGGCUGUGGCAUGUGUGGGUCGAGGAUGUGGCGGUUGUCAUGCACAUCCUGCUUCAGCAGUGAUGUGAUAAUUUUGUCUCGCUUGCUGAUGACAUAAUCCACAGCACAAGUUUGUAUUUGAGAAGUGAUGUCACUGCUGGGAGUGUUGCUGAAAGACAUGGGGAAAGCAUUAUUGCUCCUUCCUUUUUUUUGUAGGAUAGAGGGCUGAGCAGCAGGCAUAACUGAUUGACAAGCUGACAACAGCAAGGUGCUUCAGAUAUAAUGACAGUGUGCACAUGCGCUUUAGUGACAUGUUGUGCUAGUGAUCUGUAGGAGAAUUAGGCAGGGAAUCUAUGCAAGGAAAGUUUUUAUUAUUUUGAAACUGGAACUAAUGACACUGGUAUUGGAUUACCGGUCUUACUGACUUUAUAUAUAAUCUCCCUUCACACCUAAUCUCAUCAACUGGAUAGGUAUUUCUGGUUCAGAAUAUUUAUAGCUUUGAACAGAACAUUGGUGCUCUUGUAACUAUCAUUAAAGGGGUCCUGCCUCUUUGUUCAUGUUUAUCAACAUUUAAAUUCAAUUCUAAUUCUUCAAAGACUACAACAAGGUGAUCAAUGUAAAUUGAUGGCUGGAUUCGGUUAAUCACAUGUUGAACUUGCAUUUUAUUUUUAGUAGAGGUUUAUUUGCAAGCACAGGAAUAAUGAAGCCCUAGGUUUAGUGCAUUUUUUCCCUCCAGAGUUGAGCCUAAGGAUUCAAGUUCACUGACACUUAUCAUUGUGGGUUCAAGCAUUUGCACACAUAUUAGCAUAUUGAAAUGGCUAAAGUAUUAGAGGUUGGUGCUAGAGUCUUUCCAUAACAGCGCACUUGGGACUGAAGUUUGAUUCAUGCAAAAUUUUUCAAUUGAAUCAUGCUUGAUGUUCAAAAACUAGCAAGAAUCAUAGAAAUAGCAACACUGUAUUGUGUAAUAGGUUGCAUACCUUUUCCCCCUUUGCAUUUGUUUAUUUUUCUAACGUUGUUUGGAAAUUGCCACAUCAAGGCCUAAUUUUCUAGUGAUCUGCCUAGCGCCCAAUAGCUAGCUAGCCUCUCUACUCAAGCAUUGAGGCAUCACCCCCUUCUACCCACCUAGGGCAUUUUCAGAUCAGUGUUUUGAAACUUUGCUUCGUAGUGGUACUCUUUUCUUAUUGUAACUGACUGUAUGCUGAGAGCGAAUAUCUAUAUGCUGAGACUUUGCUGAUUUCUUUUUUCCUUUGCAUUAGGUUCGUGAACUAGCUGAGAAGGAACCUGAGAAUGGUGUUUUCAAAAUGCUCCGAAAUGACGUCACUCGUUUCCUGACAACUAUUCUCAUUGGCACAACGUAAUCCAUGGCAUUUCUAAGUUGUGCAUCACUCAUUGCAAUUUUGUUUUACUAACCCUAAACCCUAAUCUCGGGCAUAAUUUGUAUGAAAUAGUGUGGUCAACAUUGGCGCAACAGCAAUUGUUACUGAGGCAGCAACAGCAAUGUUUGGUGAAGCAGGUGUUAGUGCAGCAACAGGUGUCAUGACAGUAUGUCUCCUGUCUCAUACUGGCCUUCUGCUCUUGUGUAAGUGUUCUUUAAUCUAACUAUGGAGCACCAUUUUUUAGGUUGCCAUCUUACUUCUUACAGAGAUCACUCCCAAAAGUGUUGCAGUCCAUAAUGCCACCGAGGUCGCUAGGUUUGUGGUAAGGUGAGAGAUAUCAAGUAUAACUUAGUUUCAAACAUGUUUAUUUUGAGUACUGAACAUUGUGCAUUUGUUGCGAUAUAUCAGACCGGUCGCAUGGCUUUCGCUGAUCCUCUAUCCAGUUGGGCGGAUUGCUACUUUUCUGUCUAUGGGAAUGCUAAAGAUUCUAGGCCUGAAAGGGAGAAGGUAAGACUGUAAGAGUAUGUAUAAUACUCUAGUUCUUGAUCAACUAGAAGAUAAAUUCUUUGAAAAUAUGCCAACUCAAUAAGCUCAUGUUAGUCAUAGAUUAUAUCCCCCAUUAGUUAUGAUAUGCUUUCAAGAAGGAUACACAAACAAUAAAUUAAUUCAUGCCACAAGAACCACACAGAACUCUUUUUUAAGAGCAUAUGGCUUGCUCUGCGUAGUGGAUAUAACCAGGGAAGCACAAGGAUUGAGUUUCUAGGUGUGUGUGGGUUCUGCUCAGGUGGGCAACUCUAGCUUCAUCCAUCUGUAUCUUUUUCUUGAUGAAAUGGCAUGCAGCUCUUUUGCGUCAUUCGAGAAAAAAUAACCAGGGAAGCACACUGAUUGAGUUCCUGGUUCCUGCCAAAUAAAAUCUCACCUGUUUUCUUUUAAAAAUGGAUUAAACUUGUAUAUUACUAGAAUUCAAGUACAAAUGAGAUGGUACAACAUGGACUAGAUUAGACUAGUUUGAGUAUGUGUUGAGUCUAGUUUAUAGGGUGAUAGUUGUACUUUCUAAAAUUUCUAUAAUUAGUAAAUAGUGCAGUGACUAUAUUUUUAAUCAAUAGAUGACCGUUGACACUAUUCCAAGAAUUGCAUAUCAUCUGUUAUUGUUCAUGAAGGAUCUAAUUCUAGUUUGAAUUUGCUAGAAACUUAUUGAUUGCUUUCUGUAUAAUUUAGUUUACAAAUUGAAUUUAGUAUCUGAUAUUGUAAUACAAUACACAUUUGUAUGUUAUUUUUUGCAUUUUUUUUACAAAAUCCAGUACUCAAGUACAUUGAUUUGCUAUGUCUUUUAGUUACUACAUUUGUAUAUGUUUAACCAAUAUACAAUUGAGAUUCCUAUAUAGAUAAGAUUUAGUUUUUCUUUUUCAUAACUCUUGACAUUUCUGGAGAUCUACUUCUGAAUCUUGUGCAUCAUAUACACUUCUUUCCUCAGUGAACCAUAUGUUACUGAAGAUGAACUGAAGUUAAUGUUACGAGGAGCAGAGUUGAGUGGUGCAAUUGCAGAAGAUGAACAGGUUAGACAAUCUAGUAUAUGGAGAUGCCCAUAUAUUGUGCUGCAUAUUUCCUUCUUUAUUCUUUAUGUUUCUGUGUACCUCACAGCAAGAUUUUGUUAUCCAGUGCAAUCUAGGCAAAGCCUUUACUUACAAUUUUUAUAUCAUAUAGAAAGCUGACUACUUACAUAAAUAAAGAGUGAAUUAAUGAAAUUUCAGGAAAAUAGUAACUAACGUUUUUGCAUGAUUUUAACUGCUAAUUUAAUGUUUGUACACCAUCUCAUCACAUAUAUCCAGAAUUUGAAAAGCAGUAUGGCCCCAAAGGUUUGAGUUAGAUUAUACUGUUGCAGACUAGGAUUUUGCCUCUUGAUAGUUUACUAGCACACUUUGGCUACUUCUUUGUUUUCUUGAAAACGCAGGAGAGCUGCACUUCAUUAUAUUAAGAGGAUAAAGGGCAAGAGCCCGAACAACCCCACAAACACCAUACACACACCACACACAUCACACACUCACGCCCCAACAGAAAUGUUACAUUCGCGCCCGUAAGAAAACACACAACGCGACCACUACUAGGCUAAACAUUUCUAACUAUCGGGGAGGAGGGCAGUCAAGAAUGAUAGCUCUCGAGCUGCUGCCAUAGACCAUAAACGGCGCUCCUCGCCUGCUAUGAUCAGAGCGCCAGCAAGGUUUGGAGCUGCUCCAUCAAAGACACACCCAUUGCGAUGGUUCCAUAUAGUCCAAGCUCCGAGCAUAACAAGAGAAUUAAUUCCUUGCCUUGUCAGCCCAUCAGCAGUGCUGCUAGCCUUCUCCCACCAAGCAUGGAAGGAUAAUUCUGUAAGCUGAGGGGACAAAAGCCUGAUUGAACCAAAAUUCUCUUGUGAACACACAAUGGACAAGUAGAUGGUCGAUAGUCUCCUUUUCAUGGUCACAAAGGAGGCAAUUCUCCGGAUGAGGUAACCCUCGGCGUGCUAGACGAUCAGCUGUCCAGCACUUAUUGUGCGACCAGCCACAUAAAGAAACGGCAUUUGGGCAGCACCCAUGAUUUCCAAAUCUUUUCCCAUGGUCCAAAAAGAGUAGAUCCGAAAAAGAAGCCUUCAUAUGCCGAUUUAGCCAAGUAUUGUCCAUUAGAGGAGAGCCUCCAUAGGUGCUGCAGCUGAAAAUCCAGAAGUAGAUCCCACCAUAAGUGAAAGUAGUCAACAAACCCACCAACUGUGAGCGCUCCUUGUAUGUCCAAAAUCCAAGCCCGGUUAGUAAGGGCAUCCUGGACAGUAUGCUGCUUAACCCUCCUUUUAGGAGUAGCCACAAAAAGUCGAGGGGCAAGAUCUGCAAUGCAUUGCCCAUUGAUCCGAUCUGUCCAGAAAAGAGUGUUUGCACCAUCCAAUUUCAGAAGUUACUGCCACUGAGUAGAAGGCUCUUACUUGCUUCGGCACAUGGAAUGGUAGAGCAGCCCAAGGACAAUGAGGUUCUGUUUUCUGCAGCCAAACCCAUCUCGUGCGCAAGGACCAGCCAAGGGUUUUUAAAUCUGAAAUUCCCAGGCCUCCAAGCUCUGGUGGGCCACAGACUUUGACCCAAGCCACAAGACAAUGACCACCUUUUUGCAUAUUUUCGACCCCUCCAAAGAAAGCCACGCCAAAUUUUAUUUACCACUUUGAUAGCCAUGGAGGAAAGUCGAAAGCAAUAGCUAAGUAAAUGAGCAUUCUCAGUGAGAACUGAUUGUACUUGAACCCUUCUUCCAGCCCUUGUCAUUAGGUCUGCCUUCCAGCCAGGAAGUUGAUCUGCAGUACGAUCAAUAAUAGGCUGCACUUGUUUCUUUAGGGAGAGGGGCAGACCUAAGUAUUUGCAUGGGAAAUCCGAGAGGGGCACACCUAGCUAGUUUCUUUGGCUACUGUUAUCCUUUAGGUAUUUUGCAGAACCUUUCCAUAGCAAUCCCAUUAAUCUUUAGGAAGCGAUCCCAUUUGUUAAAGCCCCUGCAGGCAACUUUCAAGUUCAUUAUUCUCGAUCACAGGUAGUCAUUCUGCAUAUUUUUCCCUCAGAAUCAUCAUAAGAAUUGGGUUAAGUGGAUAGGUCAGACUAUAGCAUGGAAAUACAUAAGUACUGAUAGGUUGUUGAAACUAUCUAAGACUACAGAUUUAUCGUGUCAAUUUGUCACAAAUAACAGAUUUUAGCUGAUGAAAUCAGUACUUCUGCAGUACAUAGAAAUACUAAAUGUGUAGUUUUAGUUUUGCAAAAACAAGGACACUAAAUUUAUAAUUCUGUGAUAAAACUUCUUAAAUCUGUAGUUUUGUGAUAGCAUAGCCCACUCACACAUAUACAAAAAAAAAGAAAAAGAAAAAAAGGAACCAUAUAGUUAUUUAUGUGCUUAGAUUCUAGGCCCUAGAACUAGAACCUAUAGCUGUGUUACACUAUUAUGAAUUCCUAGUCCGUGCCUGCUUGUGCAGGACACUUUUCUACUUGAUCAGCUAAAGUCAGCACCUGAGUCUUUUAACAGGAUAUGAUCGAGAAUGUCCUGGAAAUUAAAGAUACACAGGUGAGGGAAGUAAUGACGCCUUUGGUGGACGUAGUUGCAAUUGAUGCUAUUGCAACACUUAUUGAUUUCAAAAACUUGUGGGAAACUCAUCAGUACUCUAGGUAUUGUCAACUAUUAUUGUCGCGUGUAUUUUCAAGUCUUAUCACUGACAUCUGCUGCUAUUUGUUAUUUCCAGAGUUCCUGUAUUUGAGGAGCGCAUAGAUAAUAUUGUUGGAAUUGCAUAUGCAAUGGACAUGCUUGAAUAUGUUGAAGAGGUAUGUCUCUUGUUUACCAUUUAAUGUAAAACUUAAUCACAGUGAGUCUUAUUUGCUCCACAUGAUGCUUCUCUAAAGGGAAAGUAAAAGGUGUAUUUUUCUUUUGAAGGUUGAGAAGCUGAAUGAAAUCACUGUUAAGAAAAUCGCACAUAUGCCUACAUACUUUGUUCCAGGUAAUUUUUAGUAACAUUGUUGGAUACAAGUAUCAUGAUGAACUAAAAGAAGGCAUCUGUCAGUAGUUAUAGGGUUGGAUGUUUUUCCACAACAAUUAAUCAUUUCUGCCACAUGUUUUCUCCCAUCUAUGCAUCAUGGAUGUAACAUAUGAUACUGUUUCAUCUGGCAGAUUCAAUGUCUGUUUGGAACCUAUUAAGAGAGUUCCGGAUCAGGCAGGUUCAUAUGGCAGUGGUCCUUAAUGAAUAUGGUGGAACUAUUGGUGUAUGUCCCUAUGAAACCCAUUUUUUAUACUUUACAAACUGGACACAGUUUAGUACUUGUUAAUAUUCUUGUUAUGCUUUCAUCCAAGGCUAGUUGCUCAAUUGAGACCAUUUUGACUUAUGGCACACAACGAGGUUCAACAUUGUUUACUCCAAUCAAUUUUUAGUUGUAACUUCCAAGCAUGCUAGUUAGUUUGCUAAUAAUUGAUGAAUGCUAGUCAGUACAUGGUGACAUUUUGAUGGCCAUUUAUUGGCAACACUACUGGCUUUUGUUCCACAAUGGUCGUGUUUUUAGCACAAGCAUGUGGUGCGAUGCUUCAAGUGAUCUUGCUGCACAGCUUAUGUAACUGCAGCAAUGGGGCACUUUUCAUCUGUUGCAGUAGCAGUCCCUGUUGUUCAUGGUUUGUUUCCUUUUAAGAUAUACCCCACACAUAGAGAUUAGUUAUGCUCCAUGCAGCAGAGAUUAUUACUUUCCACAAGUUUAGAGAUUGUUUCUUAGGAAGUAGUUAUGCUCACAGUUUGUUCAUCAGUUUCUGUUUUCAGAAGUAGUUGAUGAGCGAUGAACAUGUUUUGAUUAUGUUUGCUGCUGAAAGGAUAAUUCUUUAAGAUGUUUUUCUCAUUACUGAUGCUCAUUGGUAAAAGUUGCAAAUGAUUGGACAAAGCUACUACCCGUGAGCUUCCUUUGUCUCACAUACCCUUCGAGCAAUUACGCUUUAAUGUAGCAAUAUCUAUCCAUUACUUGCAGCAACUAAGUCCUAUUGUAUUCAGAAAUGUUUAUUAGAACAGUUUGUAAUUUCAUAUGUUUAUCACUGCAUGGGACAUUGGGAAUUACUCUGACCUUUGGCCAAAAAAAAAUGCAGAUUGUAACACUAGAAGAUGUAGUGGAAGAAAUAGUUGGUGAAAUAUUUGACGAGAAUGAUUCCAAGGUGAUUAUUUCUGGAAUUUUUUAUUUCAAAUCGCAAGUGGGUGUUCAGUGCCAUACAUAUGCAUGCUAUUAUUUUCUAUUUCUUUUUCAAAAUUAUUUCCCCCUUUCUUUUGGUUUAUUAUUCCCUUUUUGCCUUGUAACUAUCGUUCUUAUAUUACAUAACUGACUUUUCAUAUGUUGGUAAUAAAUAAUGAUAUGCUAGCAUUUGAACUUACGAAAUUUAGUGGGCCAAACAUACUGAGCCAUGCCAAAAAAGACAGGCAAAUCAUACAGUCAUAUUUUAGCAGCAGCAGUGCAUUAGCGCGGUGGGUACUGAGCCGGAGUUUGCAUGUGCCUGAAGGUGGCUGAAUGAAUAAGGUGGAUAUUACCCUACCCGCACCCAAAUCAAAAUGUGUAUUUUAUUUCUACCCAUACCCUCCCCAAUUAAUGCGGGUGUGGAUUUGAAUAUGGGGAUUGAAUAUCCAGCGGCAGGUAUAAAGAUUAGAUCUCCUGCCUCAGUGCUUCUCCAAGAUCUGGAAGCAGCUGCUUCACUCCUAUUUUCUGUAUCCUAGUCAAAACAAAGGAUUUUUCCAUGUAGCAAGCUAGUUGCUCUUUGUCAUUUGCUUAGGCAGUCUCUCAAUUCCUUCUGCUACUCUGUUUUUCACCCUUUCAGGAGGAAAUCCAGAAGAAAACAGGCUAUAUAGUGAGGCGGGGAGAUGGAACAUUUGAUGUUGAUGCAAAUACAUCAAUAGAUCACCUCUCUGAAGAGCUUGGUAUCAAAAUACCAGAGGUAUUGUUUCUCAUUUGAUCUUAGCUUUCUCUACAGUUGCUAUGCAUUCCCUUGGACAUGUGUAUAUUUAAGGAAGGUAUGGCUCGGAAAAUAGUAGAUUGAUUAUGAGUAGUACAAAAGGGUAGGCAAGGAUGAUCUGGGAUUUAUAGAACAAUACCCAAUCAGGGAGAUCCUUGCCUAAUAGCUAAUCAACUACAUAAAACCCAUGGAGGCAGGCUUAGGUGCCAGGGCCCAUGCGGCCAGCCCAAUAGCCCUCUGGAAACUCCAUUCUAACAUAUAUGUUGGAGUGGACACUGUAUGAUGAUCAUCGAAAUGUGAGUUCCAUCAUUUAGAGAUGCCUGGUUUGCAGAACCUAUACAGAUAUAACGUUAUUAUAUCUAUUUUUUGGUGGAAACUGGACAUUUAAUAUUUAGGUCAACAAAAUAUUCACAAAUGUUCUGUUUGUAAAAUAUGCCCUUGGUAGUCAUCAUUUAUAUGGUGCUCUGUAUUUCUGUCAUGUUUCUCGUAGAUUGGCUGAUAAUCUUGAGACACUUGGACACUAUCUUUUGGCAGGGGCAUCAGUAUGAGACGGUGUCUGGUUUUGUCUGUGCAUCUUUUGGCUAUAUUCCAGAAGAAGGUGGGAAAAUGCUUGUGAUUCUUGAAAAGGAUUACAGAGAAGAAAACGGUGAAUAUCAGGAGGAAGGUUCUGAUCGCCAAGAUGAUAGAGAAAAAACUCAAGCUUACGAACUUGAGGUAAUUGUUACAACUCCUUGUGUACUCUGUUUGCUCAAGAGUUCUAGUACCAGGUCAAUUAUUAUAAUGCGAUUAUCUUGUCAUCGCUAGAAAUCUUUACUAGUAUAUAUAACUAUUAUGAAUUUUCCUUCAUUACUUGAAAGCUGAAAGACACCACAAAAGCUUCAAUUUUCUUUGUUGAUGCAAUACCAUGAAACCUUUUUUGUUAAAUAACUCUCAUUAGAACCAAUUUUCCAUACAGGGCAUUUGGUUCUUAGAUCAUUUUAUAGGAUAUUUCGUACUAUAAGUAAGAACCAACUACUAUCCACAAUUACCUCUACAUGCUUGUUUGUGCAUAUAAAAAGACAACAAUACUCAGAAGGUUGCUGUAACAUGUCCACACUCCGCUUUUGUGGUGCUAAUACUACCGAACAUUUGUAAUUGCUUUUUUUAUUUGAAGCUAAAAAAAGAAAGUAUACAAAAACUAAUAGAUAAGAAAACCAACUACUCAAUUGUCAAUUCAGAAUUCAUACUGUGGGUUAUAAGGUUAUUUCAGUGAAAUUGUUUUGGUAUUGGUACACAACCUUUAUUAGUUGGUGCAACUCCCAUUUCCGGAAGUCUUCGUACACUUUAAUUGAAUUGCUGCAGCCCUAGGAAUCCAUAGUUUCUGUUUCACAAUUCACCCAAAGUUUCAUUCUUUGUUGCAGAAUUAAAUAACCUUCUGUAGUUGUUUUCACUACCUUUAUUACCUGGCUUCUCUUGCUCACAGAUAGUGGAAGCUAAUGCAAGGAAGGUGGGCAAAGUCCUAUUUAAGCCAAUAAGCAGUGAAUGUGUUGGUGUUGACAACAAGGGUGUGAACCGCCUGGUCUCCAAGAAGAUCAUCAAACGGAAGAAGCAGGGCUAUGAUGAUUCCUCCGGUGACGAGUAUCCAGAUACAACAGAGAAUGGCUGCCCUGCUGAGGCACUCUCCUACUCGGAUGGUAACAGUGCCUUGUUGGAAGAUGCAAGCAGUUCUAGUGCCAAGAGGUGACAAUAAAGGAACUCCAAGACCAUCGUACUACUGGUAAUAAUUACAGCACACCGUCACCGGUCCUAAUACCCCUUGUUACAACAGAAGAAGAUGAGAAGAACAUAGUAGUAGGCUACCCAAAAAAAAAAACUGCGAGAGCAACACCAAGAGGUUAACAGCAGUUUAAGGCAUUGCAACAUUUUUCAGUAGCAGGAGUAGCAGUAGUAGCAGUCUAGAGGUGCAGCGAGGUGUCGACGUCGACUUCACCAGAGACAUGUUUGUAGUUGUAGGUCUUACUGGGCCACAGCUCCACCGCAAUGGGGUCGCUAUCGCCGUGGAGCUGGAAGCUUUUGCAUUCACAGACAGUGGUUGGCACGGCCGGGAAUAAGGAGGCUGCGGCGGCAACAGCGGCAGUGGUUUCCCGCAGCGGCCUGCACGGGUAGAGCAGCUCCGGGUGGAAGAACCACUUGACGGGCAUCUCCCUCGGGGAGGCGGUGGCCGCAGGGCGGGGGGCGAGCACGUGGAGAAGCCUCUCCUCCCGCUUCUCCCUGAUCCUCUCCAGCUCCCUGAACCUCUGCUGCAGCAGGGCGAUGGAGGAGAACAUCACCUGGCCUUCGCUGCUCUGCACCCCCAUGAUGACUGGGCGAGAGGGGGAGCUCUCACUCCAGCUCCGAGUUUCAGUUACGUGUUCGUGUCGUGUGUAUCUCACUCAAGCGUCUGUCUACUUCGCUCGGUGUGUGUGGGGGUUUUGCUUGCUGCUUGAAGGGGUGGUGGUCUUGGGCAUGUGCGUAUUUAUAAGCCGCAAAGUUUUGUCACGGCGCAGGGCGUCGUCUUGUGGUCGUCUUGCAAGUUGCGCCAAUUCUUUCAUCUUCAUCUUCCAUUAUGUGAUGCUAUGCCUGUUUGUGUGUUUUGUUUAUGGGCUGAUUGAAAAACAAAAGAGGCACUAUUGGUAUGAGAGAGAAUCUGGGAGGAGAAUGUCACGUCGCCCGAGAAAGGAAGUGGGAGGCGUGCAGGUGAGAGAAUAAGGGGCGUGGCGUGGGAGAGUCCAAGGAAAUGGGGCUGUGGACGCUUGCGCUUGUUCCGUUCCUGGCGGUGGGAAUCGCCGUGUGCCGUUGUGAUGUGCGGGGUGGCCAUGAUUGCGCCUCUGUUUGUCUGUCACCUUUUUCCCUUGCGCAUUGCUGCAGCAGCAGGGCAGGGGAGAGGUCUGCAUGCCCUGCCAUGCCCUGCCCUGCUGCUCGUACUAGCUCGCUACUACUCCCUUCCCCCUCUCCAUCCAAACGGGCACUGCGAGCUUUUCCUGGUCUAUAAUGGCGUCGUUGGAGCUGUAGUACGUGCUGUUCGUAGCAACUGUGGGCAGCGCUUUCAGGUGUGGAACUGUGCACUCCAUGAGCCAUUGUCUUCGUUUGCGUGUGUGAACGUGUUGGAGAGUCUGGGAGCAGAAAGUCUGCGUUGAACGUUACUUCUUUGGGUCUUUGACUGGUGCGUCCAUAGAUCUGUGAAUGGGAGCGCUGAUUGCACGCUGCGUAGUACAGUGCGUUCGAGUAACGCUGAGACGGCGUGCUGCUUUGAAGUUUCAACUUUUGGUUAAUUCAGGAAAGUUGAUUGAUCUUAUGUUUUUUGACGGCCAGGUAAACACGGCCAAUUGCACCGGCGUCAAAAAGACCUCUGUCAUCCGAUGCUUUGGACAGUAAUUGAGAUAUUCGUAACAAAUGCUUCACUACCCGAAGAGAAAACUAGUUUUCGUUGGUUUCCGCAUUUUGUGAAAAUAAGAAAGGGCAUGUUUGAGUCAGAGUCGGGUUAUUAUAAUUGGAUUAUCGACUCUAAUAAUUAGAGUGCUAGAUUUUUUGUGGUGGAACCUAUCCAUUUCUUGCCUAGCCAGCCAACUAUCAUGAUGCUACAUGGUAUUUAAGUAACGACCAUUUUCUCAAAUGGUCAAGGAUUAUAUUCUUCUUUGAUUUUUUUUUCCCUUCAAGUGGCCUAGGGUUUUGUAGUCUAAUGUGAACAAUAUCAGGUGAAAACAAAAUAGCAUCAAAGAAUAGAUAGCCAAAAUGCCUAACGAAAAGGAAAAUUGUGGGUUACAUGUCUCAUGAAUUAUUUGAUGAAGUAGAAUAAGAUACGUUCGGUUAUUUGAGAGAAAAAAAAACUGCACAACAUAAAAAAAUAACUGUUUGCCUAGUUGGCUAAGAAAAAAUAUAGUGGGCUCCAUGGCUCCUAAGACUCUUUAAAUAUCAUGUAAAUGGAUAUAAAAGAAGUCAAUAAAUCAUUCUGCUGAUAUUGACUGAAUUAUUUGCUAUCAACAAUUAUCCAAAAAAGAUUUCUUUAAGAAUAAUAUUUCUACCAUGUAAAACAAGAAGAAAAAGACAAAUUAAUCGGAACUUUUGUUUGUGGCUGGAACUAUUGUAAAUGUCAUUGUUGAGUUGAGAUAUUUUUUUUUUGAAGUUCCCUUUUUGCGAGGAAUGAGUAAUCUGAACGUUAUUUGUUUGUGGUUGUUGAUUCCCUGGAGCUGUUAUAGAAGUCAUUAUUGAGUAGAGAUUUUUUGAAGUUCCUUUUUGCAACGAAUGAGUAAAUAGUUGCAUAGAUGUUUGAUGGUAUUAGCAUACUCUGCUUCUAAAAUAAUGAAAGGGAUUUUCCGUUACUAUUUAGUUGUGGACUGAGGCCUGAAGAAGUAUGUUUUGAAACUCGGAAUUUCAUGGAGGAUUUGUAGGAAUCCCAUAUAUAAUAAACAUGUCAAAAUUAAUCCUCCUAUAUUUUCUUGGUCAUUUUCUAGAGCUAGGCUCAUUUAUCUUUAAUUUGUCUAGUGAAGAGUAUAUGUAUAUCCUUUGCUCCAAACAUGUAGUGGUGAGUGGAGUUUACUAAUAUUAUUAUGUGUAGUUAACCUAGAACUAGAAGCUUGGUAACUGAGCCUUAUCUAAUCUGGCCCUAAACUAACUUAUCAUCCAAACUGAUCAGUUGGAGUCUUGUGACGAUGAUAUCUCUGGUUUGUUGUGGAACGGGACUAGUACUGCCGGACAUAUUAUACAUUGGAUGCAUGCGACAUAUAUACAGUGUUGAACUUGUUUAUAUUAAUUUAUCCUGGAUAGCCAAUAGUAGCCCAUAACAUUAACAUGCAACAUAGUAUAUGCAUUUGCAUGUACUGCUAGUUCCCUGCUACGUACGAUCCUGACAGUAGGCACCUAAUCUUUCCAUGCCCCAAUAUUUUACCGCCGCUGUCGCUUCCAUUCUAGAGAGAGAACAAUAUGACCAUCUUGUAAAACAUUCUAGAGAAGAGAUGCAUGGAGAGUAUGGCAAUAAUUUAAGCAGAUUGAUGGGAGCGAGAUAUUUUUAAAGGCAGAUCAUCGAUUGAUGCAUGGGAGCGAGAGAGCUUAGCAGAGAAAAUAAAGAAGAUUGGUGAUUGGUGAUAGGCCGGGGCAGCCGUGGUGCAGCAGCAGCUAGAACUAGAGAAGCUAAAAGGAAGGCUGAUGGCAGGGCAGGGCAGUAGUUUAAGGACGGGUCCAUGCCUGCAGCUAGCUAGCAUCUAUCGACGUUCCUCCGUUGUCGCGGAGCCGGUGGACGCGAAUGGCAUGCGUGGGUGCACUACCCUGCUGAUGCACACAGCAUGCAUUGCUGCCUGCAUGCGACAUGGUAUACAGCUCCCGGCCGGCGUCUCUCCUCUCCUCUCUUCUCUUCUCUUGUCCAUCCAUCGGCAGCAUACGGUCGGUCACUCGCAGCAUGCAUGCUCCUCUGAUCGAGCUCUGCUGGUGUCGUGUCGUGUCGUCGAUGGAUCGGGGCCGGGUUGGGUGUUGCUGCAUUGCAUGCUCCCUAAAGCGCCGCCCUUGUUGCCAAAGUGAAUGCUGCCGACGACGACCGCCGCGCCGCCCGUCUUCUUUUUCGGCGGAGGGGGGCGGCCGGGCACGGGCACGGGCACGGCACAGUCUUCCGGGCAGGGGCAGGGGCAGCCGGGCAAGCCAACACCUGCUAGCGGACGAGAAAUUGAAUCGAAUGGGAAACAAAGAAAAAAUUGAUGGCUGAUGGCUCCAUCUUUCUUUCUGUCUGUCUGUCUGUCGGUCAGUCAUUUUACUAAUUUAUUUGACUGCGCUACGGAGACGACAGUGUAACAUUUUUAUUUGUAUUUAAUAAUUAUUAUUUAACUAUAGACUAAUUAGGCUCAAAAGAUUCGUCGCGUAAACUAUAGACAAACUGUGCAAUUAGUUUUUAUUUUCGUCUAUAUUUAGUACUUUAUACAUGUGCCACAAGAUUUGAUAUGACGGGAAAUUUUAAAAAGUUUUUGAAUUUCGAAGUGAACUGGUCAAAUAUGCAAUGCUUGUACGUGCGCACUAGUUUAUGCCAAUGAUUCAUUUUUCGCGGAUCCUCCGAAUUUCACACCAUACAGUCAGAAUAUAAUUGCUCCAAGACACGUCAAUUUUGAUGCGUCAAUUUGUGCAUGUGGUUCCUGGCACUACUGGAUCCGGCUUCUUUGCCGAGAGCCGCGAGCCCUCGGCAAAUGCCUAAAAGCCCUCGGCAAAGGCUUUGCCGAGGGCCAUAAACGCCCUCGGCAAAGCCUACGGCGCCGUCGAAAAACGUCAAUAUUGACGUCGUCUUUGCCGAGAGCCAUGCUGGCAGGCUCUCGGCAAAGAUUCUUUAUUUUUUUUAAAAAAAGCCUUUGCCGAGAGCCCUGCAGGAAGGCUCUCGGCAAAGAACCCCUUUGCCGAGAGCCAGACAUCCAGGCUCUCGGCAAAGAACCCCUUUGCCGAGAGCCAGACAUCCAGGCUCUCGGCAAAGCUGUAGUUCUUCUGAACCCGGCUUUCUAUCUUUGCCGAGUGCCAGCCAUCCAUGCUCUCGGCAAAGCUGAGAAUUUAGUUUUUUUUUCUGUUUUUUAUCUGUUUUUUACAUGCACAGCCACAUAUGUAUAUAUAUAUAUCACAAAUCCCUUUGUCUAUAUCACAAUCCACAUAUAUAUCACGCAUGAAACAUAUCGAAGUCCACAGAUAUCACAAAUCCACAUAGAUAUGACAAAUAUAACAUUACGUCCAACAUAAACCAUAAGUCACCACAAGUUCAUAACAUAAACCACAAGUCCACGUGAAUAUCACUCCUCGAAGUCGCUAGCGCCUCACCCCUAGUGCUGUGACUCUGACCUGUCGUCGCCGUGGCCUCCGUCGUGUCCCGAGCCUCCAUCUGGCCAAGCCGACCAGGGUGAGUGCCCCCCAGGGUGUGUAGAGCUCGCACCUGCCCACGGCGCCCACAUGGCCUGCCCUGGCACCGACGGGUACGGGUACGAGUACCCGGGGCGCGGAGGAGGGCUGCCGGACAACCCGGGGUGGCCGUGCUGCGGAUGGGCACCAGGCCACGUGUGCUGCGUACUUGGGUGGCCAUAAGUAGUAACCUGCCACCCACUCCUUGGAGAAGGGGUCGGGUUCGAACCCCACGACUGAUGCUACAUAAUAUAAAAGCGAACUCAUUAGUAUCUGCAGGACGGCCACACAAGCCAAAGCAAUAGACAAACAUAUAUACACUCACCGGACUGCCUGCAGGGGCAGGAACAGGGGGUGGAACAGGGGGUGGAGCGAAGAGCGAGGCAGGCAGCGGAGGCGCUGUAGAGCUGUGGAUGGACUGGAAGUAUCCGACUAGGUCCGAGAUCUGACGCUGCGUGUGCUGCUGCUGUGCCUCCAUGUGGCGCCGAUGGGCCUCGUCUCUGGCCGCCAGCGCGGCCGCCAGCUCUCGCCGAUGAGCCUCCUGCAGCUCGUCCUGCCUGGCCCGCAACUCCUCUAGCUGCGACUGCAAUAUUACACCCGCAAUGGUUAAACAAUGCAAAAGGAGAUGUAUAUAUGUAAAAAUAAUGGACGAUGGAUAAAGCUGUAGUUACCUGCAUCGUAGCUAUCUGCUGCACGGAGCUCGGCUGACGAGGCCGUAUGGGGACGUCGGAGGUCGAGCUGCUCCCCUGCCGAACCUCGCGGAGCGUGGGUACGGUGGCCGGGUUGAUUGCGCUGUGGGCAAUCAUGUACCGGCCGUGCUGCUUCCCUCCUCCCGUCCUCAUGAGCAAGUCCGUGUCCGAGACCCUUUGCCGUGGGCCGUCCAGUCUGGCUCUCGGCAAAGACCCUUUGCCGUGAGCCUAACGCGCAGGCUCUCGGCAAAGAACUGCUGACUUUUUUUAUUCUUUUUGAAUUUAGAGCUGAGUUUUUUUUUUUGUCCUUGUGACUCAAUUUCUAAAUACAUUUUAAAAUUUGGCAUUAAUUUGACUUUUUUUGCUAUAUUUAACUAAUUAAUCUUGUUUCUUUAUAUUUUUUCACAUAAUUCAAAUUUCAACUGUAGGUACAUGAAAUAUUACAACUCAAUGAUUCGAAAAAUGAUAGUCAAGAUAUUUGGUGUACGUUGAGGUCGUAACCACAACCACACAUGAAAUCUCAACCCUCUCGCUAACAUAACAUGUCAAGGAAUGUGAGGGAAAAUGGAUUUAUAAUUAUAUAAAUUUCAAAUAAACUCCAAAAAUCACGAAACUUGGCGACGUGUCGUGUUAUCGCAUGUGGAGGCUGUGGUAAAAAAUUCAUAAGGUUCCGAGCAAGUUGCGACACCGGAUGUCUAAAACCCAGACAUCUCCACAUGUUAUCGAAUGUGAUCACAUGCGGAGAUGUCUGGGUUUUAGACAUCUCGUGUCGCAACUUACUCGAAACCUUAUGAUUUUUUUACCACAGUCUCCACAUGCCAUAACAUGACACAUCGUCAAGUUUCGUGAUUUUUGGACUUCAUUUGGAAUUUAUAUAAUUAAAAAUCACUUGUACGACACAUGGAUGGUCAUGUUUUAUAUACAAGAAAUUCAAACUCUUGGGUGAGUUUAUGGAUACAACAUCAAAAUGCAGUCUUGAACAUGAGUAUAAUUUUUUGAAUGACUAUAUUUUAUUAUUUCAUGCUCCUACAGUUCAAAAUUACUUUUUCGAGAAAAAUACAAAUAAAAUAAUUUAAUUAAAAAAUAUAGCAAAAUGUUAUAAAAAGCUCUCAAAUUUGAACAUGUGCUUAUAUACAAUAUGUAAGGGUUACAGAAAAAGUUUGAGUACAAAACUAAAAAAAAUCUUUCUUCUUUGCCGAGAGCUUGACAAGGCACUUGGCAAAGGCCUCCUCUUUGCCGAGAGCCUAACGCCGUGGCUCUCGGCAAAGGUGACGACAACGGUUGCCGUUACCAGCGCUGCUCCUUUGCCGAGAGCCUAUCUUUGCCGAGAGCUAGGCUGUCGGCAAAGCUAGCCUUUGCCGAGGGCUUGCCUUUGCCGAGAGCUUGACCAUCGGUAAAGUUUCUUUGCCGAGGGUCGUUUCUGACUGUCGGCAAAGGCAGUCUUUGCCGAGGGCUAGCUCUCGGCAAAGCUGAGCCCUCGGCAAAGCUCUCGUUUCCUGUAGUGUGGGCUUUGAAUUGAUCGAUGGCAAAAAGCCGUAAUGGAAGCACGUCGCGUCUUGAAUGCAUGCACUAUAUAGGAAUAUAGCUACACAAAAGAAGAGAAAUAAUGACACACAUAGUAGUAGCUAGCUAGUAAAGUGUGUAUGUAAGGCCUUGUUUAGUUCCCAGAAAAUUUUGCAAAAUUUUUCACGGUCCCCGUCACAUCGAAUCUUUAAACGCAUACAUAAAGUAUUAAAUAUAGACGAAAAUAAAAACUAAUUGCACAGUUUGGUCGAAAUAGACGAAACGAAUCUUUUGAGCCUAGUUAGUCCAUGAUUGGAUAAUAUUUGUCAAAUACAAACGAAAGUGCUACAGUGUCGAUUUUGCAAAAUUUUUCGGAACUAAACAAGGCCUAAACCUAAAAGCCCAUGCAUUAUUGCUUUUUAAAAAGUUAAAGCGGUGAUGGAUGGUUUUGUUCAUGGCUCGAGGAGGAUGUGUCCUAGCUAGUUGUUGGUGGGGGAGGUGAGAGUACCUAGGAAAAUUUGCUUACAUUUUCCUGUACAUGCAUGCAUGCAACGCUAAUUGGAUGGAUAUGGUCGGAACAUGCAUGGGUCCACCAUUCACAUCUCUUGGUCCUACACGCACGCCUACUAUUGUGAUGCGUCUCAGCUUUUUAAUGUGCCUGCGUUGCAUGCAUGCAGCUGGGUACGUAAGGACACGCCGCAAGCUGCCCAAACUCUAGCUCUGCUUCCCGCAUUGCAUUGCAUUGUAUCUACCUCGUGGCGCAUUAGGGUUAGAGAGAGAGAGAGAGAGAGAGAGAGAGAGAGAGAGAGAGAGAGAGAGAGAGAGAGAGAGAAGUGUGGUAUAGCUAGCAUGCAUCCAUAUAUAUCCGAUCGACCUGUAGUUCAUGGCACAUUCAUUAGGUUUGGAAGAGUGAGAUCGAGGCAGGACGAUAUGUAGUACGUCGUCGUCCUUCGUAUAAACGGACAUUCGCUCAAUGUUGAAUUGUUGACAGACGACGAUGCGCGCGGCACUUUGUUUGACCAUGCAUGCAUUCAUCCGUGCAUGCAUGGAGCGUCUAUGUGCUUGUCCCUGAAUAAACUAAUUAAUCACUGCACGAACUCGAUCGCCUUGCUGUCAACUUAGCUUAGCUUAUUACAAGUGUGUUAACGACAAGCAAUCAUGGAAAUGAGCUGCAUAUAGACACUGUUCACAAUGCACGUUAUGUUGGAGCACUAGCUAUAGCUAAUUAAUGAGCCAGCAAUUAACAAAACGCCUGCUAAACCAAAAUAUGCAUUUAAGCCAUGUUUCGUUUCCUCCGGUAAAGUUUAACUCCUGUCAUAUCGAGUGUUUGGACACAUGCAUUAAAUAUUAAAUAUAAAUUAUUUACAAAACUAAAAUAAAACUAGAGAGUAAUUUGCGAAAUAAAUCUUUUAAAUCUAGUUAGUCUAUAAUUAGAUACUAAUUGUCAAAUAAAACAGAAAUAUGCUAUAUGCUACAGUACAUCCUUAACCGGCAAGUACAGGCCGGGUGAGGCAUGUCGGAUGCUAGAGAUGGCCAAAUGGGCUAAGCCCAAUAAUACGCAGCCUAAGCACAUAUGGGCCUACUAAAGCAUCGCAUUACAUUAUGGGUCGAGCCACUAUGUGUCUCGUGCCCUUUUUUACCAUUCAAAAUGGGUGCUCUCAGGAUGGAUCAUAAUUAUGCCCCUUUUUAAUUCGAGAGCAAUGUUGAUCAAAUUUCGUCGUAGUUGCAGCACAGCCAAAAAAAAAAACUAACAAAAAGAGCCUGUCAGACAACCCAUGGGCCAUCCCAGCCAGGCAAGCCUGGCCGGAAACGAUCAUCUACAGCACCGGACAAAGCGUCAGAGCCAAUCCUGGCCGUUAAUCACGCUCUGGCCCACAGGUCAUGGCUCAUCAACCAGGCUUAAGUGCUUGCCUCCUUAUUAAUCAAGGAUGCAGCGGUACGAUCCUAUAGAACAGAUCCUGUUCAAGUAAGGUCGUGCUACACCGCGCGAGGCGCAGCCUUAUAAGCUAGCUGAACGCAGUCUGCGCUUCCGAGGUGGUACUACUACUACUACGUUUCGCUAAGCUGUUCAGCUCGCCGCGCUAGCUAGCUAGGAUCUAGCUUGGGCCGUGGCCCAUGGGCCUUUCUCCUGUAAAAAAGGCCUAGGCCUUUGAGGAGGGCGGUCCAGUUGUUAGAGGGAGCUUGGGUGGCGUUCUUCAGAGCGGCUCGUGGCAAGUCCAGGCCAUUGUAAUCCAUGUCACUUGUUUCUUGAUUAAAAAAAAAGGCCUUUGUGUAGUGCAGUCCAUGUAUGGCUCAUCGCAUCUGGUCGAGUAAACAAACGGCUUUGUAUUGCAGUUGAUAUUCUGCGCCUUUUUUAGAUUCAUUCAUUCACAAGUAAACACAUAUCGAGCCACAUUAGAUUUAGCAUGUUUUUACCGUUGUCAUUUAUAUAGUGUUCUGACACGAUGGCAAACACAAAUGUGCCAGCAGCGAGGCAGUAAAGUUCGGAGACAGGUACUCUGCAACUUUAUGUUGUUGGGCUGCGUUUCGCUGUAACUUUGCAUAGGAAAAAGUUUACUUUUUCUCCUCUAAUUUUCAAGAUAAUCCACUUUUCCUCUCGUAGCUCUAAAACUGGACAAAUUAUCUUCCUUAAUUUUUUUAAACCGUGUAUUUUACUUCCCUGAAGUGAUUUUGAAGACAAUUUUGCUACAAUAAAGAUAUGAUGCUGAAAAUCCUAUCUCUACCGCAAGAAGCAAAGAUGAAAAUAGUUGGUCUUCUUUUUUCACGGUGGGAGGCAUGCAAUAAGGCAAAGGUUGGUGAACAGUUGUGGUCGACAACAGAGAUUGUUCACAGAGCCAUGUCAACAAGCCUUUUUUUGCUCUAUGCAGUGGUGAGAGAAAGGUGUAAAACCGGAGAUGGAGAAGGUACACUGGUGUCCGCCAAACUCAGAAUAUGUGAAAAUUAAAUUUGAUGGUUCUUUUAUCGAGGACAAAAAGAGUGGAGCCUGGGGAUUUACUAUGAGGAAUCAUGAAGGAUCUAUGAUCUUGGCAGGUGCAUGAAACUUAGAUAAUGUUUAUGAUGCUCUAUGUGCAGAAGCGCAUGCAUGCUUGAUAGCUAUCACCGUGGCAGUAGAUCAAGGAAUGAUGCAAAUUCAGUUUAAAUCGGAUUCUAUGGUUUUGGUAAAAGCUCAUAGAUCUCCUGAUUAUGAUCUUUCAGCUGGAGAUACUAUGUUUAGAGAAGCUAAAUUUCUUCUAGACACUCAUCAUUUCUUUUGAUAUAAGUUAUGUUCCACGUUCUUAUAAUGUCUGUGCACAUGAGUUAACUCGCUAUGUUUGUCAUUGGACCCGGAUCAAUCUUAUGUCUUGGUUGAUUCUCUCCCAGAGUUUGUAAUCUCUGUAGCGGUUCGUAACCUUCACGAUCCACCAGAGACAUAAUAAAGCUGCAAGUCUUUAUCUUAAAAAAAUGUAAAACGCUCUAAGCACUCUGGCGCAAGUCCACACUAAAACUCAAAAAUACAUGUAUUUUUCUGUAUUUAUUUCAUACAUAAAUUAACGACGCUGUUCUUUCUUUUAGUAGUUGUGGAAGACGUACCCAUCUACCAAUCUCAGAAUAUGGCGUAUAAAGGGGAGUGAAUGCAUAUUUUUAUGCACUUGUUUUAAGAAAAAAAAGUGAAAACAUGUUUUUUAAGUAUAGUAUACACCUCCAACAACUCAUUUGUCAGUAGAAUUUCAUAAUCCAACCUAAUCUCAGUUCAGAACUCUAAAAUCUACUGUUGGCAGCUUUAGAAUUUAGAAACCGCAAAUCCGCAAUCCCCACUUAAAUAAAGCAGAAUCAGAUUGCUUUCUGCAAAAAUUCCACACCCGCAUCCUCAAGCUUUUCACUGAAGUAUACAAAGGACAAAAUUUAGAAUCUUUUUCCUCAACGAGCGAGGCUGUCAAACAGUAGCCUAGAACGUGUUCAAAAAUCACAUUGCUCCGAGAACCUUGUGAAAGCAAAGCCUGAAGUAACAGUUCAUGCCCAAAGUCACACAAAUGCAGCACUGUCCUCUUCAUGGUGUAUGCAGUUCCUCAAACCCAAUGUCCUUUGAUGAUUGACGUAUAGGCCACCUGAAAUGCAAUGAGGAGAUUAGUAGUGUCACUACCAAUUUGCAUGGCGAAGGCAAAAACAACUCAUACAAAUUAGAUCAUACAAUGGAUUUUGGGCACAAAAUGUUAUUUUACAUCUUAAGUGGACUGAAAAUCGGGGGACAACUGUGAUACAUCAAACAUUGUAAACAACACAUUAGAAAAUACUCCCUUCUUUUACUCCCACUUGUAGGAUGAAUAGUGAAUGCUAGAAGUGCAUGCAAAGUGCAUAAAUAAUAUACACAGUCAUUUCCCUAAACUAUCAAUGCUAGCUUCCAAAAGAGUAAAAUCUAUUGAACACAAACCUAUCUUUAAUGCUGCCAAAGAAAUUUAAUAAUACUAUUAAUAAUAUAUACAUAUAUCUUCAACAAGCAUCAGAGAUCCUGGUCAUCUGGUGUUAGUGCUGCAAACCUUUUUCAAUUCAAAAAUAUUAUAAAAGAAAACAAAUUCUACAACACACAUGCACACACAGAAUUCCCUGUAUUUUAACCAACCCCAUCCCAGCACUGAGGCAUAAAUCAUCAUCCUCUGAUCUUGCUGUCCACAUUUAUACCCUCCUUCAUGUAUAUGGUCUAUAAAACAGCACGUCAUGUUUAAUUUAUAAUAUUGUUUGAGGGAAGAAACAUUUUAUCAUACCAAAAAUCAUCUAGCAUGUCUAUCAACCUUGAAUAGGACUCACAGAAUUGCCGAUCUAUGAGAGAGGCUUAGGUAUAACUUCAUUUUGCUUUGUACAAAGCAAAAGUAAAAUUCCAUGUAAACUAAUUUGGCAAGAAUAAAACAACAAUGCCACCAUAGCACCUGAGGAAUGAGCCAAAUUUCUCACUCCUGCUGCCCAAAAAUAUGCUCUUCAUCAUCUAAGCCCCAGUAAUGACGUGGAUAGCCCAUGAUGAAUUGAUUAUUAUGUUCAAAGGGGAAAAAACUACGUUUACCCUAUAUCAUGCAGCCGGUCUAUCAAGAAUGAACCUAGCUCGCAGAGCUGCCAUUACAUGACAAAACUCAGGAAAUAAUUUCAGUUUGGUUUGUACAAAGCCAAAGAAAAAUAUAGGUGCGAAAUUUUGGUCCAGGGGAAACCCACAGCAGCGCCUUCAUGUCACAUGGGCACCAAAGGCAACUGAAAAUCAAAUCACUGCACGUCUAAUGAUCAUGAAUCUCUAAUUUUGCAGAACUUCUAUUCAAAGGCACAUGACUAACUUCACUUCGGUUUUAUAUGAAGCUAAAUAAAACAAAUCUUGCUAACAAAUUUGGCUCCAAAAAAAUGACAGCAGCAUUUCAGUUUAGUAUUUAGAAACAAUUUCAAACACUGGCCAGUCAGAAAACUAAAAAUACAAGGAAAGCACAGUACAAAAUCCACCCAAAUACAGUAGAAAGAACACACAAACAUCUACUGUUAAGUGUUAAGAACCAAAGGAAACAACUCAAUACACUACCACCCUUUUUAGUCCACUAUAUGUAUCUACUUAUCUAGCUAGAUGGAAUUUCAGAACUAGAACACUGCCCUUCAUUAGAUACUAAUAAAGUAACGAUAAAGAUGCCCAUACAAAAAUGUGAAGAAGUUGCAAGAAUGAAUUAUGAGGAUGGCAAACCUUAGAAGAUAUUCUUUACAGAACUAGUUACCAGAACAAGUCUUAGCUCUUUCUCUUUCCCUCUGUCAGGCCACCAAGGAGCUCCCACUGGUGUUUUCCAGCACAGCUAGAAGCAUAAGCAGCAGCAAGACCUGGGACACUCAUCUCGUGCGGGUGCACAAGUUUAGCCAGGAGAUUAUCAUUGCCCAUCACUGCAAUAGUAUAGAAGCUGAAACUAGAAGUCACCAAUCCCUUGUCCUCGAGAAAUUUCAUCAAGUAAUAGCGCGGCAACAACCGACGCUCCACACUAUACAAUAGCAACACUGGCCGAUACACAAUGUCUGGCAUCUGCAACCCAACAUCACCCAUUAGAAAAUCCAAGCUUUUGCGAACCCUUUCCGGAGCUAAGUUCAGGAUAUUCGGCGCCUUCCUCACUGCUGACGCUAUAUCAUCCCUCGACCAGCCAAGCUUCUCAAACAGCUGUAUAUUACUCUCGAGCUUCUCACGGUUGAAGAUCGCAAACCUCAUGAACGCGAAGGGGAAAGCCCACGUGCCCUGCUGGAUUCCAAACUCGGCAACGCGUGCCAGAGUUUCCUGGAGGUGCUCAUUGCUCCUGACAAGUAUCCGGGACAAGAAAGUGCUGGGGAUAUCGGAAAUCUGCAUCCCGCAUCGCUGAAGAAGGGCCAGGUUGGGCUUGGCGACCUUGUCGAGGUUGGUGCUGAGGAGGCUGCCGUUCAUCUUGACGAACCGCAGGAGCUCGUCGAAGGAGCCGAAGACCCCAAGCCAGAAUUCAAAAUUGCGGAGGAGCGAGCGGCUGCGGAUCCGGGCCUGAGCGGCGAGUACUACCUGGCCGACCUGGUGGCUCGACAGGCCGAGGCUGCGGAGCUCGGCGACGCGGGGGGCCAAGGUCUUCCCCACGUCGACGCAGAGGAGUCUGGGAUCUUUGGCGACGACGGUGGCGAGGUCGGUGCCGGAGAUGUCGAGGCCGGCCAGGAAGGCGAGCACGGCGUCGGGCUUCGAGGGAGAGCUGAGUCCGGGGAUACUUUUGGAUGCCUUGAGGGCCUGCUCUCCGGAGAGGCCGCAUCUGGCGACGAGGUAGUCGGCGACCGUGAAGGGGCUGCUCGCGGCGGCGGCGGAACCGCAGAGGAGGCGAUGGAGGGGGGCGAUGCAGGAGGUUGAGCGGCGGGACGAGGAGAGUAGGUGUGGAAGAAUGCAAUUUCGGAGGCGGAGCAUAGCGUCGGGAGCGGCCGGCGGCCGGCGACCGACGGCGGGAGGGAUUGCGGUGAGUGAGACUGCGCCUUCAGCCUUGGGCCCUUGGCAUUUGGCAACUCCACAACCGAAGGCCGAAGCAUCCAAUUUGGGCCGUAGCCCCUCAUCCAGAUUUCAGCACUUUUCAUCACACUCCAGGCCGAUUCACACACAUUUUUCUAACCUAAUUCUCAUUUCAGCCUCCUAUAUUCCAUCCACUCAAAAAAAAAGCUGUAUUUUAUACAUAAUGUAUUACCAAGUUUAAUGGUAUUUUAAUUUAAACAGCAUUAUUUUAGAUUUGCAUUUUAAAUUGCUUAAGUUUUUAACUGAUAAAUAUUUAACAAAUUAUUUUCACAUCAAAUAAUUCGCAACUGUUAUAUUUUGAACAGGGAUCUUCCAAUGGCUAUAAAUCAAACAGCCAUCCUUCCCACGGCUAUAUUGCAAAUUUUGUCUAAUGUAUUACCAAGUUUAAUGGUAUUUUAAUUUAAACAGCAUUAUUUUAGAUUUGCAUUUUAAAUUGCUUAAGUUUUUAACUGGUAAAUAUUUAACAAAUUAUUUUCACAUCAAAUAAUUCGCAAUUGUUAUAUUUUGAACAGGGAUCUUCCAACGGCUAUAAAUCAAACAGCCAUCCUUCCCACGGCUAUAUUGCAAAUUUUGUCUCCAAGAUGCUAUAUGUUUCAUCUGCAUAUAUGCAGGGGCGAACUUACAAGCAAAUGAAUCCCGGUGCACUAUUUAAGUAACUCACACAACUUUAUUGAAACAUAUGGUGAGAAAUAAAUACCCUGGUGCCUGUGCACCAGGUUACUUCAACAUGGCUUCACCCCUGUAUAUAUGUGUGGUCUUCACUUGAUUCAUGCAUUACUUUUUUUCCACUGUGUUGUUCUUACUCCAUUAGAAAUAAGUUAUCUAACUUGAUUGGAUUCCUCUUCCUCGUAUGAUGAUAACAACGAUUUUAUGGAGUCUGAUCCUUAAUGUAUUACACUAAAAACACACUCAAUAUUAACCUCUUCAUGCUUCACAAAGGGUGAAUCUAUACCUAGGCGUUAUUACAUUCACUGGAACAGAGAAAGUGGUAAAUGGAGGGUUUUUCUGAAAAUCCAACCUACAUCCAUAUUUUCUUUUUUUUUUUUCUAUUUGUCCCUCAAGUUUAGCAUGACUCGUUCUCUAAUUCUACACAUAUGGUUCAUAAUCAUACAUACUCCCUCCGUCCACAAAUAAAUGCAUAUCUCAUAUCCCGAGGAGUCAAACCUUUUUAAGUUCGACCAAGUAUAUAAAAAAAUAUACUAAUAUUUAUCAUAUGUAACAUGUAUCAUUAGAUUGACCAUGAAAUAUACUUUUAUAAUAUACUUAUUUGUAGAUACAAAUAAUAAUACUACUCCCUCUAUCCCAAAUUGUAAGUCAUUCCAAGAAUCUUGGAGAGUCAAAGCAUUUUCACAUUUGACUAAAAUUAUAGAGAAAAAUACUAAGAUUUGUAACGUAAAGUAAGUAUACUAUGAAAAUAUAAUUAAGAAAGAAUCUAAUGAUACUUAGUUAGUACUAUAAUAAUAAUUAUUUUAUAAUAUAAAUUUGGUCAAACUUAAAAAAGUUUGACUCUCCAAGAUUCUUGGAAUGACUUACAAUUUGGGAUGGAGGGAGUAUUUGAUAUAUUUCUAGUCGAUUUUAAAAAAGUUUGACUCCUCGAAAAGCGAGAUGUGCAUUUAUUUAUGGACGGAGAGAGUAUGAGUUUCUUGGAUUCAUAUGUCUGUAUCACAAAUAGACAAUUCACACCCAACAUUUUGAGUUUCACUAGAUUUUGUUGUUACGUUUGGGUCCUCAGUGUUUUGUUUUUGGUUUAGACUCAAGCAGGGCGGAUCUAAAGGGGGGCUGGGGGGCUCUAGCCCCCCCCCCCCCCGGCCCGCCAACAAUAGUUAGUGCAUCAAUGGAAAUAUGGGGAGGGUGAGGAAGAAGAAGGGGUGGAGGAAAGAAGAAAAAUGGAGAGAAGAAGAGAUCAACCCCUUUAAUCUUAUUUUGCAUCCGCCACUGGACUCAAGAAUAUAAUAUUCAUAAUCAUGUACUAUGAUGAAUGCAUGCUUAAAAUAUAAUCACUUAAAAAAGUGAUUGUCCAUUAUAGUUAAGGACUUUAAGGUAUAUGGCGCAUGUGUCACCUCUGCCAUGACAAUGAGCUUGUUCACUUAGCUAAAAAGUCAUAGUUGAAAGUAUUAUUCGCUGAUUUGUUAUGAGAGAAAAAUACUAUUGAAUGAGUAGUAGAUUCAGCAAAGAUAAGCUCGAAGACAGCAGAGGAUUUACACCAUUUAUGGUCAUUCCACGUAACACAUGCCAUCGUCAUGCGCUAUUGCGCUGGGAUAUUUUUCGCAACAACAUUCCUCGUCCAAGCACUGCAUACACACGCAUCAAACUAGGCAACCCAUCGUGGAUUCAUGUUACUACUCCAGAAAGAAUCAAUGGUCGAUCGAUAGAGCGAUGGAGUAAUUAACGAUGAUUGAUCGAAAAUUGAAUAUGGUACAGGCCAUCGAUAUAGAUUGAUUCAUCCACACUGAUGUUACAUGCGAUCUGUGCUUAGUUUACAUCGAUCUCGUGCAACUACUACACGCCUACGAUUGAAAACAACAAGUAGAGUACAAGAGACCUCGCUCGACAUGCACGCAUGGAUGCUCUGCUCAGCUUCAGCUCGCUCGCUCGAUCAGCUUUAGUUGCCGGGGACGAAGUUGGUGGCGUAAGCCCAGGCGUUGUUGGCGACGGGGUCAGCGACAUGGUCGAAGAGGUUCUCGAUGGGUCCCUUGCCGGUGACGAUGGCCUGGACGAAGAACCCAAACAUGGAGAACAUGGCGAGGCGGCCGUUCUUGAGCUCCUUCACCUUGAGCUCCGCGGCGGUGUCGGGGUCAUCGGCGAGCCCGAGCGGGUCGAACGCGCCGCCGGGGUAGACCUUGUCGAGCCCUUCCCCGAGCGGGCCGCCGCCGACGCGGUAGCCCUCGACGAAGCCCAUGAGCACGACCUGGCACGCCCAGAUGGCCAGGAUGCUCUGCGCGUGCACCAGGUUCGGGUUGCCCAGGUAGUCCAGCCCGCCCUCCGAGAAGAUCUGCGCGCCGGCCUUGAACCACACCGCCUCGCCGAACUUGACGCCGUUCUUGGCCAGGAUCUCCGGGAACACGCACCCCAGCGCGCCCAGCAUCGCCCACCGCGAGUGGAUCACCUCCAGCUCGCGGUUCCGCGCGAACGUCUCCGGGUCCGCCGACAGCCCCGCCGUGUCCCACCCGUAGUCGCCGGGGAACUCGCCGGUCAGGUACGACGGCGUCUGCUCCGAGAACGGGCCAAGGUACUUGGGGCGGUCAGGGCCGUACCUGCAGCAGCCAGAGCUAGUGUCAGUUCUCAGCGACAGCAAGCGAGCUGUAAACAUGGAUGGAUGGAUGAAUGUGCGGAGCAGAGAGCACGUACCAGAUGCUCUGGGGAGCGCUCUUGACGGUGCGGCGCAUGGUGAUGCGGCCGCCGGCAUCGGCGGCGGCGGCGGCGGGGCGGGAGACCAGGGCCUGCCCGAGGAAGCUGGUGGUCUGGUGAAGCGCCGACGCGGCCAUCGUCGUUCUGUGUGUGAGCACGGCGCGGCACAGUGGUCAGUGAGAAAUGUUCGGUGGCGGUGGUGGUGGUGGGAAUGGCCGGUGUGGGGAGGAGAUCUUUAUACGACGACGGGUCGACGGCUCAACGGUGCGCGGCGCGACUGGUGGAUGCGCGGCGCGCCACGUCCGCGCCGAGGCCAUUGGCUGCCGCCGCGCCUCUCUGGAUAUCGCGCGCCGGGGCGACCAAUGGGCGGCUGCCAGGUGGAGGCAAAGAUCGCCCCGCCCAAAUCCAACGCUAUCUGGAGUCUGGACCAAACAGCUCAGCAAUCACGGUCGUCGCCGUUGUAUCUCUUGUUACUCCUAAACUAGAUUCCUGUCAAAAUGCAGUGACGAUGAGCAGCGCCGGCCCUGAGGUUUUGGUACAUGCAUGUAGUUGUUGUAAAUAUAUAUAAAUAUACUUCCUUCGUGUAGAAUUUAGAAGUCGUUUAGGAUAGUGACUUGGUCUCCAAAACACAACUUUAACCUCUUAUUUUUAUAAAAGUAUUUAGAAAAAAUGAUAUAUGUAUACUUUUAUGAAAGUAAUUUUCAACACAAAUCUAUUCAUAUAAUUUUUACAUUUGCAAACUCAACAAUUUAAAAGUUAUCGAUGAUUUAUAUUCCUAAUGUUUGACACGAACCUUGUCCAAAACGACUUCUAAAUCCUAUAGAAUGAGUAUAUAUAUAUUCAUAAAUACUCAACUGUGCAUGCAAAAGCAGUAUUCAUAUGCAACAAUUCAUAAAAUGUACAUUCCUUGUAACAUUCCUCGAUGCAAAUUCAUUGAUGAUGGUAUCAUUAUCGAUCUCAUCCAAAAAUCAUUUCUCAAUGCAUAAUGUUGCCAAACCAUUUAGGCCCCGUUUGGUUACCUAUGGUAAACUUAACUCCUAUUAUGUUGAAUACUUAGACACAUGCAUGAAGUAUUAAUUAUUAAACAUAUACUAUUUUUAAAACUAAAAACAUAGCUAGAGAAAAAGCAGCUUCCUGUUUGUGCAGUUAGAGCAUCUCCAUAAGUUUUUUCUUGUUUGUGCAGCUAGAGCAUCUCCAGAAGUUUGGUAUAAUUUACUUGCUAAACUAACAGAUCUAGCAAGUUGUUAAUAAAAUAAAUGGCAACUUUAAAUUUUGUUCUUCUCCAACAGUAACCUAUAAUAGAUUUCUAAAAUUUAAAAAUUUAUAGUAAGGUCCACAUAUAUUUGUUAUUUUUUGUUUAAUCAUAUCUUUUACUAGAGGGAUAGAGAGUUCUCUCUACUGGUGCAAACUAUGAGUUGAGAAGGAUAUUUGACAAGUUUUUAUUUUUAACUACCUCUUUUACUAAACUAUUGGAAAAGACUUUUUUUUUACUAAAAAAUCAAGAUAGAAAGUUGUUUUACCACAUUCAUGGAGAUGCUCUUAGCCAUGGCAAAAGAAUGUGGAGGGAAGGCCACGAGUGGAGGACAUGGCGAAGUUUCGCCGGUGUACAUAUGCAGGCUAUAGCCACCUGUGCGCUCUCGAUUGCCGUAGAUGCAGGGCACAGACACAUAUGUGCUCUUGACCGGAGGGGAAGCCACCGGCGGAGCACAAGGACAUGCCCAGGCCGCGGCUUCUUCAUCACCGCCGGUAGAGGAGGAGGCCACGACGCCGCCGUGGGGGUCGUCGACCACGAUUCGUUCGAUUUGCAGUCGGUGUUCCAGCGAUACACAUCGCGGGCUGUCACGUGUAGCCCGCAUGCAAACUCACUGGCGGCUGCUGCGGACGCGGGACGCCGGGAUGGGCUGAUCGCCGCCCCGCCGUUUGCCACAGAUUCGCUCCUCAUCGCCGCCGGCCUUUGCCCUGUCAUUGAGCCCGUAGCCAUGCAUGUGCGCUCGUGGCCGCGCUCGGAACAACGUCCACGCCGCUCGGUACGGUACUGCGUUCGCUGCGCCGCCGCCGAGACGAGCCUGCGAAGCUUCGAGCGAGAGCGAGCGAUAUAGGGCGUGUUUGGUUGCCCGCAUAUGGGCGAACCAGGCUCCCUGGAUGCAGCGUUUCGGUGUUUGGUUCCCUUCUCUUCUCUCUAGCCUGGCUUUUCCCGUGCAAAGGACCCCCGGAGCUAGGCUCCGAAGCUACGCUCGAAUCGGCCGUUUUUCUUCAGCCUGGCUCGCUCCGUGCUCUCGCGUGCUCGCGCGGUCGGCGAUUCCGUGCGCGGGGAGAUGGCGCGAAGUUUCUAGGGUUACCUCCCUCUUUCCCGCCAUUCACUGCCUAUAUAUCUCUCCUUUCCCGCUUCCUCCCUGUCUUCUCGUCGCUCCGCGUCUGCGCCGCCGGUUCCUAGGGUUCGUGGUCUUCUCCCUCUCCCCCUUUGUUCUUGGUUUGAUUCGUUUCAUGCUAUUGAUUUUUUUUUCUCACUGGAUUUGUUGCAGGGCAAGUGGAUCUGACGAUUUUCGUAGCCGGUGAGUUCUCCCUCAUUUUCUCCUCUUUUUGUUACCGAUUUGUAAACCCUAACUUGUGUAAAUGUUUGUUGUGGAUCUGUGCGUGCAGAUCCGACGUCCCCUGAACUGCUGCUGUGCUUUGCUGGGUCUUGUGCGUUGACGUGGGUAAUUUGUUCAUCUCCUCCCCCUACCCCCCUCUAAUCUGCACCGUGUGAUAUAGAGUUUUGCCUUCUUUGAUUUGGAUGCAUGUCGUACUUUUAAUAUUAAGAGCAAUUAUAUGAAGAUCCUUUUUUUGCUAAGCUAUUGCUCAAGUCGAUGAUUACAUUGUUAUGUUUGAGCAUAUGUUGAAGUCUAUGAUGAUUGUUCAUUAUGUCUGAGCAUUUGUCCAAGUCUAUGAUGAUUUUCAGUUAGUCUGAGCUUAUGUCCUAGUCUAAGCAUUUAUUCCAUGUUUUAUCUUCUAGAUGGAUUUGCAAGAGAAGAGGCGCAUGCUUUUUGCUCGUGCUGCAGCUCUUGUUGCUGCUAUGUAUGCCCUACUUUUUGCUAGGAUUAGAAUGAUUCAGUCCUCAAGGCCUCAGAUCAGUUAUGGUCCUUUGAGUAAGUGGGAUGAGGAAAGGCAAAAGAACCUAGACUUAAUUUACAACUACAAUGAUGUUGAGUGUGUGAACAUGCUUCGCAUGAGAAGGGCACCCUUCUUUAGCUUGUGUAACUUGCUUAGGGAGAGAAAAUUGCUAGCAGACAGCAUUAAUUGUUGUGUAGAAGAGCAAGUUGCUAUGUUUCUUCAUAUUGUGGGGCACAACCAACAUUUUAGAGUGAUUAGGCAAAACUGGAGAAGGUCUAUAGAGACUGUCCAUCGCCAUUUCAAAGAGGUGUUGUAUGCAAUUGGAGAACUUAGGCAAGAUAUGAUUAGACCUCCAUCCAAUGAGACACCCCUUAAGGUUAGCAACAGCCUAAGGUGGUAUCCAUAUUUGAAGGUAAAUAAUUUGUCAUUUAGAAUUUAGGUUGUUGCUACAUGGGUUCAUGUCAAUUCACUAUACACUUUUGCAUGCCAUGUAGGACUGUGUUGGGGCAAUAGAUGGUACACAUAUCUAUGCUAAAGUGCCAGCCAAGAUCCAAGCUGCAUUUAGGGGUAGGAAGAACCACCCAACACAAAAUGUCCUUGCUGCAGUCGACUUUGACUUGAAAUUCACCUAUGUUUUGGCUGGCUGGGAGGGAUCAGCACAUGAUGCAACCAUUCUAGCUGAUGCACUAGAGAGACAUGAUGGGUUAAGGGUUGCACCAGGUAACUAAGGCCCUUAUUAAAAUUUUUAAAACAUAUAGUUACAUACACAUGAACCUAAUGCCUGCCCAUUCUUCUUUUAGGCAAGUUCUACUUAGUUGAUGCUGGGUAUGCAUGUCGCCCAGGGUUUCUGCCUCCUUAUCGAGGGACUAGGUAUCAUCUCAAAGAAUUUGGUCCUAGGAACAACCCAACAAACUAUAAGGAAUUAUUUAAUUUGAGACACUCUAGCCUGAGAGUUACCGUUGAACGUGCCUGUGCUUUGAAGAAUCGUUUUCGCAUGAUUGACAACAAACCCUUCCAUCCCUAUAAGACACAAGUGAAGUUAGUACUUGCAUGUUGUAUAUUACAUAAUUGGAUCCUUGCUCAUGGGGUUGAUGAAGUAGUUCCUGCUGAGUUCUCCUGGGUGCCAAAUAAUAACCCCCCUUUACCCCAUGUCCAUAUGGAUGACAAUGCUGCUUGGGCUCUUAAAAGGGAUGAAUGGGCAACCCACAUGUGGGCUAAUAAGGGUUCCUCUCGCAUCUAGACCUGUAUUGUAAGUUUUGCUCAUUUAUAUUUUAAGGACAUAAGCUGUGAUGACUAUUUAUUUCUUGAGAUAAUGCACUUGAUCUGAGACUAUGGACAAAUGCUGUGAUGACUCUUUAUUUCUUGAGAUACUGCACUGCAUCUGAGGCUUUGUACAUAUGCAAUGAUGAUUACUUCAUUUUUUGUUAUUACUUCUUAUGAACUGAGGCAAGUAGGCAUGUGCUAUGAUGAUUUCUGUUAUUACUUCUUAUGAACUGAGGCAAGUAGGCAUGUGCCAUGAUGAUUUCUGUUUCUAAGUGCCAUCUGGCUCUGCAAAUAGGCCAUGGCUGAGGGGGGCAUGCCUGCUGACCACCUUGUGUUUCCUGGAGUUGAGGAUGUUGCUGGGGAUAUUGGUCAUGGGGAGAUUGGGGCUGGGGAUGUUGGUCAUGGGGAGAUUGGUGCUGGUUUCACAACUGCAUCACAGGUUCUAGCUCAGCAGAGGACAAAUCUGAGGUGGACUGACCCUAUGUCUGGGUUUGUGCUGCGCCACAUGUGCCAGCUCAUAACCACUGGAGUUAGGACUGAUAAGGGUUUCAAGGAAGUUCACCUUAAUCAGGUAGCCAAAGCGCUGCAUGAGUUCAGUGGGCAAGAGGUCACUGGUACCCAGGUGUACAACCACCUAAGAAAGUGGAGGCAGAGGUGGGUGAGAGUGACCAAACUGAGAGAGCUAAGUGGUGCUUUGUGGGAUGAGGAUGCAUGCAUGAUUGUGCUAGAGGAGGAGCACUACAAUGGCCAUACCCAAGUAAGCAAUCUUAGCACAGAGUGUCCACUUCUGACUUCAAACUUAUUUCAAUGCUAAGUGCCACUUCUCAUUGUUUGUGUAGGCACAUCCCAAAGAUGCUGAGCUCCUGAACAAACCCAUCCAACACUACAAGCAGAUGAUGAUCAUCUUUGGAAAUGGUCAGGCAACUGGUAAGUAUGCCAUGGGAUCAAAUGAACCACUGGGUACUCCAUCUGACUUUGCUGAGAGCUCCCUCAAGCCUGACCCAACAGAGCUUCUUAGUGGGAAAACUGACACAGUUGAUGCUACAAAAACUGAGGUGGUUGUUGGGAACAAGAGGAAGAGAUCUGUGCUUGCUGAUGAGGAUGUGGUGUUGUUCACUGGAAUGGCAGAUGCUGUGAGAGAUGUUGCAGAUGCUAUUAAGUCUACUAAGGUGGAGGAUUCUCAUCCAGAGUUGUAUGCAGCUGUGAUGUAUGUGCCAGGCUUCACUGACGAAGCCCUGAUGUGUGCUUAUGGUCACCUGUUGGACAACAAGGCCCUGGGCACAGCUUUUGUCAAGAUGGUUGACUCCCACCGUGUCUUGUGGCUGAGGACUUUCUUGGCCAAGCACUACUAUGUGUGAGGUGCUUUGAAGCUGGUGGUUGAUCCUUUUGUGCAGUGCAUGCCCCUCUUUAGGUGACUGCUUGAUGGUGUGCAGUGGUGGUUUCUUUUGUGCAUAGCUUACUGCAGUUGGUGGUUGUGUAGUGGGCUGACCUACUCUUUUGUGCAGUUGAUCUGAUCCUGCAUUCUUCCUACUAACACUAACUUAUAGUUAGUGUCUUGCAUAUUCUAGUGUAACCCUGCCCUUCCAUCCUAGAUCAACCAAGUUGUUGGAUGUACUUGAUGAGAACCAAGAUGGUUCUGAACAUGAUCUGAGCAUGUGCCUAUGCAUCAGAUUUUAAACUAUUAUUAUGCUCAUGCAUUAAUCUGAGCAGGAUGCAUGCAUGUUUUAUUAUUUGGUCUGAGCACAUGCCUAAUCUUGCCAGUGAUGUUUUCUUGUUUGUUUGCCAAUGAUGAGUAUGACUAAGUUAUAUUAUGUCAUGCCUGUCAUCAAAGUAUGUGAUAGUGAGUUGGCCUACACAAUGUUGUUUCUGACUUUGUUGUGUGGCCAGCUCACUUCACAUACUUCCAUGGCAUGUAUGAGUUUCAUUACAUACUCUGAGGUUUUGUUGUGGCCUAUGAUGACAAAAAAAAGUAUGAGGUGGCUAUACUGUUUUUCUUGUGUCAUUCAUCACAUCUGAAGGAACCAUAAACUUUACUUAGCAACAAUUGGGUUCAUGACUCAAGGUGAUGGCUAGAAGUUUAUGGUACUCCAGAUGCCAUGGGUGCCACAAUUCUUUGGAUUUUCUAUUAGAGCUACCUAUGAUUACUACCUUAUCUGUGCACAUGACAAUCUGAGGUGGCUUUACAUGUUUAGUUGCUGUUGUAUUGUAUGGCUACCUUUCAUUCAUGGGUAUCAUCAGGACAUGAGAUACAUCCAUCCCCAAUGCAACAGGUUUGGACUUACCACCUGAUGGCUGAGGAUGGAGUGUCUCAUGGCCCCAUGGUACACAUGAAACAGUUAUUUGGGAUCAUGAAAGUGGCCACCAGGGAUGAUUGUCUUAAACAAAAUUUGUGCAGAAAAAAUUAAUAUCUGAGGCCCCUAUUAUUUGACACUGAUGUUAAUUUUAUGAUAAUAUUUAUAACUCACCAGAUUCUGCCUAUUUUUCUUGCUACUCUUUUCUUGAACAGCUAUGGCUUGGUAUGUGGUUCACGUUGGCAAGAAACCGGGUGUGUAUUCUACCUGGGAAGAAGCACAUGAGCAGGUGAAUGGCUUCAAGGGUAACUGCUAUAAGAAAUACAACAGCAGGAACCAAGCUGUGCAAGCCUUCUAUGGACAUUCCCUUGACAAUCCUCCUCUUCUACAACCUGUCAAUCCACCUCAUGUCUACAAUGAUGGAAACGAUGGGAGCCUCGCCUUGUGGCUUGCAGUUUUUAAAAUUGUAAUACUGCUAGUUGUAGUUUUGCUAAUAGGCUUUCUAAUUUGGAAGCUGCUGUAACAGCUUCUGUGUGUGGGUAGUGGUAACCUUACCAAAGGUGCAAACUGGUGACAACACCACCUUGUAUGCAAGCAACCAAACACCACCUUGUAUGUCCAGGAUUUGAAUUCCAUGCGGGCGCAGGUAACCAAACAGCGGCUAAUGCUGGCCACGCUGAGCUGAUGCAGGUAACCAAACAAGUGCCUGUUGCAUGUGUUCAUCCUGGCCAAUCCUAGCCUGGCUGGCUAGUGCUACCCAGGAUCAGCUGAGAAGUGAACCAAACACGCCCAUAGUUGACUAGUUGUCGUAUUCAGCCCAAAACACCUGUAGUAAUUUUAGCAGGCUGAUUGGUCAUAUCCAACCAGCAAGUUUUGUUGUGGGCUAGAAAGAAUAUUACGGGCUGUAGUUUACAAGUGUUUUCGAGUGAUUAUACACAGGGCUUCCAAACAGGGCCGAAUCUUCAUCGCAGACACAUAUACAUAUAUAAGAAAACAAGCAAUCUAAAAGGAAUCCUCAAUCAUCAAAUUUAUACUAAUUAGACAGCAAUGAAACAUAACACUUGUUAUUACUUAUUGUGACUGUUAGAAAUUUAUAGACAUUUUACUCUUUGACUUAAUCCAGAAAAUUAUAAUUAACAAAAUGGUGGCAUAUAUGUGCACGUGUGCAAAUCUACCGCUACACGGACUAGUGAUAAACAUUGCUGCAUACAUAAUGAAAAUAAUACAUAAUCGUUUAAGAUUAUACCUAGAGGAGAGACCAGUGCCGAAAGCACCGACAGCUCCAUUCACACUAGUCGACAUAGUGCGUUGCUUGAAGUAGCGGACCACAGUCGAUGCAGGAAGAUGUUCGCAAUGCAGUCCCACGAAUGUCCACCAGAAUCGGAAGUAGUCGAUCCGAGGAAGAAGAUGAUCCCGCGAACGUCCACCAGGAAGUAGUCGAUUCGAGAAAGAAGAUCCCGCGGACGUCCACCAGGAAGAAGACAAUUCCGCAAACGUCCAUUAGGAAGUAGACGAUCCUACGAAUCCGAGCAGGAAGUAGUCGAUCUCGCAAAUCUGAGGAAGUGAGCAGUCGCAGAAGACGCUUCCAAAAACCUGAUUGCCCGUAUACCCGAGCAGGUGUCUCGAUGCGAGGCACCGGGUUUCGGAGGCCUGCUCUCCCGAUCUCUGUGCGCACAGAGGUUCGGGACGGAGAUGGAAGAGAACAACUCGACAAGGACAGGGAGAAUGAUUCUGGUCGCGCAGGGAGACACUACCGACGCUGAGGCUGAGUGGAAGCUUCCAUGUUGUGGCCUUGGAAUGAUUCCAUGGUUGUGGUUCUGCUUCCAUAGCUUCCAUGUUGUGAGUUCUGUUUCCAUGGUUGACUUCGUUAAGAUAAUAUGCUUGCAAGACUUCCAUGGAACAACGCCACCUCUAGGUAGAAACACAUAUCCACUUGUGGCCUCUAAAACAUCAGCAUCAGAAAUUCAAUUGGCAUCACAAUAACCCUCUAACACCUUAGGGUAUCUGGUAUAGUGAAUAUCAUACCUCAUAGUACCUUUCAAAUAGUGCAUCACUCUCUCAAGAGCUUGCUAGUGAAUAUCUCCUGAAUUUGACAUAAAUUGGCUUAGUUUGCUAACUACAAAUGAGAUAUCGGGUCUCAUAGCACUUGCUAGGUACAUCAGUGAACCUAUAAUAUAGGAGAAUUUUAGUUGAUCCCUUGCUAUUCUUCGAUUUUUCCUCAAUAACACACUAGGGUCAUAAGGCAUAAGAGCAUAUUGACAGUCACUAUAACCAAAGCGACUUAAAAUAUUUUCCACAUAGUAGGAUUGUACAAGUGUAACCCCACCAUUGUCUUAUUUUAAAAGCUUAAUAUUCAGAAUAUCAGUUUCUCCCAAAUCUUUCAUUUCAAAGUUAUUAGACAAGAACUCUUUAACUUCCUUGAUCACAUCAAGGCUGGUCCCAAUGAUCAGUAUGUCAUCCACGUUCAAACAUGGGAUCACACCUUCUCCCCCACCAAACCGAUAGUAUACACAUUUAUCAGCUUUGUUAACAACAGAGCCGACAGAAGUUAAAGUUUUGUCAAACUUCGCAUGCCAUUGUUUUGGAGCUUGUUUUAGGCUGUAUAGGGAUUUUAAUAGUUUACACACCUUGCCUUCUUGACCGCUUGUUACAAACCCAUCAGGUUGAUCCAUAUAGAUCUCUUCCUCUAGCUCUCCAUUUAGGAAAGUUGUUUUAACAUCUAUCUGAUGAAUGAGAAGACCAUGAGAGGCAGCCAAGGAAAGUAACACUCUAGUCAAACAAGCAACAUGUGAAUAAGUAUCAAAGAAAUCUUCCCCUUCUCUUUGGGUGUAACCCUUAGCCACAAGCCUAGCCUUGUACCUCUCAAUCGUACCAUCAGGGCUAAGCUUUUUCUUAAACACCCAUUUGGAGCCUAUAGGUUUACGCCCAUAUGGGCGUUCAACAAUUUCCCAAGUCCCAUUAGACAUUAUUGAAUCCAUCUCAUUCCUUAUUGCUUCCUUCCAUAGGUCAGCAUUAGGAGAGAAAAAUACCUCUUUAAUGGUAGUUGGGGUAUCAUCCACGAGGUACACAAUAUAGUCAUCUUCAAAAGACUUUAUUUUUCUUGUCUCUUGCUCUUUCAAGUGACAAUAUUAUCAUCCUCCUCGGGAUAGUGAACAUGAGGUUCUCAGUUUGUUCUAUCAGAAUAAAUUGCUCAGGAAAAUUUAUAUAUUCAUGAUUAGAAAUAUUAGGUGUACUUUUCAUAGAGAAUUCGUUUUCAAAGAAUGUUACAUCUCUAGAUUCCAUUAUAGUACCAACAUGCAUGUCAUGUACCCUAGAAUUUAUAAUUAAAAACCUAUACCCUACGCUGUGAGCAGCAUAACCUAAGAAAGUACAGUCAACAGUCUUAGGUCCAAGUUUGCGCUUCUUGUUUAUUGUCACAUUUAUUUUAGCCAAAAAACCCUAAAUCUGCAAAUACGAGAUAUUUAGUCUCUUCUUUUCCCAUUCCUCAAAUGGUGCAAUUUGAGAUACGUGGCCGUUAGAAACACGAAAUACGGGGUGUAGGAUUCUUCUUGUUAAAGAUUAGGAGAGAAUGAGUAACUUGUGGCAGCUGCUUUGUUGUACAGUGAUAAUAGGGCAUACGAGGUGUAGAGAUGGGCCAGAAAUUAUAGCCCAUAUAAUUGCAGAUGUGCCUUUCAAUGUACAAUGGGCUCAUGAUUGACUGAAAUGGCACCACUAUUCUUUUUUUAUUAUUUUACUAAUGAAUAAUAUGUAACGUUUAAGCACAUUUAAUCAACACAGCACAAUAACUGCAAUACUCCAUGCCUCGUACCGGGGUCAUCGACCCAUAUGCUUUGGGUUCAUGUACCAAAUAUUUGGUUCUCGUACAGCAGGAGUAUACCCUAUUCGUACCACAUUUUUGUCGAUUGUCGACUCGCGUCCCUGUUAGAAUAUUAGGCAAUUUUCAUAUCAUUUUAAUUCCAUAAAUUAACAAUAUGAUGAUGAUAUAUAUGAUAUUAUUGAUAAAUAUAAGCAUUGCAUGAAUCAUAAUUACGACAUGUAAACAUGAUCCAUAAAGCAUAUCAAACAUCAAAACAUGGCAUGGUAUAUAACUCUCUAUAACGGCACCAAACAUAAUAUAACUAUCAAAACAGAUAAACAGAUGUACUGAAAUAGAAAAGCAAAUACUAGCGAAACAACAGAACUGUAGAACAUAGACAUAUACGCAAAACUUAAACAUAGCAGGAACAGACAACAGAUAUCUUGUGAAACAACAAAACAGACCUACUGAAACAGAUAUGACACAACUACUGAACUUACACGACAGAGCUACUGAAACAAAUAGAGACAGAGCGACGUAAAAUUGAGGGAAGAUGAACAGAUCAUACCCUGAGACUCCCGCAAUGGGAUUUCCAGAACUUUAUCCUUUCUCGAUCACCAUGGAGCAGAGACGAAGGCGAAGACGACGAACCAAUCACCGAGAAGGAGAAGACAGCGACCAGCAACACCAAGAGACCUCCGGGAAGAAGAUGAACAACAACAAUGCAGUUGGGCAGUCGCGUAGACGCUCCCCAAAAACCUAAUUGCCGAUCCCCAGUGUAAGGUCUCGAACGGCAAGGGCUCUGGAGGCACCUGCCCUCUCACUCCUCCGUGCGCGCGGAGUUACAAGAUGAGAAUUCCUACUUUGCAACGAAACAGUGAUCUGAGUGUUCUCUCUUGUUGUACCAAAGAGAUGAGAGUCUCCUAUUUAUCCUUGUGGCUGGAGAGGAGAGGAGAAGGGACUCCCUGUUGGCGGCUGAGGAGACGAGCAUCUGAAGGGUUUUUACAUGGAGUUGAAACUCCCUUAGUUAACUAUCGAAACACCCACAGAUAAUAAGUUGAAACUCCCACGUAAUUGAGUUGAAACUCCCGUACCGUCAGCCUGCCACUCCAACUCUUGGACUUCCAAUUUGGUACAAUAUAUAUUGUCCAUAAUUACACACCAUAGAAUUUAUUGAUUUAUUAAAUCUAAAUGGGUCUAGCCCAUAAUAAAUCCAACAAUCCCCACCAAACUCUAGGGUUUGUAAUGAUGAAGCAUCAGAAUCACAGUUCUUUGAUAUACUAGUGUUUUGAUGGAGACUGUUAAGUUGAACAUCCAUCUAGAACAAGAGUUUCACCCACUCACAACUGAACAAUGGACUAAGCCUUGAAUUGAUAGUUUUGUGCGAGAUGAGAUCCACUCAAGUCCUUAGCUGAUACUAGGCUGCACAAGGCAUCCCCGUUGUUUGAAGCAUAUAAGUCACACUUCAGUGCCUUUCAUGAGUAUUUAGGGAUUACCCAAGUUCCAUAGACUGUGACCAGCAGUCUGAUUCAUAUAGGUGUAUUCCUCAAAAGAUGUUCUGUAGGCCAACAUCUCAUCUGUAUAAGACUCUUGGAAUACAUUAAGGUAAAUACCAACCCGCCUUAUAGAAGGAAAGUCGUACAUCAGAGAUAGGUUUAAAAGGGAACUUUCCUCUCAAUCUACUCAUAGCUUGUUUCACCACUCUACUUCACGGGAUCUCCGAUCACAUAGAGCAGGUUACCACUACAGUAGACUAACUUGUGGGUUUCAUAGCCAUCUCUCUCGAUGCACUUUCUAUCACAUUACGUGAUAGUCCCUUAGUGAAUUGAUCUGCCAAAUUAUUUGAAGUAUGGACAUAGUCCACCGUUAUAACUUCAGAGGUUUUCAACUUUUUGACAGAUUUUAAUCGUCUCUUUACAUGUCUUGUAGACUUCAUGUUAUUCCUAGAACUAUUGACUUUAGUAAUCACAGUUUGGUUGUCAUAGUUCAUGGAGCUUGUUCCACUACAGAACGGUUCUCAACCAUCUUGUAGUCAUACAACUACUCUAUAAGAUACAGCUCAGUACCAGCGUCGGUAACUCCAAACUUAGUCACAAGAGCAUCCUAUAAUUCUUUCCCACUUGGAAGAAUUAUGUAGCUUUUCUAGAAUUUUGGAUCAAGUGCGCUAAUUACUGCACCUCGAAAGAGGUUGUCAUCAGCCCUAAACUUUGCCUCAUCUGAUAACAUGACAUAGCAGUUAGCCGCAAUUCCAUCUUAGCUUUCCAAAUCAAGAACCAUCAAAAGAAUCAGGCUUUAACACGGUAGCAAAACCUCUGACAGAAAAAUGCCUAUAGUUAGGUUUUUGAAAUGUUAGAAUAUUAGACAAUUUCCAUGUCAUUUUAAUUCCAUAAAUUAACAAUAUGAUGAUGACAUAUAUGAUAUUAUUGAUAAAUAUAAGCAUGACAUGAAUCAUAAUUACGACAUGUAAACAUGAUCCAUAAAAGCAUAUCAAACAUCAAAACAUGACAUGGUAUAUAACUCUCUGUAACAGCACCAAACAUGAUAUAACUGUCAACAAAAAUAAACAAAUGUACUAAACACAGAAAAACAGAUACUAGUGAAACAACAGAACUGUAGAAUAGAAGCAUAUACGUAGAACUUAAACAUAAUAGGAAUAGACAAUAGAUAUAUUGCGAAAUAACAAAAUAGACCUACUGAAACAGAUAUGACACAACUACUGAAUCUGCACGACAGAGCUACUAAAACAAAUAGAGACAGAGCGACGUAAAACUGAGGGAAGACGAAUAGAUCAUACCCUGAGACUCCCGCAAUUGGAUUUCCAGAACCUUGUCCUUUCUCGAUCACCAUGGAGCAGAGACGAAGGCAAAGACGACGAACCAAUCACCGAGAAGGAGAAGAUGGCGACCAGCAACACCAAGAGACCUCCGGGAAGAAGAUGAACAACAUCAAUGAAGUUGGGUAGUCGCGUAGACGCUCCCCAAAAACCUAAUUGUCGAUCCCCUGAGCAAGGUCACGAACGGCAAGGGCUCCGGAGGCACCUGCCCUCUCACUCCUCCGUGCGCGCGGAGUUACAAGAUGGGAAUUUCUACUUUGCAACGAAAAAGUGAUCUGAGUGUUCUCUCUUGUUGUACCAAAGAGAUGAGUCUCCUAUUUAUCUUUGUGGUUGGAGAGAAGAGGAGGAGAAGGGACUCCCUGUUGGCGGUUGAGGAGACGGGCAUCUGAAGGGUUUUCACGCAGAGUUGAAACUCCCUCAGUUAACUAUCGAAACACCCGCAGAUAAUAAGUUGAAACUCCCACAUAAUUGUGUUGAAACUCCCAUACCGUCAGCCUGCCACUCCAACUUUUGGACUUCCAAUUUGGUAGAAUAUAUACUGUCCAUAACUACACACAAUAGAGUUUAUUGAUUUAUUAAAUCUAAAUAGGUCUAGCCCAUAAUAAAUCCAACAAUCACUAGACCCGAUCGACCUAGAAUUCUUGUGACUAUGGCAUCACUGUUCUAGUUGAUAUGUAUAUAGAGUUUUGGGUUAAAGAACACACGAAAAAUAAAUUGAGCCUAAAAUAAAAAACUCUUGUCCUUUUGAAUUUUCAAUGAUAGCAGUCCCUAAUCUCAAAUACAAUGCGCUGAUUGAUCUAUAUAUAGAGAAAUAAACCUUGUACUGAAUAUUAUUGUUGUACAGAAUAUUAUGUAGGCAUAAUAGGCAACAUUAAUUGCUUUUUACUUGGAAUCAAACAUACUUAAAGAGCAAAGGUAACAACAUCAAUGAAAUAAAUAUUGUACCUAAAGAGCAAGGUAAAUGCAUCUAAUAUGGUUAAAGAAGGCCAAGACCUAUGGAAUUCAUAGGCUGCCACAAAAGGCCUUUGGGCCAUGCCUAGGGGCCAUGGCCCCACUACGUACAUAUCCUUCGUCUUCCUCCUCCAGUCCUCCUCCUCACUCUCACACGCUCACCAGAGCAGCUUCCCUGCACGCAACAGAGCAGCGCCAAUCCCAUUAUAUGGAUCGUCAUUCCCCACCGCCACCCACCACCCGCACCCCCGCGCUCCAGCUGAAUGAUGCGAGGGGAAAAAUUGCGGCGAUCGUGGCCUUUGUUGCUAUUGUUCUGCUCAUGUGCAUCUGUGCCUACAUGUUCUAGCGCAAGAACAUUGUUCGCCGAAUGUCAGACGUGGAGGCCGGCGGGGGAUCAGAGGAGGGUGAGGACGACGGAGUGUCGCCAGGUGAUGCUGGCCACCACGGCAUCGCCGGGCCAGAGGACGGCACGGGAUCUAGGCUGGAGGACGACGGAGCAUCGUCAGGCGUGGACGGCAGUGGAGCCGCGCUAGAGGACGACAGAGUGUCGUUGGGCGGUGCUAGCCACCACGGCACCGCCGGGCAGGAGGAUGGUGGUGGAGCCAGACUGGAGGCCGACGGAGCGUCGUCAGAUGGUGCUGGCCACCUCAGCACCGCCGAGCCGGAGGACGGCGGGGGAUCCAGGCUAGAGGACGACAGAACAUCGUCGGGCAGUGCUGGCCACCACGUCACCGUCGGACCGGAGGACGACGAUGGAGUCGCACUGAAGGACGCGGAGCGUCCAGUGGUGGAACCAGCGAGUUUGAUUAAGGGGGGCGAAUAAAUAUGAUUGUAUUUUUUAGUGUGAUAAAAUAUACAUAAUUAUAUGUUUGAAGAAUUUUUAAAAAACAUUACACUAUUUUUUACCAAAAUCAUCAUAUUUAAAUAAAAAAUAGGUAAAAUUGAUAUUUCUUGUACUAUAAAUAUUAAUAUUUACAUAGGUACUUAAAGGAAUGACUGGGCUUGGGGUGGGGGCAAUUGCCCCUGCUACCCCCCUUGGUUCCGCCACUGUGAGCGUCAUCGGGCGGUGCUAGCCACCACGGAACCACCGGGCUGGAGGACGGCAGAGGGCGGUGCUAGCGGUGCUGCAAGUUACGAUGCUCGUGUCAUUCUGUGCCGGGAGUUGACCAUUCUUGACGACAACGUUCUACUCUCCCCAUCCCACCGCCGAGCUGUUUUCCGACGAGUCGGCGUCCGUGAGCGAGAUGUUGAUCAAUCAAUUAGUGAUUUCUAAAAUGUAACAAGCACCAAAAAAAGGCGCGGUUGGACGCCAGAGGCCGGUUUAUGGUAGUGGGCCGGGCCGCGAUGUUUGUUUGUGAAAAAGGUGGAGGAUGCCCAAGCAUCUCUUGUUACUCCUACUAGCAUCCAAAAAUGAUAUGAGAAUUAUUUCCUUGGCUGUAAAAAAAGUGUUUCUUAGUUUCUUAGCCCUUUUUUGAGUGAACUUAGUUAUUUGGCCCAAAAUUGAAUUUUGUUUGGUUCUAUGGUCCUUCCAUUAGUUUGAUGAAGUAACGAGGUUAAGUCGUACAUGAAAAGACUAUUUUAACUCUGACGCUGAAUGAAAAAGAUGGUUUAAUAUCAAUAGUUUUGCAAUAUGGUCUGUAAUAAUUUUUUAAGCAUGGGAUCACUAUUUUUUAUAUAUAUUUGCACAUGAAAAUAUAUAUUUGCACAUGACAAUUAUAAAUUCAAGUGCACACAUACGUAAUACUAAUUCCCACCUUUUCAUUCAACGCCAGGGCAAAAUAGUGUUUUCGUGUACUACUUAGUAUUGUUGUACAGAAUAUUAUGUAGGCACAAUAGGCAACAUUAACUGCUUUUUACUUGGAAUCAAACAUACUUAGAGAGCAAAGGUAACAACAUCAGUGAAAUAAAUGUUGUACCUAAAGAGCAAGAUAAAUACAUCUAAUAUGGUUAAAGAAGGCCAAGACCUAUGGAAUUCGUAGGCUGCCAAAGAAGGCCUUUGGGCCAUGCCUAGGUGCCAUGGCCCCACUACGUACAUAUCCUUCAUCUUCCUCCUCCAGUCCUCAUCCUCACUCUCACACGCUCACCAGAGCAGCUUCCCUGCACGCAGCAGAGCAGCGCUAAUCCCAUUAUAUGGAUUGUCAUUCCCCACCGCCACCCACCACCCGCACCCCCGCGCUCCAGCUGAAUGAUGCGAGGGGAAAAAUUGCGGCGAUCGUGGCCUUUGUUGCUAUUGUUCUGCUCAUGUGCAUCUGUGCCUACAUGUUCUAGCGCAAGAACAUUGUUCGCCGAAUGCCAGACGUGGAGGCUGGCGGGGGAUCAGAGGAGGGUGAGGACGACGGAGUGUCGCCAGGUGAUGCUGGCCACCACGGCACCGCCGGGCCGGAGGACGGCACGGGAUCUAGGCUGGAGGACGACGGAGCAUCGUCAGGCGUGGACGGCAGUGGAGCUGCGCUAGAGGACGACAGAGCGUCGUUGGGCGGUGCUGGCCACCACGGCACCGCCGGGCAGGAGGAUGGUGGUGGAGCCAUACUGGAGGCCGACGGAGCGUCGUCAGGUGGUGUUAGCCACCUCAGCACCCCCGGGCCGGAGGACGGCGGGGGAUCCAGGCUAGAGGACGACAGAACAUCGUCGGGCGACGCUAGCCACCAUGUCACUGCCGGACCGGAGGACGACGGUGGAGUCGCGCCGGAGGACGCGGAGCGUCCAGUGGUGGAACCAGCGAGUUUGAUUAAGGGGGGCCGAAUAAAUAUGACUGUAUUUUUUAGUGUAAUAAAAUAUACAUAAUUAUAUAUUUGAAGAAUUUUUUAAAAAUAUUACACUAUUUUUACCAAAAUCAUCAUAUUUAAAUAAAAAAUCGGUAAAAUUGAUAUUUCUUGUACUAUAAAUAUUAAUAUUUACAUAGGUAUUUAAAGGAAUGACUAGGCUUGGGGGGGCAACUGCCCCUGCCACCCCCUUGGUUCCGCCACUGUGAGCGUCAUCGGGCGGUGCUGGCCACCACGGAACCGCCGGGCCGGAGGACGGCAAAAAGCGGUGCUGCAAGUUACGAUGCUCGUGUCAUUCUGUGCCGAGAGUUCUUUGUAACUCUGUAAAUGUAUCUUGUUCAAACGCCUCCUAUGGAUGCAGCUGCCCCUCACAGUGGCGCUGCAAUGUGUAUCCUGUGAACUUUUUAGGAUUAUCGCAGCAAGAUGCUGCUAAUAAAUUGUUUGCCAUUUUUCAAAAUAUUGUAUCGAUUUACCUCCAUGAAUUUUCAGCUUAGUCCAAAUUCACCCGCCUCUAAUGUAGGAGUUCACUUUUUUUUUUUGAGAUUAUUAGGAGUUCAUUCAAAUGGGCCGUACGUCCAGUAUUAGGGCUGCAAACAGGGUGGAGUAGUGCGCACCUAAUCUCGAUCAUCCGCUCCGUACUUCCAGAAUUACUCUUCUGUUUAGGCCUUUGGGGUCGGCCCGCUUCAUUCCAUGGGCUCUUUUUAGCUGCGGAGCCCUUUUCAGGCCAAUCCAGUAUCGACGCCCUUCUAAUCUAAAACCCUAACUCCCUAUCUCUCUCUCUCCUUCCCGCCGCCAAGCCACUGCGGCCGAAGUCGCCCCUCCCGAGCCCCGACCAACUCUCCUCUCCUCUCCUCUCCUCUCCACCUCAGGGCCGCCGCCUCCUUCCUUCCUUCCUUCCGCCGCCUCGACAAGCGUCGGCCAAGAUGGUGAAGAGAAGCAAGAAGAGCAAGAGCAAGCGCGUGACGCUGAAGCAGAAGCACAAGGUGCUGCGCAAGGUGAAGGAGCACCACCGCAAGAAGCGCAAGGAGGCCAAGAAGGAGGGAAAGGCCGGCCAGCGGAAGAAGGUCGAGAAGGACCCCGGGAUCCCCAACGAGUGGCCCUUCAAGGAGCAGGAGCUCAAGGCGCUAGAGGCCCGGCGAGCGCAGGCGCUCCAGGAGCUCGAGCUCAAGAAGGAGGCGCGCAAGGAGAGGGUAUGUCAUGUCUGCCGUGCACCAACCUGGCCUUCCCACCUGCUGUUGUAGUUUUUCAGUCUUACAGCCGACUCCACCUUCAUUCCGUUAAAUUGCAAACCUAAUCCACCUUCUUGUCCCUUCAGUUUCUCUGUGAAACUAGAAAACCCGUGGCGGCGUUGCUAUAUUUUAUUCUCUUACUUCUCACGAUGCUUUGGUGCCUUGAAGAGCAUUACUUUUCUGCUCACUUUGGUUUAUCAUUAUAAUAGUAUAAAACUCUAUGCAAGCUAAGAUCGUGCAACAUUAUGGUUAUACUGACACCACACAGACACCAUUCUAACAUGACUGCAACAGACAAAAUUUUUAGCAUGCAAUCUACAUGAAAGAAACAUUGUGACCAGUUAUGUUCAUCAUGAUUGAAACGGAAAGCUUUGCUUCACCAGAUAGGAUAACAUUAUUAACAUUAGUAGUAUUAUUUAUGUUACAAUGAUGUCCUUGCAUAACAAAAGUAAAAUUAUGUUCAAUGAUGUUGUCGAAUGACGAUCCCAGUUCUCAUCACAAGAGUAAAAUCGGAGUACAAAGCAUAUAAUAGAAUCUUGAUUGCCAACCAAAUGCUAGAUGAACUGAAAUUUGAGCACGAAAAUCAUUGCACAAUCGUAAAUAAUUGCCACUGGACUACAAUUUCACCUUAAUUCUCUGGAAGUAAGGAUGUUUGUGUACAUUGCCUAGCGGGCGCCCAGAAGGGAGAUAACAUGAAUGACACCAUUGCCACUCAUUGUCACAGUUAUUAUAUAGGGGCAUAUGUUCUGCCCGUCCAUACCCGCUUGUGCUGCGAUAACGCUUCUGCCAAGCAUGGACGUGCAUGCCCAUUCCCCUUUAGCCACAGGUCAACCUGCCCAUGCAAAUCGCAUAUCCUUGAUGACUUGAGGUGCUGAAAAUGCAAGUAACAAAGGACGAAUCAGAAGAAAGAAGUAGUUGACGGAGCAACUCACCCUGUGGAUACUACCUGCCCGUGGUUUAUCCUGCAGAUUCAUGUUAUAGUGAUUAACUCUUUCUUAGAUCCUUCCCUAUAUUGGUAGUGUACAACUGUACAUAGUUACCAUUUGGUUGAUGGCCUGCUAUUGUUGGUAUCUGCCAUGAUAGCUUUUGUCCCAACCCUUAUUGUCCCUUAUUACAAUUGAAGGCUUGUUAGAACCAAUAUUGCUGUAUGUAUAAUUGUGUUCUCUUGUGAAAUUCUGGUUAUUGAUCCAGACAAGCUGGAUGAUCGUCCUUUAUUUGGGUCUUUACACUUUACAUUUUAGGCUCACUCUGUCAGGAUCAUGAACUUUCACAUAGACUUGACUGAGCAACGAUUAGAUAUUGUCACCCUUGAUGAAGUAUGUGUUCCUUAAGGUCUAUUUAUGUUCUUCGUUUAGUUUUAUAGAUACAUCUAUAUCAUUUUUGUUGUGGUGGUGAAACUAUGAGACACUACCUUUUUCAGGCUCGGAAGAGGAAGCUAGGAUUGCUUGAGGAUGAGGACAUUGCUAAUUUGGCAUCUGCAGCUUCCGCGCAGGGCAGUGAGUUUGCAGCAAAGGAUGCAGCUAAGGAGAAUGCUCCUUUAGCAGUGGCAAAGAGCAAUGGUAAGUUUCUCAUCUCUCACUUAUUGUCUAAUUGGCCUAACUCAUGUAGUUACAUUAUUGACUAAAGAUGUUAAAUGUAUCCCAGAUCAUUCAGAGAGGUCUUUCUACAAGGAGCUUGUUAAAGUAAUUGAAGCUUCUGAUGUGAUUCUUGAGGUUCUUGAUGCAAGGGAUCCACUAGGCACCCGUUGCCUUGACAUGGAAAUGAUGGUUAAGAAGGCUGAUCCAAGUAAACGGAUUGUACUACUUCUCAACAAGAUAGGUAUUAUGCCAUGUUUGUUAUGUUUAAAGUUUACUUUUAUGGUGUUUAUGCCAUCCUACAUCUCAACUUACGAUUCUUGAAUUCUAGAUCUUGUUCCCAAGGAGGCGGUUGAGAAGUGGCUUACAUAUCUAAGAGAAGAAAUGCCAACAGUUGCAUUUAAGUGCAAUACCCAAGAGCAGAGGACAAAGCUGGGAUGGAAAUCUUCAAAACUUGAUAAAACAAGUAACAUCCCACAAAGCAGUGAUUGUCUUGGUGCUGAGAAUCUAAUCAGAUUGCUCAAGAAUUAUUCCAGAAGCCAUGAGGUAAACGAUCCUACUACCGUUUUCAGAUAAUGUUUAUGCAUAUAUAGUUUUGAUCAUCUCUCAUCUGUAUCACAAGUUGAUUAUUGUAUGGACUUCUAAGUUAGAAUGUUAUCCUUGUUCUACAACAUCCUGUAUGCUUCAUUACUUGACUAUAUUAUAAUAAUUGAACCUUCACUUUCUUUUCCUUGCUUAUGUGCAUACUUCCUUUUAUUGAACAUGAUUAAUAGAAUGCUUUUAUCUCUGAAGGGAGAACAGCUUCCUACGCUUUGUAUAUGAACCUAAUGACUUCAUGCACAUAGUUUUACUUUGUGUGCUGUAUCUUAUCAUGCCAGUUUUAUAAGUAGGCCUUUUUUUUUUAUCUUCGGUUAUUACCUUCCUAAUGCUUCAGUGUUACCUUUUUCUUUUACUGCUCUUGUACCCAUGUCUGUGUUCAUAUAGAGUUCCCUUCUUUGUUCUUCCUUUGUUAAGUUUUGCUAUUGGUGACUUGCAGCUCAAACUGGCAAUUACGGUGGGUAUUGUUGGACUUCCUAAUGUUGGCAAGAGUAGUCUGAUCAACAGCCUGAAGAGGUCCCGAGUGGUUAAUGUCGGUUCCACUCCAGGGGUUACUAGGGCAAUGCAAGAAGUUCAAUUAGACAAGAAGGUGAAGUUGUUGGAUUGCCCUGGUGUUGUUAUGCUCAAAUCUUCCAGCAGUGGUGUGUCUGUAGCCCUUCGAAACUGCAAAAGAGUUGAGAAAAUGGAAGAUCCAGUCACUCCUGGUAAGAGCUUCUGUUAGCUCUGUUGAAGUUUAUUUAUUCUAGCUAUAUAGCCAUCUUAUUAUUUUACUCUUUAGAUACUGUGCCAUUCGACAAUAAUCUAGUAUAUAAUGUGACCAGAAGUGCAAUACUUGACAUGUUCUAUGCUUCUCUCUGUUUUUGAUGUUUCUAGUUAAGGAGAUCCUAAGUAUUUGCCCGCAUGAGAAGUUGUUAUCUCUGUACAAGGUUCCAAACUUCAGUUCAGUUGAUGAUUUCCUUCAGAAAGUAGCAACUGUACGGGGGAAGUUGAAAAAGGGUGGUGUAGUGGAUGUUGAAGCUGCUGCGAGAAUUGUGCUUCAUGACUGGAAUGAAGGUAUGUAUGAUAACUUUUGUCAUGAACUUUGUAAAUUCUUGUGAGUUGUGACCAGUGACCUUCCUCUUGUUUUUAGGUAAAAUACCAUAUUUUACACUGCCACCUAAAAGAGAUGCUGGGGAGGACUCAAAUGCAGUGAUUAUAACACAAGAUGGGAAAGAAUUUAAUAUUGAUGAAAUUUACAAAGCUGAGUCUUCAUAUAUUGGUGGUUUGAAGUCCAUUGAGGAGUUUCAUCACAUUGAGAUUCCUCCUAAUGCUCCACCAGGGAUUGAUGAAGAGAUGCUAGAGGUAAUGAUCUUAAAGUUAGCGGUUUUCCGUGAAUUUAGUGGAUUUAACAUGGUAACCCCUGAAUGCAAUGCAAUGCCAUCUGUUUUGUCCUUGUGAUGGCCAGAUGCAUUGCAUUCAUUGAAAGUAUAUGUUUUUUUUGUGAGAUUGUUUUCGCAUGGUCGCUGGUUCGGUCUCAGUUCUAUGUUAGGAGGUUUCAUUCGAAUCUAUUGACCAACAGAUUUUUUUUUAAGAUCAUCUAUGUAUAAUCCUUUGUAAACUGCAUAAUGAAACUGGCAUCAUGGUAAAAGGGCAGUGCUUGCUCUCUGGUGAAAACAUUUGUAGAAGUCAUCCGUAGGUUCUAUUUGAAUACCAAUAUGCUUUGCUGCAAGCAAAACAUGGGUGCAUUAGGAACAUCGUGGUUGGUCUUGUUAUUUGACUCUUGUUUUGCACUAACCAGGAAGGCAAGAAACCAAGUGAGCCUGCCCAGGAAAGCCGGGAGGAGCAAAUGUCUGACGUGAAUGAUCGGGAAGGAAGCAAGGCAGCCAGUGCUAGCACACAGAAUGACAAGUUGUACACCGCCGAGGGCAUACUCGACCCUCGCAAGAGGAAAGCAGAGAAGAAACGACGCAAGGCGAACAAGUUCAGCGUGCUGAACGACAUGGAUGCGGACUAUGAUUUCAAGGUGGAUUAUCAGAUGGAGGACGCAUCGGCCGCCAAUGAGGACGAUGGGGGUGCACAAGCGGAUGAUGAAGAUGGCGGGGAUGAAGCCAAGGAUAAUGAGCCGAUGACUGGUGUUGAUGAUGCGUGAAAUAUUUAGCUCCAUCCUUGUGUAUGAGUUAAUGGCGGGUAGAUGUUAUCGGUGAUAUUAUCAUGUCGAGUGCCAGAAAUGGCCUAGUGGGGGUUGCAAAAUUAACCCGCAAAAGUUUUGUGCGCUUAGUUUGUUUAAUGAAAGAUGAUACUAUGAGAAGGCUUGCGUUUUACCUGUUCCAGUACCUACCUUUACCUGCUCUUUAAGUUGCUUUCAUUGAUCAUGAUGCGCUAUCCUUGGUUGCAUUUAUUUAUCAUGAAUUCAUGAUGCGUUAUAGAGAAAGGUUACCAAGCAAACAUGAUCAGUUUAUGCAAGGGCUUGUUUAGAUGCACUAGCUAGGUCUUGUUUACUUCAAAAAAAUUUGCAAAAUAGGAAUAUUAGCACUUUUGUUUGUAUUUGACAAAUAUUGUCUAAUUAUGGAUUAACUAGGCUCAAAAGAUUCGUCUCGUCAAUUCUGACUAAACUGUGCAAUUAGUUUUUAUUUUUAUUUAUAUUUAAUACUUUAUGCAUACGUCUAAAGAUUCGAUGUGACAAGAAAUCUAAAAUUUUUUUCAAAUUUUUUGGAGAACUAAACAAGGCCUUAAAUUUUCUGGCUAAAUUUAACUGCUAGCCAUCUAUACAACAUAGCUAAAAGAUAAGUUGAUUCUAAAAAAAUGAAAGCUAAAAGACUAGUAAAGUUUAACUAGGUUUAGCUAUUUUAACCUAGGCCUUGUUUAUUUGGUGCUAAAUUUUGGAUUUGGCUAAUGUAGCACUUUUAUUUUUAUUUGGAAUUAAGUAGGUUUAAAAGAUUCGUCUCGUAAAUUACAUGCAAACUGUAUAAUUAAUUAUAUUUUUUUAUCUAUAUUUAAUGCUUUAUGCAUGUGUCCAAAGUUUUGAUAUAACGAAAAAUCUUAGAAUUUUUUGUAAACUAAACAAGACCCUAGCUAAAGUCAUCUAAAAUUGAGCCGAGUCUAUUAGCUAGAGCAUCCAAAUACUCCAGCUAAAGUUUUACCUUAAAAAUCUAACUAGCUAAAUUUUAGUUAGGUGUAUCACAUAGAUCCUUAAUCAUAGGUAGGAGCUCCCUUUUCAUUGAGAACCGAAUGAUAUUUUCAGCCGAGUCGGAGGCAGCAUCGGCACGAAAACGCCCAAUUCCCAACUGGAACAACUGGUGCUUUGCUUGUACUACAUUCUCUUUGUAUAUAGGCGCCGCCGUCCUCCAAGUCCAAGCGGAGGCGGUCACGCGAACUGAAAUGCAGGUCCGGCUCUGCAGCGCUGCAACCAACGCCCAGCUCACUCCCGCCGCUUCCAGUUCCCACCCAACCGGCGACGGCGAUGGCGAUGGCGACGCAGGCCGAGCUCGAGGCGGCCGUCGCCGCGCUCGCGGACAAGAAGCGCCGUCUCCGGGAGACAUUCGACCGCCUCGUCGCCUGCUCCCCGGUCCCCCUACCCUUCCGCUGGGAGGACCUCGACGCGCACCUCGCCUCCAUCGCCGCCAGCUUCCGCCACCUCGACUCCACCCACGCCGACGCCAUCGCCGGUGCAGCAGCCGCAGCCGCUGACGCUAGGGGUCCAACCACCGCUGCUCAGCACUUCCAACACCUGGACAAGGAGGAGCAGGACCGGGAACGCCGCGUCGGGCGCGGCGCGUCGGAGGAGCGACACCGGAACGCGUCGUUGCACCAGGAACGCGGGGAGGAGAAGGGGGAGGAGCUCCGGGAGGCAUCCAGUUCGCGUUCCGACCGAGAACCGGACGCAGCGGGGAACAUUCUCGGGGCGGAGGCGGUGCCAAUCGAGGCAGCUCCAGAACAACUACGCGACGAGAAGGAGGAGGAUGCCAUGGGCGCACUCGUGGCGUCUCCCAUCCAACGCGACGACGAUAUCGAGAUGCUGGAGGAGGAGGAGGAGGCCGUGAACGGGAGCGCAGACAGAGAAGGCCGCGCGGACGAGGCGGAGGAAGGGGAGUGGCUGCAGCAUCCGCACGCCGCAGGCGGCGGAGAGACGUCGGCUCUGGCGAGAGCCGUCGCCGCGGCGUGCGCGAACAUGGACCCCUCCGCGCUGGUGGACGUGCUGCGCCUCGGCGGCAGGAGCUCCCUCCACGCGUUCCUCCCGGCGCUGCUGGGCGCCCCGGACCCCCACGCCCUCCUCGUCCGCGCCGUCGGCGGCUUCUUGUACCUGGCCUCAGCGGGGCCGGGGCGCGACGCGAGCGAGUGGUGGUCAAACUGCGUCGCGCUGAUCGAAUGCGCGCCCCGCCUCGCCGCCCCGUCGGCGGACGCGCUGGCGCAGGCAAAGCGCCUGGCGCGGCACUGGAAGGAGAUGGUGGUCACGGGGCCUGCGGAUGCUGGUGGCAGGGACAUGGGCGGGAUGGCUGGAUGGGGUUUUCUCAGCUUCAUUGCUUCCUACAACAUUGUCCCGGAGUUCGGUGCUGAUGAGAUCAUCCGUCUCUUCGACAAUAUCGCGCCCCAGGUGAAGGACAACUGCGUUGAGCUCUGCAAGCGUCUUGGCCUCAUCGGGAAGAUGACUGGUACAUACUAUGCUCCUCGACUUCGACUCUCAAUUAUGAAUUUACUUAUCUCAUAUCUUGUAGUUAACCUAUUCUACGAUGCAACGCGGUGUAAGUAGAUGAAUGUUCGUUCACCUGUACGCUGUAGACUGGUAGUUUACUUGCGAUUCAGACAUCAGAAUGCUCUGAAUCGCAUAGGUCUCUCUUCAGGUGGAUGCCAACCAAUGCUCUCCAUACUCCAUCACUGUCUCGCACUCGCAGCUAACCACACUUAAAAGUAGAAGCAGGAACCUUAGCAGAUCACCUGUAGGCUGUAGGUAUUGUAACCCUUUAUGGCUUUAUACAUAUCCAGAGAUCAUGAAUAAAGCAGGAUAUCAUGAUGAAUACGAACAAGAGAGGUGAUAACAUUAGCCAGACAAGGUAAUUACUGGGAUCAAUAUACUACCAUAUAUAACAACUUAGAGCUGGAUUGCAGUGGCACUAAAAGAAUCAAAUUGUAGAAUAUUUUGAUCUAUUUUUUUCAACGCAAGAAUAUUUUGAUCUAUUCCUUUUCCUGUUAGUACUAUGCACUUCCUUUCCUUUUUAGUAAGAAAUUCACAUAUAUUGAUGCAGCCAUCAAAUUGAGAUUUUAACCACUUAGGUAUCUGGGCUUAUUUAUUACUAGUUAUAUGCCAUAUUGUUCAGUCAUGGCAGCACCUAGAUGAUUUAUGUCAGUCUACUACUUUGGUGAUUUCAAGUUGAAUCUAUCUUCUACAUUAAUGUAGGAUGGUUUUAUGUCUGUCUGACAAAAAUAAGAUGAGUUGUUGAUUUUUCUUCCAGUGUUGUGUUGCAGUUAUUGCAUGUUGUGGAGCAUCUUUUGAACUAUUCGUAGUUUUAUGUUACACUCACUAUCAGAUUUUCUAAUCACACUCGUAGCUCAUGGAACUGGAAGGAUAUCACUAUCCCAUUUGUUUACCAACUGUGUUGCUAAUGUUUGGCUCAUUCUUCUGCAGAUUCAAUCAAUCAUUUCAUUGAAAAUGGGCAGCCACUCGAUGCUAUAAGAUUGGCACAUACUUUCAGUUUGACUGACAAAUAUCCUCCACUUGCCAUCAUGAAUGAUUAUAUUGAGAAUGCCAAGAAGACUGCUGAAGACAUACUAAGCAAGGAAAGCUAUACACUGGAAUCUCUGGUAUGUUCUGUUUCUUGGAAGGGAUGUCUUUUUAUGCUAAUCCAACUUAAAUGAAAUUGUCCAUUUAUCACAACUGUAGUUUUUCUUAGCUUUGAGAAGUCCUGGAUUUGGAAAAUAAAAUACAGCGUGCUUUCAUGCUUUCUAAAGCAAGUUUUCACAACUUUUAAAGCAGUGCAGCUGAGGAACUAAGCUAGGUUUCGGUGUGCACACGCACCAAUCUAGGUUUGAGCCCUGUUUGGUCAGAUAUUGGUCUUUCUUCUUAUAACGUAGUGAAAUUAUAGUAUGUAGUAAUAAUAAUGCAAUGCUAUCCCUCCUGCUCUGAAAGUUGUAUUGCUUACUUUAUGUAAAAAAUGAAAAAACCUCUUCCUAGAUAAAUUGUUGCAUCCACAUAAUGACAUAUUGAUAUCGUACUUUCAACCAGUGACGAAUCUAGGAAAAUAUUUAGGGGAGGCUUCUGCUACCUUAACAUAACUUUAGCCCCUUCUUAAAGAGCAUCAAUGAUAAAAAUUUAUAGGAGGGGCUAAGGGGGGGCUACGUGGGUUCUACGACCAUAGGGGGGGCUGGAGCCCCACUAGCCCCACCGUUGGCUCCGUCGCUGCUUUCAACACUUGUAUAGACAUAUAAUGCUUUCAACUGUUUUAACGCCUUUGAAUCAUCCAUUGAGCAGAAUCAAGCGAUGGCAGAGAAGGUUGAUGCUCUAAUAUUUUCAUGGAGCGCAAUUGAUGGGUGCGAUAUUGAUUCUGUUCAGCGUAAUAGCAUCAAGGCAGAAAUUACUCAGCUGUUACACAAGUAUACAAACAAGCAGCAAAGUCUAGCAGGAGUUCCAGCCUCCAUUGCAAGUUCGCACCAGCAGCAGAAGUUUCAAGAGGAGUAUCAGCAGCGGCCACAAAUGCGACUGGUUGAACAGCAGAAGCAGCAGCGAAAGCCACAUGAGCUGCAGCAAAAACCAGAAGAGAAACAGCGCCAGCAGCAGAAGCCACAAGAGACGCAGCAUCGGCACAUUCAGAAUCAACCAGAGCCGCAGAAGCGGGAAAUGUGGCAAAACCGGAAAAGGAAAAGAGAAAACAAGAAUCGCAAGAGGAAACAGCGCAGGCAGAAACUGCAGCAACAGAAUAAACGCCCAUGGCUACCUCCAUAUGCCAGGCCAGGAAUUAACAUCCAGCAUGGGCAACCAUUUUCAGGAACUCGAAGAGCUCCGUUUGCAGCCACCACUACCAUACCUCGAUACUUUUGGUCCAUGUGAUGAUCGUUCUCAGCAUCACGUGCCAGUGGUCCUGUCAUUGAUGCCAGAGUAGUACUCGGUGAAGUUACUGUUGUAGUAGUAAGCUGAUGGUAGAAAAUAGAAGAGAAAGUUGUCCAGUGCUGAUUGGUUUUGCUUAGCUUUCCAUAAAAAAAAAAGCUUUAGUCCCCACAGUGACUUGUGUAUAUGCUAUGCACAGUUUAGCUAUCCUCGGUGGCUUGUGUUACUGAAACCUGAAUCACAACCAUCGACUGUGUAUGUUGGAUAUGACUAAUCAAGUUUGUCUAGUAGUUAUUCAUGUGUGAUUCUCGCAUUGACCGUAAAAAUGUUGCUUGUCACAAUACCUGAAGAAGCAUGGCUGAUCUUUCUGGCAUAUAUAAAUAAGCGUCUAUAGUAAAGCGCACUCUUUCUGAAUUCGUUGUGAAAUAAAAGGAUUCAUGCACGACCAUCUUGUGAUGCUUUUGCUCUUUCAGUGAUUUAUGUUCAUCGUGCAGGUAUUUGUGAAUGUUUAUAUGUAACUGAAAAGUAGGCUAAUUCCUGUUACAGUGCAUAUGUUUCAGAUUGCAAGCAUUGCAACACUUCGCUGAGCAUGUGUACGUGACCAGACUACAAAACCUGCCCUAUAAAAUUAUAUUCAACAAAUCGAUGCAAGUGAUUGGCAACUGUCCAUACACCAUGUUGCGAGAGAACUGUCGUCACAUAAAACAAAUGAACACAAAACCACUUACAGAACGAACCAAUACAGGGCUGUUUCAUAUACAACUUCUACGCUUCACCAUAUAUAGUUUCACUCAGCGGUCGAUGCAGAACGACAGAACUUCUACACUAUCUGGGAUAGGACGGAGGAUGAAGGGCAAAGGGAUUAAAUGUCAGACCCAUAUACUGAGGUGAUCUGAAUUGCGGUACAAAUGGCAUUCCUAAUCCUACAAGCCAACCUGGCUGGGCAGGGUAAUUCUGAACUCCAGGCACAGCAGCGUAUGGUGGGCGCCCAAAGUUUUGGAUCUGAGGAACAUUCAGAACCAGAGGAACAGCAGGUGUUGGAAGCUUAAGAGUAGCUGGCCUUGGCGGUUGCAUAUGCUGCUGCUGCUCUGUCACCUGCGCCUUAUUUUCUUGUUGAUGCAGCUGAUGUUGCUUUCCUUGGAUUAACUUGUUUUCAUUCUGUGCCUGCUGCUGCUGGUUGACUUGUGCCUGAUGGUGCUCCAGCUCCUCUUUCUUGCGCUUCUUGUUCCUCUUUUUAUGUUUCGUUGGCUGAUGCUGUGAAUCCCAUGUUGCAGGCGUUGAGGGAUUUCCUGACCUUUGUUGCUUUUUAUAUGAACCAAUCAAAUAUCUAAUUUCUGCCAAAAUAGCACUGCGUUGGCUAGAAUCAGCGAGUUUAUGCUGAGCUAGUUGAUGCGCAAUCCAUAUUUCCUUUGGUAUAGCCAAGUUCUGCACAUAGGCAAGAUGCAAAACCAUUCAGCUAACAAACAACAAAUUUGAGUACCCACCUCUUGGUGCGAUGGAGUUUUAUGACUCCACCCUGGAUUGAAAUCUAGACACCAUAUCUAUGUACACAUGCGUGAGUACUUUCCCCAUUUACUAGAGGUAUAUGGUUUUCUAGGGGUGUGAAUCAGAUAGGUGGCACACUCAUGUGCCAUGCAAGUGCGUCAGUGGAGUAUGUGUAUGUGCUUUCUUCCUUCAUUGUAAAUGUGAAAAGGAAACAAAAGACAAACAAAUAUAGUUGACAAGAAAGCAGAUUUAUUGGAUCAUUAUGCAUUUAUAUCUACAACAGAACUUGUUCCAAAAUCUGUAGCCAAACCACAAUGCUAUGUAACUUAGAAAGUUAUGAUUAAGGAUUUAAGGUGAUCAGUGAAACAACCUGGUUUCUAUGUCCACCAGGAUGUGCAUCCUGGACAUCCUGGUCUUCAUCGUAGACGGAGGGAAACAGAGCUGUCAUUGUCUCGAUCCCUACCCAACCCCCCCACCCCCACCCACCCACACACAAAAAGGCGGCACUAACUACUCCGAGCACAAUGCUCCGGAGCCAUGCCUGCCCAACCACUGUCCACCGCCUUCUCGCGAUUCCCCCCACCGUGCCGGUGACCUACCUGCAACCCCCAGCCAUACCUCUACAGAUGGAGGCCACCAAGAUCCCCAAAACCAAAAUCUCAUAUCCCAACCUGAAACUAUAACCUGCCAGAGUUAUUGGAGAUCACUGGACAUUGAAAAGAGUGAGCUCAGCACCCCAGAGGGGGUAUCAGUAUGCAUUCCCACCCUAAAAAAUCUGUUAACAGAUGAAUAGCGGCCUCAAAUUUCUCUCCGUCAGAACAAAUAUUAACUUUACAGCGUAAUGGCCUGGAUGUCCAGGGUUCGCACUACCCUGGGCACCAUAUAAUUCCUGUCAGUGGAAUACUUGAUUUUAAAGUCACAAGGGGUAGUUCAUACCAAGGACUUGUGUGUUUCAUUCUUUCUAAAUAGCUCCACAGAAGUCUGCUUGGCCUUCUCAAUGUAUCCCUUCAGAAGAGAAAAUGGGGUAUACUUGUCCUCCAAAUUAAAAAAUUGUAACACAUGAAAAACUUCAAGAUGCUGCCCAUUUCCAAUCAUAUAGUCAAUUAAAUCUGCAGAAAAGAUGAAGGCAAGAAGAAACAUUGAUAAGAAGGCGAACCCUUGCAAUGCGAAUGAGGUACAGGCAUGGACGAGUGCCUAGAGUUCUGUCAAAAUCAAACUGAAAAUGUAAAGAUAGAGGUCAAUGUAUUUAAGUCUAGCUGCUUAUGAAAACAGUGAGAAAAGUUCAAAUAAUGGCUAAGCAAUAAACAUACAAAAAUGCAUUAUAGCUACAGACCAGACAAUCAACUGAUGUACAUACUUGAUAUACUAAGCAAACUAGAGUUUCUAUCCAAAUUUACAAGUAUAUCCAUAUAAAUAAACUUAUCACUUGGGUUGAUAUCAGUUAUAACGUGAGAUGCAAUAAUGAACAGAAUUCUCAUUUUGGUCACAGGAUUCAGACUCUUUCACAGAUUGUAUUGAUAAAUGACAGGCUAGCAGCAAAGGAAAGCAUGUAAGCACACCUUCAGGGAACACUCUCAUGAAGGCACAACACCAAAGAACAACAUGGCGACCAUAAUUGGUGGUGCUUAACUUUUGGUUCUGAAGUCUUGGAUGUCCCACAUUAGUGACAACUGACAACUAUAUUUUUCAAUACAAUCAUUUGAUGUGUAUUGUAUAUAUUCUACACUGAUCUUUGAUACUUACAUAGUUACAUUGACUAUUGAACAUAGUGAAAGACAAAAUAUCCAUUGGGAAUCAACAAAAACCUCCCCUAGCAGCCUUGCACAUCCACUUACAUGUCCAACAAUAAGCACUACUUAUGUUAAUGAAAACUUAGGAAUUAAAAAACUAAUUUCUUUGGUGUUUGAUGUGAAAGUCAGGGCCAAACGAUCAGAAUGGUUGAGACCUACCACCUGGUGGUGUCUGAGAUGCUGCUGUCAAUGGUGAGCCAACAGUGCUGUGUCUAUAAAGCUUGUGGAGACUAGAAACUUUUACAGUAGUAAAUAGUUUAAUAACUGCUAAAUCUUAGUUAUGAAUAGUUACAUGGUAUUGGAGUGUUGCAGCCAGAGAUCAAACACUUGCAUGAUCCAGCUGUUAUUACUCAGGAAUACAUGUUAAUCGAUUAGGCAAAGAAGGAUACACAGCGCCAGGUGAAACAAACAUGUAUGAGUUGUGUCAAAUGGUCCUUAGUCUGCAUCUUUUGUAGCUUUGCUACUUACACUAUCUGCUACCAAAAUUUCAAGAAAGUCAAAUUUGGAAAAUUCACAUAGCAUGGAUUAGUACAAAAUCAAAAGAUGGACCAGAAUAGUUCCCUUGUUUCCUAUACAAAUAUGACUUCUUUUAUUCGGCUAUAUAGUAGUGCAUCUACAAUAUUCUACCGUGUGGCUACACAGUAGAAGAUACAAAAAAAAGAGUAAAGUCUACCAGCGGUCCUCGAACUUGUUCGGCUGUGUCAUUCCGGUCCUUAAACUCGCAAAUCGACCGUUUAAGUCCUCAAACUUCUUCAUCUGUGUCAUCGCGGUCCCUAAACUCAUAAAUCUCUCAUUUAGGUCCUCAAACUUGUUCGACUACAUCAUCUAGCUCCCUAAACUUGCAAAUCACCUGUUUAGGUUCUUAAAUUUGUUCAGUUGUGUCAUCCCUGUCCCUAAAUGCUGCAACUUAUGUAAACUUGUAAAUUCAAUAUAUAUUUAUAGAACUGUCCAAAAAUUAUAAAUAAUCUAAUUUUAUUUUACUAUAGAAUAAAAGAAAUCACCAUGUACUUUCUAUUUUUAACUUUGUAGUUAAAUGACUAAAUAGGCAUGUGUAUUUUUAUAAAUCAUAAAAGUGUAUGUUCCUAUUUAGUUAUUGAACCAUAGAGUUAAAAAUAGAAAGUAAAUGGUGAUUUCUUUUAUUCUAAUUUAAAGUACAUGUUACCAGGAGUCUAACAAAACUAAAUUUGCCAUUUUUGGACAGUUCUAUAAAUAUUGAAUUUACAAGUUUAAGUUUGAAGACAUAAACAGGUGAUUUACAAUUUAGGGACCUAGAUGACAUAGCCGAACAAGUUUGAGGACCUAGACGAGCAAUUUGACAGUUUAGAGACUGGAAUGACACAGAUGAACAAGUUUGGGGACUGGAAUGAUCGAUUUGCGAGCUUAGGGACCAGGAUAGCACAGCCGAAUAAAUUUGAGGACCGCCAGUGCACUCUAAAAAAAACGCUUGAACCAUAAGGAAACUCUGGAUGACAUGAUCAGAUACGAAGCCUUUCCAAAACUAGUCAAACUGCAUUACAUCCACUAUGAACGAAUAACCUGCUUGCAGGAAUGUGGUUUUCUGUAAUCAAGCUGUUAUGGUGCUAUAAAUGACAUAAAAAAUUGUACCAGCACUUUAAAUCAACCUUGUUUAUGAAAUAUUAUUGACAAUUCACCAUAAUGCCAUAUGCAUGGCCUUCACAAUCAAACACAUAGAUUGAGAAAAAAAAUAUAUGACUAAGAACAGAGAUAGCUCCAUACCUGUGGGCCUAUCUGCAAGCCCAAGCUCCUCGCAAAGCUUAACAUUGUCAGUGUUGUUCUGUUUCUUCUGAACUUUGCGAGGGACCAUAGCAAAAAUACUGAUGAUCUCAUGGAUACUGAAUUCAGAAACAAUGUUAUAUGCGAUGAGGAACUCGAGAAGGCUCCUAGCCAGCGAGUCAAGUUCCCCACAACACUCUGGUCUGCCGAUCAUUUCCUUCCAAUCCUUUGCCACCAGCUUGGCUUGCUCUAUUGUGUCUGCAGAAUGUUUGACAGAAUUCAUAGACAACCAGCGAAACAACCUGAUACAUUUCCCCCAGACCUUGGAGCACUUGAAGUCCUUGCUGGAUAGGAGUAGCUUGACCACUUGAAGGACAAGGGCCGCCGGAUCUGGGGCAAGGUGCAGUGCGAACAGCAACUUUUUAUUGACGCUGACACAUAUCACAAUCUCGAUCAGUGUCCCUGCAUCCAUUCUCCCACAUGCCUCAGCAAAUUCCUUUAUACCACCUGCAGGAAGCCCUCUACGCUGUUUCUUGGUCAUCUUUUCAACCAUCUCCUCUUCAGGUUCAGUAUCCUGCUCUCCAUCAAGCUCCUCCUCACCUUCAGCCUCUUUGCCUUGCCCCUCAGAGACCUUGGUAGUCACCGCCUCUUCGUUGGCAUCCCGCUUGUCAUCCACGCCGCCCUCUUUAGCAUCCUUCGCUUCAUUGCCAAUGUAGCCGUCGGCCUCCUGCAUCUGCUUGUCCGCCUCUUCCUCCUCUUCUUCUACCUCUUCCUCCUCCUCUUCUUCCUCCGCCUCCUCCUCCUCCUCUUCCUCCGCCUCCUCCUCCUCUUCUUCUACCUCUUCCUCCUCCUCUUCUUCCUCCGCCUCCUCCUCCUCCUCUUCCUCCGCUUCCUCCUCCACCUCUUCUUCCUCCGCUUCCUCCUCCUCCUCUUCUUCCUCCUCCUCUUCUUCUUCUUCCACUUUGUUAGCCCCUUCCUUAUUCUCACUAGUGCGGGCCGGGCGCGCGGCCUCGAGCGCCCGGAGCUGGCUGAACCGGCGCGAGAUGGAGGAUUGGACGGUGGAGACGUGGGCGUCAAGGUUCUCCCAGGUGAAGGGGAGCGGGUAGGGCGAGCAGGCGGCCAGGCUGUCGAAGGCCUCGCGCAGGGCGCCCUUCUUGGCAGGGAGCUCGGCGAUGGCCGCCUCAAGGUCCUCCGUCGGCAUCAUCGCCGGCGCCGCCGUCCCCAUGGCUGGGCCUGGGUCGGAACCCGCGGCGAGGAGGAGUGAGGAAAUUCACACUUCACAGCGUCGGAGGCUCCCCGUCUCCCCCAAGUAGCGCUCGCCGUUGGGUCGGCCGGUCGCUAGCGCAGCAGCGGUCGACGAGGCAUCAGCCGCAGGCGACGUCAGCCCGGCAGCGCUUGGGAUUGGGCCCUCUCCGCCGCGGGAACUGGAUCUAGGCCUUGUUUAGUUCACCCGAAAAACCAAAAACUUUUCAAAAUUGUCCGUCACAUCAAAUCUUAGAGCACAUGCAUGAAGCAUUAGAUAUAGACGAAAAUAAAAACUAAUUGCACAAUUUGUCUGUAAAUCACGAGAUAAAUCUUUUGAGCCUAGUUAGUCUAUGAUUGAAUAAUAUUUGUCAAAUAAAAACGAAAAUGCUACAGUGCCGAAAUUCGAAAUUUUUUCAGAACUAAACAAGCCCUUAGUUUCCAAAAAUUUUCAAGAUUCCCCAUCACAUGGAAUCUUUAUACACAUGCAUGGAGCAUUAAAUAUAGAUAAAAAUAAAAACUAAUUGCACAAUUUGUCUGUAAUUUACUAGACAAAUCUUUUAAAUCUAAUUACUCCGUAAUUGGAUAAUAUUUGUCACAUACAAACGAAAGUGCUACAGUAGCAAAAACCAAAAAUUUUCGCAAACUGAACAAGGCCUUAGUUGACCCCGAAAACCAAAAAAUUUUCAAAAUUCUCCGUCACAUCGAAUCUUUUGACAUAUGCAUGAAGCAUUAAAUAUAGAUAAAAAUAAAAACUAAUUGCACAGUUUACCUGUAAAUCGCGAGACGAAUCUUUUGAUUCUAGUUAGUCUAUAAUUGAAUAAUAUACUUAUCACAAACAAACAAAAGUGCUACGGUAGCGAAAUUUAAAAUCUUUUCGCAUCUAAAACAAAGCCCUAUUUUCUUCGUCGCUUUGACCACCGUUUCCCCACAAUUAAGCGGUGGGAAAAUGAAUUAUUUUUCCACAAUACUUGUUUGUGUAGUCACAUGAAUGACGCGUGGCUCAUAGAUUUGCUUAACAAAUCUAUAUAAUUUAAAAUAUCAUCCAGGGAUACAGUCAUACAGAGGGUGAGACAAGGAAAGGGAAAUAGGUGACGGUUAGGAUUAGAUGAAGCGUAAAGAAUAAAUGGCGGGAUACAAAUGGUUUCUAUCCUUAUUAAUCCAACGUCCCAACCAUCAUCAAGGAUUAUGCUAGUGCUUGCAUGCAAGCCUGUGGGGGUAUAAACCCCUAUACCCUCACGGGCCUAUAUGGGCCGCACCAUCAGAGGUGGCUCGGCCCACAAGAUGAAGACGUGCGGCGCACGACUGGUCGGCGUGCACCGCAAGGCUACAAGAUAUUGUACCAAAUAGGAUACUUUGCUUGUAACUCUGUCCCUUCAGGAUAUAUAAGGAGGGGCAGGGGUCCCCUAGAGGACCUAUCACAUCAUAUUCUCUCAACACAAAUCAAUACGACCAGACGCAGGACGUAGGUAUUACGCCAACUCGGCAGCCGAACCUGGAUAAAAAGCUUGUCCGUGUCUUGCGUCACCAUCGAGUUCGUAGUUUGCGCACCGUCUACCGAUAAACUACUACCGUGGGUAUACCCCAAGGUAGACUGCCGACUAGCUUUCGUCGACAGUGGCGCGCCAGGUAGGGGGUGUGCGUACAGCUCUCCCGACGAACAAGAUGGCCAUCAUCCCCGACUUCGCGGCCAUGGCGGGCGACUUCACGUUCACCGUCAGCCUCAACAACUUCACCGCCAUGACCACGGAGGAGGUGUAGAUCCGAUCUGCGCCAACCACUUCUUCAUCGACGUCGGCGGCGGCUUCAACCACGCUGGCUACGGUUUCGACCACACCAGCAGCGUCUCCGACCACGCCGACAAUGCGUCACCUGCUUCCCUACUACAAAGAGAGGCAGAUCGAUGACACCGACCUGCUCAGCCUAUCAACCAAGUUGUUUGGCCUACUUGCUCUGACCACGAGUCGCAAUAAUAAUCGCCGCGAAGAACGGCGCUACGAUAACCGCGACCACCGUCACGAUAACAAGUCCAAAAGCUCGAGGGCCAAACAAUUUUGUCGUCACCGACCAGACUUUCAUCCAAAGAUAAGUACACUUCUAAUAUCUUAUUUAUUUUUGGCAUAAUAUUUUUUAUUAUCCUUCAAAAAACAACUUUUUGUUUAGCCACACUAGUUUUUUCUCCUACACGAGCUUUCCAGAGCCGGUACUGUCUCCGACUCCUCCCUACACGUGCACGAGAUCCGCCCUCUGCGUUCCGGGUGGUCGGCAGUAGCUCUCUGGCGAGGCUGGCAAUCCCACGCGUGUCUAGGUUCCGCACCUCAUGCUGAUUGUUGGCUAGACCAGAGCUGGUACAAGCUCUAGGAUGAAUUAACUACUCGUGCUAAUUUUAUAAUAAAAAGUCUAAAACUUAUCUCAGUGCUGAUUUUUUAUCUAGAGUUUAUUUAUACAUCAUGUACUACCUAUUUUCUCUAUAUUUAUUUUUCAGGAGUUUGGCCCAGUCGACAAGCUACGCUCGGGGACUCGUCGACUAUUCCCUACGCUGUGCCCGGGGACUGCUCCGACCACCGAGCACGUUUACGUUCCCAACCACGCUCGGGGACUUGUCGACUACUCUCUAUGCUAUGCUCGAAGACUGUGCCGACCACCGAGCACGUUUACGUUCCCAACCACGCUCGGGGACUUGUCCACCGGUCCCUACGCCGUGCUCGGGGACUGUGCCGACCACCGAGCACUAUACGCUCGGGGACUGGUCGACCAGCUCACCAAUUUAAGAGCUUGGGGACUGCACCGACCACCGAGCACUAUACGCUCGGGGACUGGUCGACCAGCCCACCAAUUUGAGAAUUCGGAGACUGUACCGACCACCGAGCGUUCUAUGCUCGGGGACUGGUCGAUUAGUCUAUUCAAUUGCAUACGAGCAUGAUAUGCUCGGGGACUGGUAAAUUCAAUUUUUUAGACCUUGCUACAAGGCUCAUACUUCGCCUUCCAGCAAGCUCGGGGACUACAUCGGUACGAUGCAUCUGGUGAUGCAUCUCAGUUUCAGAAUUUCUUUGAGGACUUUUCUUUUGACCCUGGCACCACGUGCCUACGUCACCUACUACCAGGCUCGGGGACUAAGUGGGCACACUUCACCUUGCGGUGAAUAUGCUUGCUUUUUGAAAGACUAUACUUUUCAGAAAAGUAAAGUGGGCACACUUCACCAGGAAAAAAUCUUUUUUUAAUUAAGAGCACCAUGCAUUCUUCGAACAACCUGCUUCUUCGAUGUCAAUGUUGAUCAACUGUCUUUUGAGUUGGUCAAAAUACCGUUGCAACUGUUUGGGCGACUUUCCUGUUUAUUGAAGACGUCAAGCCUCGCUGAUCGAAGAAGCUCAAGACGGCGUGUUACAUCACAAUACAUGGUGCUCGGGGACUAGCUGUGGGGGUAUAAACCCCUAUACCCUCACGGGCCUAUAUGGGCCGCACCAUCAGAGGUGGCUCGGCCCACAAGAUGAAGACGUGCGGCGCACGACUGGUCGGCGUGCACCGCAAGGCUACAAGAUAUUGUACCAAAUAGGAUACUUUGCUUGUAACUCUGUCCCUUCAGGAUAUAUAAGGAGGGGCAGGGGUCCCCUAGAGGACCUAUCACAUCAUAUUCUCUCAACACAAAUCAAUACGACCAGACGCAGGACGUAGGUAUUACGCCAACUCGGCGGCCGAACCUGGAUAAAAAGCUUGUCCGUGUCUUGCGUCACCAUCGAGUUCGUAGUUUGCGCACCGUCUACCGAUAAACUACUACCGUGGGUAUACCCCAAGGUAGACUGCCGACUAGCUUUCGUCGACUGGAGCAAAGUUAUUUACCUAGGACAGGAUAACGAACAACAUUUUUCUAGCAAAGUUAUUUAGGUAGAACAGGAUAAUAAAAUUUAUGUAUCUAAAAAAAAGCCAAAAUGAAAGAAAGGGCUCCGAUGCACAGAGAGGGCCUCGGUUUUAAAACGGAACCAAAAAAAAUAAAAUAUUUUAUAAUUUAUAAUGGAGGAAGUAUAUAUAAUAGAUAUAUAAAUAUUAUUAUAAAAUAAAAAAAUACUCGCUAUGUGGCAAAGGUAACAGAACAACCUGAUUUUUUUUACUUUAUUUCAAGAUAGUGGUAGUUACUUUUAUGACGAAGAUCACAAAAUUUACUCUCACCUACUCUUUUUUUUAUGACGAAGGCCUUGUUUAGUUUCGAAAAAUUUUUGGAUUUUGGUACUGUAGCACUUUCGUUUUUAUUUGACAAACAUUGUUCAAUCAUGGACUAACUAGGCUCAAAAGAUUCAUCUCGUGAUUUACAGGCAAACUGUGCAACUAGUUUUUGUUUUUGUCUAUAUUUAAUACUUUACACAAGAUUCGAUGAGAUAGGAAAUCUUGAAAAGUUUUUGGUUUUUGGGGUGAACUAAACAAGGCCGAAGUUCAUCAAAUUUACUCACCAUCCGUCGCCGGCAAGGCUGGCUGCGGCUGCCACUCAAACCCGCCGAACCCUUGCCGGCUUCCGCAAAGCUUCUGUGAAAUGUGCAAUUGCUGGUCUGCAGCCACUUCCAAGUUCCAACUGCAGCCAGUUCCUAUUUAUUAUAUAUAUGUAGUACUCCAGUCAUUCCAAAUUAUAAGUACCUUUGACUUCAAUAAAUAUAUAUAUAUUUUUUUUACACGUAGAUAUAUACUAAGUCUAAAUAUGUAAUAAAAUGUAUGUAUCCAGAAAAGACAGUAAAUUCGAAUUUGAACGGAGUACUACAUAUAACAUGAGCUGUCUCUCAGAUCACUGAAGUUCUCUAAGACACACACACAAGAAUAUAUACAUGCCAGACUGUCAGGUUAGAAGAAAAACAACUCCAGUCUCCAGUGUACCAAACAAACGAACCAAAACAUACCAGGCUAUUUGUCCAUAGUCCUAACUGAACUCCUGGGCAUAGUCCAUGUUCCACUGGGCGACUGAGCAUCACCACCCAACACAAGCAGGUACUGCUACCUGGGAUAGAACUGUGGAGGGUACAAGGGUGUAAAGGGUCCAAUGUACUCAGGUGCUCCAAGUGGCAUGAACGGUGAUGCACAAUGAACUCCAGGCCAGCCUGGCUGGGCAGGGUAACCAUGAUGGACUCCAUGCAUUGCGGCAUAUAGUGGAAGAUCCAAGUCGCCUCUCAGUGCCGCGUUCCACAUUGCAGGAUAACCCUGUGUUGGUAGCUGGUGAGUGCGUCGCCUCAGCCGUUUCUGACGUUUCUGCUUGUUCUGUUGCUGCUUCUCUUCUGGAUUAUCUUCUUGUUUCCGUUUCUUCUUUCCCGGCUCGUCUUCUUGUUUCUGUUUCUUCUCUUCUGGCUCAUCUUCUUGUUUCUGUUUCUUCUCUUCUGGCUCAUCUUCUUGUUUCUGUUUCUUCUCUUCUGGCUCAUCUUCUUGUUUCUGUUUCUUCUCUUCCGGCCUAUCUUCUUCUUUCUGUUGCUGCUCCUGUCGAGGCUUCCUUUGUUCCUUCUCCGGCUUCUCUGCCAACUCACUCAGUUGCCCUCGCAUCUGGUUUUCUUGUCCCUUUUGAUGCUCCUGCUUCUGCUCUAUCUUAAGCUUCUUCUUACUCUUUGUUUGUUGCUGCUGUGAAUUUGAAGUUGAGGCUGUCAAGGGAUUCUCUAAAUUCCGCUUCUGUUUUUCAAGCUCACCUAUCAAAAUGUUGAUUUCUUCCCUGAUACUCGUCCAGAGGUUGGAGUUGGUGAUUCCCUUCUUAUUAGCCAAAAUAUGUGCCCUUCUUAGAUUGUCAAGCUCCUUUAUUAUCUGCACACAGGAAGAUGCAAAACUAUUAAACUAAUAAUAUAGCAGAGAUCAAGCAGAUUGAGAUGAAUUAUGAAUAUAUAUUUGUCCCCAUAAGAAUAUUACAUGCUAGUCCCUUCUAAAAAAAAUAAUAUUACAUGUUUCAGCAUGAAACCUUACAAGGAAAUAGGCCACUCCAAAUAGCUCAAGCAUAAGACAUUAAAUUUCCCCAUUUUUUCUUAUAAAACUGGGUGAAACAACCAGUCAUGUAAACAAAUUUAAAAAAUAUAUUCUGCCACUAAAAUCAAUUUCUGGCACAUACCUGGAACUUGUGUGUCAUAUUCUUUUGAGGUAUUCCCAUAGCAGUCUGUUUUGCCUUUUCGAUAUAUCCCUUCAGAAGAUGAAGUGGAGGAUACUUGUCCACCAUAUUUAAAACGUGUGCCAACCAAAUAACAUCUAUUUGCUGCCCAUUUCUGAUCAAGUAGUCCAUUAACUCUACAAAAAAAAGGACGAAAGCAGCAAAAACAUUAACAAGCAGACCUUACACUGCAGAUGAGGUGGAGUCAGAGUUGAAAUGAUGGUUGGACAAGCAUUCUGAUGACUCAGCAUGCAAAUAUGCAAAACAGCAAUGAACUAAAUCAUCAACAGAUCAAGUGCAUAGUGAUAUACUCACUGAGGCUAUAAUAUACCCAAAUCAAUCAAAUAUAUCCAUCAAUAUCAUAUUACCAACUAUACUGCUUGGAUUUAUGUCAUGCGAAGGCCCAGUCCAUGAAAUGUACAAAAAUGUCCUUUCGGAAAAUUUCUUACAUGUGAUUUCGAUCAAGAGGUGGCACCGUGGCAGGCUGGCACAAUUGGCAUCAGGUAGGUAUCAAGGAAUAGGUCCAUCAAAGAAUAGGUUCACAUGGAAAUAGCACACGGAAACAGAUAAGUGAUAUAAUGGCGACUCUUAUGCCUCAGAUUAUUGAUAGUUUCAUUAUGAAAACUAGGAUUACUUAAUUAGACCUCUGUGCAUCUUAAGCUACCGACUUGCAUUGAUUGCUACUGCUCACUUGAAGUGAGGAAAAAGUAUGCAAAUUUUUAAAUAUCAUGGAUAACAGGAUAACUACUUUUGCCAUAGUUAUCUGUGAGUUGUAUAGUACAAGGCUGUAAGCGUAAAAAAUAAAAUGUUUAAACCAUAAGACGACUCUGAAUUUAAGUAAUGAGCAGAUAUUAAAGAUCCAACAUAUUAUGUUUUCCCAGCACAGUUUGAGAAAAAGUGCAGAACAUAGUAUAGUUAAUAAUGCCGAAAGAUGUGGUUGUACCUGGGAUUCUAUUGCCGAGCCCAAGACCCUUUAAGAGCACGACAGAUUUCCUCUUCUUCUUGCAUGGGAUGUUACCAAAGAGACAGAAGAUCUCCUUCCUGUCAAACUCAGUUACAAUGUUGUAGGAAAUAAGGAAGUUAAGGAGGCCCCACGAGGCUAGGCUGCCAAGGCCAUUGCAACUCUCUGGAUUGUCAAUCAUCUCCUUCCAAUCUUUAGCCACCCGCUUGGCCUGCUCAAUCGUGUCGGCAGAAGGCUUGGUAACAACUAGAGGUACCAUUUGAAUUAGCCCAACACAGCCUGCCCAGACCUUCCUGGUCUUAACAAAUAUCUUGUUGUGUAGGAAUAGCUCAACUACGUGAAGAGCCAGUGCUGCAGCAUCUGGAGCACGGCGAAGUGCAGCAUGAAACUCUGAAUUGAGCUCGGUGUUGGUGCAUAUGAGCUUGAGCAACCUCUGUGCAUCCAUGUUUGCACAUGCUACGGUGCAAUCAUCAGAUCUACAUGGAAAAGCUCGAUUACCCUGGUCCACAGACACCUCAUUGGCUACCGCCGCCUCCAGGUCCGUAGCAUUUUUGGUAACUUCCACCUUCUCAUGAACGUCCUGCUGUUGUGCUUCCUUCUCCCGCUUCAUGUCGCAAGCCUCCUCCCCUUUGUGCUGCACUAAAGAUACCAUAUUGGCCGCAGUCUCAUCCAUGUUGGUAUCCUGAUCCUCCUCCUCCUUGUCCUGAGAAGCCUUAAAAGCAUCUUUGGUAUUCAGCCCGUCCUUAUCAUUAUCAACCACCUGCAUCUCCUUGUUAUUAGGAUCCUGCUCGUUCACCUUACUGGCCUGCUCGUCCUCCCUUGCCUCCUUAUCAUCCUUCAUCUCAUUGCCAAUCUUCACGUUGGCCGCCUCUUCAACUUCCUCUUCCUCCACCACCCAAAUUUUAUGGUAGUUUGCUUCUUGCAUCUCCUCAUUGGCCUUCUUCUCCAGCUCUGCCAUCUCCUCCUCCACUUCCACCUCUCUGGUCUCCUUCCCGUCCUUUUCAUCAUUGCAAAUCUUAUUGCUACUGGCUUCGUGCAUCUCCUCAUGGUUCUUCUCUAGCUCCGCCACCUCCUCCUCCUCCUCCUUCACUUCCACCUCUUUCACAUCCUUCUCAUCAUUGCAAGCUUCCUGUAUCUCCUCAUCCUCAUCGGCCUUCUUCUCCAGUUCUGCCGCCUCCUCCUCCUCCUCUUCUUCUUCUUCUUCCACCUCCUCCUGGUUUUCUCCCUUCCCAUCGCCGCGAGUUCCACCCAACGCGGCAGCAGCGGGUGCAGCGCCGGCGGACUCGAGCACACGGAGCUGGCGAAACCGCAGCGCGAUUGACGACUGGAGCGACGAGAUGUGGCCGUCGAGGUCCUCCCAGGCGAAGGGGAGCGGCGAGGGGGAGCAGGCGGCGAGGCGGUCGAACGCCUCCCGCAGGGCGUCCCUCUUGCCGGGCAGGGCGGCGAUGGCUGCCUCCAGCUCCGCCACCGUCAUCGCCAUUGGAGCCGGGUGGUCAGGGCGGGCCUGCGCCAUCGGCCGGGAGGGUGUAGCGGGCUGGGGUUUUGGAGCGGCGGCGGAUUGCAUGGUGGUGGUUCCCAUCCCGAGUUCGACGGCGAGUCGGCGAGGAGCGGAACAGACACGUUUCACCUGGGCUCCUGCCUCCUGGCAAGGUUGCGAACGGACCCGGCAGAGCGUCUGGCCAGGCCGGGCCGGGCUAAAGGGCGAAGGCCCAACGGGAUGAACGCAGUUUUUUUUUUUCUCUCAAGGGCAUAUACUCUCAUCCAUUGUGUUCGCAUUGUGAAGUGUUUGAACACUUCUCAAUGCGAAUCCAACGAAUAGAAAGUUGACAGCAUAUGUUUUCAAAAGCAAAAUAAACUUUACUCUAAUAAAAUUAAAGUACCUAAAGAUGUUUUUUUCCCGAUGACGACCAAAUCUUAGAUGACACUCCAAGGAAAAAAUCGACUUGGUUUUGGGAACACAUUUCUAACGUUCAUUUUACAAUUUUUUUCUCAAAAGAACUUUUGUAUUUGUAAAAAUCUUGCACAAAGCUCUUUAUCAUUUAAAUUAAAAAAACUUUAACCUUUUUCUAAAACGAUAUUUGUGUACGACUUUUACUUCAAAAAAGAAUAAAAACAGACUCGCAAGCUUUUAUAUCAGUUUUUGAAAGCUAAGGGGAUCCAUUAUCAUUUUUGCGGGGAGGUAGGGGUGGUUGUUGAGGGGUGAGCUACUAUUUCAACGAAUGAACAAUGUUUUUAUUUUACGAUAAAUUAGCGAAUACUACUUUCAAUCACACAACAUGGCUAAAAAUAAUGCUCACUGAUUUAUUGUGAGAGAAAAGUAUGGGUUUAGAAAAAGGACCGAUAAAAAAUUGACAGAGGGAGCAUAUAUUUUUUGUGGAAUAUUUGAAAGAAAAAACCAAGAAUGAUUCAUCUUCCAAGUAUGGCGAUGCAAGAGUGCAGGUGGUAUUUAUCAAGACAUCGACUUCUACAAUGAUCUGUUGUGAACAAUGUUACAACUUCAGGAGCACCUACCUACCUGUUCCCCGUAGAGGCACAAUGGCGGAGCACUAAAAUCGUGGCUCCGCUCCGGUGGCCCCUCCUCUCUUUUGUUGAUUUGUGUGAAAGACGAAACUAUUUUUAAUUUACCACAGUGAUCAACAAUGUUACACAGUAACUGCGUAGAGAAGUCAAAGCACCUUGGAGCCGAACUAUGUGCUCGGGUCCGGUCAGCUGAAAACGCUGCAUCUGUGGUAGGCUGUUUGGUGGAAAGCUGCAGGGUGCUUUCUACGCUCUCUUUUUUUUUUCUAGCCUCUUUUUGGUUUUUUAUUUCCUUUCGGUGGUCUUUUUUCGUUUUUUUUGUUAUACUGAUAAUUUGGCUUCAAAGCUCUCUCGCUAACUUUUUUUUUUUAAAAAAAACUGCUGAUAUGGAACCUGCCCACCAAAACGCAAUAAGGCCUUGUUUAGUUCCCUUACGAAAAUGUGGCACUUUCGUUUAUAUUUGUCAAUUAUUGUCCAAUCAUAAACUAAAUAGGCUUAAAAGAUUCGUCUAGCAAAUGGAGUGUUUGGUUGGGGUGAUAAAAUUUAACAGGAUAACUAUUGUCCAUUAUGGAUUAAUUAGGCUCAAAAGAUUCGUUUCGCAAAUUAUAAUCUAGCUGUUGUUUUAGUUUUGCAAAUUAUCAUCAUGCUUUUAAGAGCAGACACGGUGUCGGCCCGGUAUCAGGGAACUUGUGAAACUUGAAGCAUCAAGUUCUGUGACUUGUGAAAAUUGUGGCUUUUGGCAAAUGAAAUAUGAUAUGUGAGUAUAUAUUAUGUUAUGUGAAUUGUGAAGUAUCAAUGUCUGUAACUUGAAUGUGAUUUACUUAUACUUUGUUGAAUUUUGUAUUAAAUUUGGUGUUUUUCAUAUAGCGGGCCAUGAGUCGGCCCAAAUGACUAUUGAGCAUCGUGCUUUUCGAGCCGGCCCGGCCCAAAAAUCAGCCCACGUGCCAUGCCUGGGCCAUCAGGCAGGCACGGUGGCCUGUGGAGGCACGGGCCAUAUGGGCACGGGCCCGGGCCGGACGGGGCCGGUGUUGACGGUCCUUAAGUAUCAAAUUUAAUUAUCAAAUAAAUAAAGAAAAGGAUCCAAAUGAAAUCAACAUCCAGACUUAGGGUUUUAUCUGACAGAAUUCCACGAGUUUUGGUGUUUGUCUAUUUCUGCAGGGGGUUAUCACGAAAUAUAGAAGAAAGGCCCACAUGUCAGGAUUACGUAAAGAUAUUAACGUGCUGCGCAAUUAUCUUACAUCUAGAAGACUCCAGAAGCCACGAGACCGAAGCGGAGGCGAAUCGGGGCCAGAGGCAGGGCGCCCGCCCUGACCUACUGGGCGCCCGCCCCCUGUCCAAGUCCAAUCAGGACUCUGCUUUGCGGGAAGUCUCCACCGACCUAAAGGAUGAAUCUAAACCAUACAAUCUAUGUCGGUUUGAUCCAAGGGCCCAUAUUCACUUGGAGGGACUAUAAAACCAGACCCCCUGGCCCCUGGAGGAGAGAGCCUCUCAACCCUAAUUCAUUGUUCCAUCAAGGGAGAAGAAGCCUCUGAUCAAGAUUAGAGCCACCACAUCAAUUAGACAUCUAGAUUAGCAUAGCUACAUAGGAUUAGAACUAGAAGGAGUCAAUCUUCGAUUGGUUUCCGGAUCUGUCAAGAGGAUUCUUGGUAAUUCUCUAAUUGUGUUUCUAAUUGCUUUCUAAUUAUCUUUGUUCUUCAAUAUUAUGAAUAUGACUUUGUUCUACUUCAAUAUAUUGCUUAUGACUUUGCUCUACUUGCUUAUAUUCAAGAUUAUAUUGUUCUUAGUUUAUCAUAGUUAUGUACUUGGCUUAGUUAGAUACGAUCUAUAUACAUGCUUAGGAUCGUAUAGCGUUUAUCCAUCGGAUCCAUGGGUAAAUGAUAGAUAUUGUGUAGGCGUGGUGCUUAUACCGUAUUUAUCUGCGAUUGUACCCAAUAUGCCAGAUCGUGGGGUGGUUCGUGAUAGUGACAGCUUCAUUGAUUCUUAUAUAGUCCCCCACUCGUGUAUUAGGCUGGCAGAGCAACAUUAUUACAGGGGAGUGAUUGCUAUGUUUCUCAUAUUCCUUGCUAAUAUCACUAUGCAUGGGCGUAGUCUUGUCUCGCAAUGAUUGCUAAGUAUGCUUGCACUAACUAUGAUAUGCUAGACUAUAUAGUUAAGAAUAACUUAGGGAAUAUUCUUGUAGUUCGUUCUAAUACCAUGCUAAUGACUUUCUAGAGUAUCUAAUUGAGGUGCUUAUCAUAUUUAUUAUGUGGCUAGAUCAGAUUAGGUAUCCUUGUCACUAUUAUUAUUUCAUAUAUCUUUUAUGUGACACUUAUCCCUGUAUGAAGAGUUAGAUAUAAUGUUCUCAAUUAUACAUGCAAUGAUAGAUGCUCAAUCUCAUAUUCUAUUCUGUAAUCAAUAGUGAUGAUCGCUAAUCCCUUCCCAAUGGUAAAAAUAUAAAUAACGAUACCUGGAAUACUUCCCGGUUAAAAUGCUGCAUCGGUAUUAAUCUGUGCGCUUGCAGAUCCCAUUCAUUAUUUAUUUAGAAGAGCAAUUGCAUAUUUCAAUACCGCGUCUCUUAUAUCAUGUUGGGGAUGACAACUUGGCUUAAGUGGUGUGAGGGAUAGGUUUGGCAUUUUUGGCACCGUUACUAGAUUUAAAGAACUUAGUCUACUUUUGGUAAUGAUGUUAAGAAUACCCAACAAGCAUUUUUUGGUGCCGUUGCCGGGGAAGGUUGAUUACCAAUCAGGAAUAGAAUAAAAGAUUUUGAGUUAUCAUUCGCAUCACUAAUAUGAUUGAGCUUAUCUAUUCUCUCAUACAGUUUUACUCCGAUAUUUUUCUAUUUUAUCUUAUGCAGGGGAAUGUAUGAAUAGAAGACAUCUUCCAGGAAAUUUUGUUGACAAUCCCAAAGCAUUAUUCAAGAAGACGAGAGCCAAGCUAGAGAAAUCAUCAACACUUCAGCAAGAAGCUUCAUCCAAUCAAGAAGAUCACCGGAACUUGUCUUCAGAGUUCGAGGCCAUGGCGAACAAAUCAAUCCGCGAGUUCUCAGCUCCCACUACGGACAACAUCCGCACUGGACCUGCUGCAGAGAUCGAUGGCAACUUUGAGCUCAAGCCUGGACUUAUCAACAUGGUGCAAUCCAACCAGUUCUGUGGGAAGGCACACGAAGAUGCUAGUGCUCAUCUCCAACACUUCCUAGAGAUUUGCAACACAUUUACCAUAUCAGGAGUCCCCAAAGACGCUGUACUACUUCUCCUCUUCCCAUUCUCACUGUUAGGAAGAGCGAAGCAGUGGUUCUAUGCUACAAAGGAGAAGAAUACUACGUGGGCACUCUGCUCAACAAACUUCCUGGCAAAGUUCUUUCCCAUGGGCAAGACCAAUGCUCUCCGUGGGAAGAUUACAAGUUUUCAGCAACAAAAUGAUGAAUCUGUUCCAGAAGCAUGGGAGCGCAUUCAAGACUACAUCCUAGAAUGUCCCCAUCAUGGAAUGGAGAGUUGGCUAUUGAUGCAGACAUUCUAUCAUGGGCUCAGCAACAGUGCCCGAGAGACCAUGGAUGCUGCAGCUGGAGGAGCAUUCUUAUCACUUACUAUACCACAAGCCACAGCUCUUGUAGAGAAGAUGGCGUCCAACCAAAGCUGGAAUGAAGAGAGGACCCAGACACGCAAGAGAGGUGGAGGUAUGCAUCAGCUGAAGGAGGUAGACAUGCUGUCUGCAAAGCUAGACCUGCUCAUGAAGAAGCUCGACGAUAGAGCUGGAGAUAAGAAAGAAGUUAUGCACAUCUACGACUCUCACAUGACUUGUGAGGAGUGUGGAGACACUGGACACUCAGGCAACCACUGCCCUGAGAUGCUUGAGGAUGUGAACUACAUCAACAACAACUACUACUACUACUACUACAACCGUCCUCAACAAAAUCAAGGUUGGAAUCAACAGAGGCCUAACUACUCAGGUAAUUAUCAAGGUAACAAUUCUUACAACAAUAAUAAUUUUCUACCUUUGAGAGAGUUAGUGUCUAAUCAAGGCAAGCUAAUGGAUAAUCUAUCUAAGAAAUUGGCAUCUAAUGAUAAAAUGCUAGAAAAUAUAAAUAAUAGAAUGGAUAAUUUUUCUACUGCCAUCAAGAAUCAAAUUAGCUUUAAUAAAAUGAUUGAAUCUCAGUUAAAUCAAAUAGCUGCUGCUGUUCCUACUACUAACCCCGGUAUACCAUCACAACCGGAAGGAUUAGAAUCUGUAAAUCUUGUAGACAUGUUUGAUGCAGGUAAUUGGAGUAACCCCGUCACUGAAUUCACUACUGACCGUCUGCCGGUCAAGAGAGGCGAUCCAGGACGCCCCGUCAUCCCGAUUUCCAUCGGCAUGGUGGACGUUCCAGAAGCACUCUGUGACUUUGGCUCCAGUGUCAACAUUAUACCCAGGGUACUCUAUGAAAAAUUCUUUAUAUAUCCUUUAUUAGAAACAACCAUGUGUUUGCAGUUUGCAGAUCAGACGAUAACUUUUCCAAAAAGAAUAGUGAGGAACCUUUGUGUCCGAGUUGGUACCUUAUAUGCCCCAGCAGACUUCGUAGUGGUAGAGACCGGAAAUGAUGAGAGAGCACCUAUCAUCCUAGGGAGGCCAUUCUUGAACACCACGGGAGCUAUCAUCUACGCCAGUGCUGCCAAGAUCAGUUUCUACGUCAAAGGGAAGAAGGAGACAUUUUUCUUCAAGAACAAGACUACACAAAUACAAGAUCAAUCCAGACGUAAAUCAAGGAAGAGGACCAACAGGAGGAACAGGAACAAGCAAGUGUGGACCGAGUCAGCUAAGAUGGUCACUGUAGUUCAUGGAGGCCAAGAUCAUCAACUUAAGUCACCGUUUUUGACCAAGAAGGACGACCCAGGAAUGCCAAGCAUCUACUGCUCCAUAAAUGGAUACAACUUCUACAAGACGAUUUGCGACACCGGAUCGGGCGUCAACAUAAUGGACGCAGUCACCUAUCGGCUCUUGUUCGGGACCAUGCCACUAAGACCAACAUACAUUCAGCUCCAGAUGGCAGAUCAGACAUUUCGAGAAGUCAAAGGAAUAAUAUCUGAUGUCCCAGUCAAAAUAGAUGAUCACUUUGUCUACACAGACUUUCAAGUUAUUGACAUGGGAGAAGACGAGUAUGAUCCACCCAUCAUCCUUGGAAGACCGUUCCUCAGCACCGUUAAAGCAAUUAUCUACAUUGGAACCGGAGAAGUCCAUAUGCACUUCCCCUCAGAAAAGGUACGCCGUUAUUUUACUGACCCUAACUAUAUCGUUGAAGAAUCUAAGCAGGUCAGAAAGAGACGCAACCGCAACCAGAGGAGGCAGAUCAUCAAGGACGGAUGGGCAGACUAUGAAGGAGAAGUUGUAAGGUCAGAAGACGUUGAGUUUAAACAGAAUUAUCCAGAGGAGAUUGAAGCACCAAGUCAGGUGUGGAAAAUGAAGAUAACUAUACAAGAAGAGGAGGCGCUACCGGAAGUACCGACUACGCCACCCAACGAACCUCAGGACGAUUAAGAAAAUGGAGAGUCCCGUUCGGAGGACUUAAAAAAACCGAACGCCUUGCCAAGAGGUAAACUUGGUAGUUAUCCUUUCCCUUUCAAUUAUUUCAAAUAGUUUACUUAGUUAAUCAUAUUCAUACUAUCUUAAAAAGAAAAUAAAAAUGUGAAAAACUGUAAGCCCCAUGUGAGUAGACGAGUGGCAUAAAACCCAUAAGUACAUUCACUGUGGUGGCAUAAAAAUAAAAUAAAUAUUUUUCUGCUUUAUAAAAAUAAAAAAAUAUAAAAACAGGGAGUAAAAUUUAUUAAGGAGUCUCAACAUGAUAAAGGCUAGAUAUUUAUGCUAACACUUAAUCAGUUCCAUAAGCUUUGUUGUCUAUUUGAACUCCACAGAAUUUAAGAAUCAAGAAGACUAGCAGACGGAGGACAUUCUAAUCGCUGUCAGAAUGCUGCUGACUUUCAAAUACACCUCUGCCACCUGCUAGCUACAUCAAGAGAAAUUACGUCAAAAUUCAGCUUGGGGGAAAGCACCCCCAUUUAUCUCGAUAAGUAUUUCUAUCUAUCUUCAUACUUAUAUUAUAUUACAAUAUUAAAUAUACAUAAACUAUGGAAAACCAAAUAAAGAGUUUAUGCUUAUAUAUAUAUUUUGCUUAGUGUGUUUAAUAAAUAAAUAAAGUGGCUAUGCUAAUCUGUAUCUAAAUAAAACUUAAGCAUGGAUAUGAUGAAUAGUUGCUCUGCCUAAUUUGCACAUUUUAAGUUCUCUCUCAAGUUUAGAUAUAACUGUUAUAAUUUACAGCUUGCUCUAGACCUAAACUUGUGUGAUGAAAACUUGAUCUGAAGUCUAAGUUGUUAACGGAUAUUAUAUGGGAAGGUUGAGCUGCUGUUUAUCUGUUCCUAGAGAUGCUAGAAUUCUGGAGAAUUUUAUCUUUGAAAAUCUUUAAAAUGUUGCAUGAUGAGUUCCUGUAUGAUGAGAGUUUAAAUUCCUACCACAGCCAUAUAUACAUGCUUGCUAGACUUUGAGACACACAUUUACUAUUUACUGCUUAUGAGCAUUGAGUGUGGUCAAGCUGUGUAGACCCUUAGGAGCUUGUCAUGUGGUUAAAUCAAGAUUUCACUUGCACGUUCACUCAUAUAUGCUACUUCUACUCCGGAAGUACCAUCCACAUAUAUCCAUCCAUUUCCAUCUCCAGAAUCACCCAAAAAUAUUCUACUCCUAAUCCGGGAGAGAAUAACCAAAAAUAUUUCUGUUUUCCCUUUGUGAAAUAAAUGCUCAAGUUAUCUUGUUACUACCACUUGCUAUAUUAUCUCAAGAGAUGAAUGCUCUAAAAAGAAGAGAGAAAAAGAAGAGAAAAAAAAUAUACGAGGAAAUAAAAAGGAGCAAGUGCUCGGAACCUCGAAAGAAAAGAAAAGUGAGACGAGAGGUAAAAAUUGGACAAGUGUCCGACAGUAGAAUUAGGGGUGCAAGAUACCCACCUGAGAGGAAAGAAAAAAAAGAUAGAUCAUUUCAUUCUCAUAAAGUUUCAAAAGCAAGGAAGGUAUGUAUCCCCUCAAAGAGCAAAGUAGAAUUAGACUUCCACCACCAUUGUUUCCAUCAUUGUUGUCACCAUCAUCACCGUACACCACUCAUUCGCCACACAUGCACAUCUUGAUUUGGCUUAUUGAUUUGUUUCUUUGGAUCCAUGGUUUGACUAUGCAAUAAAUGUCUUGUAAGUAUGUAUACUUUAUCUCCCACCUAUGAGCUCCAGAUAUUAAAGCCUUAUUAGAGUAGGGUGACAGAGAAGGCAAUGUCACUCUGCCUCAUACCACAAAUACCACAUAUCUUGAGAGAAGGCAUAUACCAUCACUGCCUUGGUAAGGAUCCAAAAAUACCACAAAAGAGAGACCUGAGAGAAUCAUACAAGGAAUUUCUGAGUUUUAUUUGAAAAUCUGCAAAAACCCCAGAGCUAUAGCUGAUCAAGAAUAAGAGACAUGGCACUUGGCUAGACUGUUCUAUCUUUUAACCACUGUGGAUAGAAGUGACGGUUACAAGUCCCAUGGUGAAGGUAAAGUAAGUAAGUUUUAAGUCUUGACAGUUUACUCUAACUCAGAGAUGAGAUCUUAUUUAAAAAGCAUGUGUACCGUCAAUUUUUAAAGAUAUUGCAACUACUUAUGAUCCAUAGCUGAGUCUAUCCUUGCUCAGGGACGAGCAAGAGGUAAGCUUGGGGGAGUUUGUUGACGGUCCUUAAGUAUCAAAUUUAAUUAUCAAAUAAAUAAAGAAAAGGAUCCAAAUGAAAUCAACAUCCAGACUUAGGGUUUUAUCUGACAGAAUUCCACGAGUUUUGGUGUUUGUCUAUUUCUGCAGGGGGUUAUCAGGAAAUAUGGAAGAAAGGCCCACAUGUCAGGAUUACGUAAAGAUAUUAACGUGUUGCGCAAUUAUCUUACAUCUAGAAGACUCCAGAAGCCACGAGACCGAAGCGGAGGCGAAUCGGGGCCAGAGGCAGGGCGCCCGCCCUGACCUACUGGGCGCCCGCCCCCUGUCCAAGUCCAAUCAGGACUCUGCUUUGCGGGAACUCUCCACCGACCUAAAGGAUGAAUCUAAACCAUACAAUCUAUGUCGGUUUGAUCCAAGGGCCCAUAUUCACUUGGAGGGACUAUAAAACCAGACCCCCUGGCCCCUGGAGGAGAGAGCCUCUCAACCCUAAUUCAUUGUUCCAUCAAGGGAGAAGAAGCCUCUGAUCAAGAUUAGAGCCACCACAUCAAUUAGACAUCUAGAUUAGCAUAGCUACAUAGGAUUAGAACUAGAAGGAGUCAAUCUUCGAUUGGUUUCCGGAUCUGUCAAGAGGAUUCUUGGUAAUUCUCUAAUUGUGUUUCUAAUUGCUUUCUAAUUAUCUUUGUUCUUCAAUAUUAUGAAUAUGACUUUGUUCUACUUCAAUAUAUUGCUUAUGACUUUGCUCUACUUGCUUAUAUUCAAGAUUAUAUUGUUCUUAGUUUAUCAUAGUUAUGUACUUGGCUUAGUUAGAUACGAUCUAUAUACAUGCUUAGGAUCGUAUAGCGUUUAUCCAUCGGAUCCAUGGGUAAAUGAUAGAUAUUGUGUAGGCGUGGUGCUUAUACCGUAUUUAUCUGCGAUUGUACCCAAUAUGCCAGAUCGUGGGGUGGUUCGUGAUAGUGACAGCUUCAUUGAUUCUUAUAUAGUCCCCCUCUCGUGUAUUGGGCUGGCAGAGCAACAUUAUUACAGGGGAGUGAUUGCUAUGUUUCUCAUAUUCCUUGCUAAUAUCACUAUGCAUGGGCAUAGUCUUGUCUCGCAAUGAUUGCUAAGUAUGCUUGCACUAACUAUGAUAUGCUAGACUAUAUAGUUAAGAAUAACUUAGGGAAUAUUCUUGUAGUUCGUUCUAAUACCAUGCUAAUGACUUUCUAGAGUAUCUAAUUGAGGUGCUUAUCAUAUUUAUUAUGUGGCUAGAUCAGAUUAGUUAUCCUUGUCACUAUUAUUAUUUCAUAUAUCUUUUGUGUGACACUUAUCCCUGUAUGAAGAGUUAGAUAUAAUGUUCUCAAUUAUACAUGCAAUGAUAGAUGCUCAAUCUCAUAUUCUAUUCUGUAAUCAAUAGUGAUGAUCGCUAAUCCCUUCCCAGUGGUAAAAAUAUAAAUAACGAUACCUGGAAUACUUCCCGGUUAAAAUGCUGCAUCGGUAUUAAUCUGUGCGCUUGCAGAUCCCAUUCAUUAUUUAUUUAGAAGAGCAAUUGCAUAUUUCAAUACCGCGUCUCUUAUCCUUUUUAUUCACUAGAAGAAGUGUUGUUUACCAAAUGGUUUCUUGAAAACAGUUUCAACUCUACCGGAAGAGUUGUUUUUCAUGCUAAAGCUGAGAAGAUGUUGACUUAUGACAAACAAGCCCUCAGUACAUAGGAGAGAAAGUACUAGUACGGAGUACAUGAUAAUGGUAAGCAGUAUGACAACUACAAGUCCUUUAUUCGAUCCUUUUUUAGAGAAAAUAUAUUGUUAACACUAGAUAAUUUAGUAGCCAGAUAUUCUCCACGUCUUGUGUCGUCGCUACCUCAAAUCCUCUCAGCUCAUGGGCAUCUGUGCCUGUUAGUGUCCCUUGUUCCUCACAAAGGAGCGAUAUUAACCACCAAUUAGCUAUGCACUUUGAAUCACUACUACAGUCAAGUACUGCAGGGGCGGCUAAAUAAGCUCUGUAAGGGCGGCUGGCCCAGCCGCCCUUAUGCAAACGCUCUUACAGUGGAAUUCACUGUAAGGGCGGUUCAACACCAGCCGCCCUUACAGUGGCCCACUGUAAGGGCGAUUGGAAACAACAGCCGCCCUUACAGUGGCCUACUGUAAGAGCGGUUGGUGCUUCCAGCCGUCCUUAUAGUGAGCCUUAGUAAGGGCGGCUUGUGUCUCAGCCGCCUCUAUUGUCUGCAUUUGCAAUGGCGGCUCUAUCUAGAACCGCCCCUACAGUUAUUUUUCAGAAAAAAAAUAAAAAUUACUAUAAUCGAGUUGACAGCACAGCACAGCACCACAUACAUAUAUACAUAUAUAAUCAGAUUCUCAACAUCACAGAUUCACAACAUAAAUAUCCAUACAUAUACACAGCACCACAUUUCAAGUCCAAAAUGUUUCCAUGUCCAAAUCCAUCCAAAAGAGUCCGAAAUUUUUCAGGUACUAAUACAAAUCGAUCACAGUCCAUUCCAACAAGUUCACAUGUAAUCAACGACCUAGACAUAGCCUAUCCCACUGACGGAGGUGCUGGUAAAGAGGAUUGCUACCUAAGUCGGACUGUGGGUUAUGGUAAUCACCUUUGUAAUAAACAACAUGGUUCAUUAUAAAGUUGCAAAGGUCACCAACAAUCUCUAAGAGGUCAUCAUCCCUGUAGACAUCCCUUUUUAGUCCUUUUUCUUCUUUCCACUACAAGAUCGUAAAAGACAAGUUUAGGUCUAGUGUAAAGAAGAGAUUGCAAAGCUAAGUGAGAAAUACUAUGUUUUCAUACUACAACCCACUAAGAGAUUCAAACUUACCAAUUCAGGGUGUCUCCUGUAGCCUUUUGUGUUACUGAUGAAAGCACAUACAUAGUAUCCACAAUGCAGACUCCCUGGCCUUUGCUUGGGAAACUUUGUUUUAAUUUGCAAAUGGAGAUGUGUCAAGUAUAAGUACUGAAAAAAUUAGUAAUUUUAUGCCAAACUAAGUCGCACUUACCGAACAUAGAGAUUUAAAACGCAAGUGGCUCCCCAGACCUGGAUCAUGCCUUCCUUUGUGAUUCUUGACAUAGGCCCUGAAUGCCCUGUUUGAAUAAAAAUCGAUGUGACUUGUAGUAUGGAGAAGUCGAUAUUAAAGUGAAUCAUAUAAGGUUACUAGGAUUACAAAUUUGCUUACGUAAUGAGAAUUGACAUGAAGUCUUUAUAUGUGUGAGGGUCAAAAUCUGCAGAAUCACAAAUCCAUGCCAUGUUCAUCCCGACAUCGAGACCUAUGACUAUCCAGUGAUUGCUACAACAAUUUUAAAUAAACACAUAAGUACCUUUGCAUCAAAAUAAGAUAAACCGAACAAUCGUUAAGUAUACAAUUAAUCGAACUUACUUGAAGUGGUAUGGAAUCCAUAUUGUUUCGAAGUGUUGGAGAUUCUUUAAACAUACGGCAAUCCACGCCGCAACCUUAAGAGACUCUUCUCUUAUUUUGGCCGCACGGAUCUUUUCUUUCUCCGCCAACGUCCCUCCAGCAGCUAGCUGUGGCGCAUCCAAUUCCCAUCUCGAUGGGUAAUUAAAAUUUAUUUGUGCUAUAGGCAUAGGGUCUACAUACCCGGCUUUCGUUGAGCGUGUAGAUUUCAUAAAGUUUGCUUGCAUUCUAAAAAUCAUGACGUAAGUUAGUUUUAGCAAAAUCCAACUAGGUUACUUUCAAAUCAUAUCAAGAGGAAGAGGACUUACAGGCACCAAGUGCGAAUCAGAUUCAUCGACAUUGAACUAAGGUGAAAGCAUGAUUGGAUGUCGCUGAAGUCAAAGGCAAUACCCGAAGCAGGGCCUCCAAAUGUGCGAGCAGGUAUUACUGCUUCCAACACAUUCAAUUCUGUACGUGAAACAUGCAAGUAGUACCAAUCAUGGAACCUUCUCAUUCCAUAUGGCAUCUUACACAAGACCCGGUUUGGUAGGAAACGUUUGCCUUUUACAUAUUCUUUCGGGCAAUCCUUUGACCACUUGAUAGUUUCAACAUCUGGAUACUUUGUUAUCGUUGUGUAGUCUGAGGUGUCAGUGGGCAUCCUGUAGGCAAAUUUGUUCGGGCCUUGGUUCUCAGGCUUGAACUGGUCAUGAGCAUACCACUUGUACAUACCCGAGACAUUCAUAUCCACAAAAGAUUUUGACCCUGUCGACCUUAUCAUGAUGGGGAUCUUUUCACGAGCUUCACAUACUAGAGGGAGUAGUUCUUCAUGUGUCGGCGGUGCUUGUUGAAAAGUCUGUGUCAUCUCAUCAUGGCCUUGCUCGGGGCGAGCUGGAGAAUGUUGUGGCUUAGGAGGCACAUGUGCUGUCUCGUCAUGCUCUGACUCGGCACGAGUUGUAGAAGGUUUUGGGCUAUGAGGAACAUGUGGUGUCUCGUCACGCUUUGGCUCGGCACGAGCUGUAGAAGGUUGCGGACUCUGAGGCACAUGUGGCAUCUCAUGCUCUGGCUCCGCACGAGCUACAGAAGGUUCACCUAUUUGAGGCUCAUGUGGCGUCUCAUCAUGCCCUGGCUCGACCCCUUGCUCACCAGCGGUUGGAGAAGCCGGUACCCUCUCAUGCAUCAAGUGGUCCUCAUGAGACGGUGAAUACACCGCUCCAUCCUCAAGGUGGACUCUCUCCAGGUGUACAUCACUUGGAGUUGGCGAGGAAACAUUCAACACAAUAUCCUUUUUGUACCAGAGGAUGAACUGUUUCAUGAGUAGUCCAAGCUCACGAAUCCCCUCGCUAGUUGGGUGUUCAAUCUUAUGCUUCGCGUACUCGGGAUUCACGGUAUGCACCUCAACCUUACUAUAGUCGGCCGGGACCGGUUUAUGGUGCCAGAUGUCGCUUGGAAUUGGAGGAUGUGCCAGACCCGUUGCCACCUCAGCCAUCUCCUGUCCCCUACCGAUGGGAAUCAACAGGAUGCAACGAGUUGGCACCCGUAUGUGAUCGACUGAGGCGGAGGCUGCAUUGGAACCUUGGCUGCUUUGAACAUUUGGAGGGCUACCAACUAGAACCAAAUCCCUAGGCGGCUCCAUUUGUGACCGUCGCUCAGUAGAGAGUCCUUGCUCCUGUAGUUCCUUGGCAACUAGGGUCUUCACUAGGGUGGCAAGACUCACCUCCCAGUUUCUACCAUGUUUCUUGUACAUCUCCACAUCCUCUCGAAAUCCUUCCUUCCAUGUCUUAUGUUUCCCUAAACCCCUGACACGGCCUGGGUGCUUGGGGUUUCCCAAGCCAAGGCUAAGCUCGUCCUUCUCUCUAGAAGGAGUGAAUGAGCCCUUCUCGAUGUCUUCAGAAUAUUUCAUUAUCCUUGACACUGCCUCCUCGGUCUCUGGCUUGGCAAAUUUCAGACUGCUGCCUGAUUCUUCAAGAUUCCUUGCAAAGAGCCAACGCUUGGUGCGUGGCUUCAAUUUCAUUACUUUUGUAUUCCCAGAAGCUACGGCCUCCUCUUCCAUCUUUCUAAACAUCUCUUCCUUUCCCUCGUAGCCACCGGGGCCUAGAUGAGGGUGGUGGAUGUUCUUCUUCGCCUGCAAGCUGUUCUUUUCACUUAAGGCCAAAGAUUCUGGUGCAGUCUUCUCAGCCACGAGCAACGCCCAGAUAGCAGGAGUGAUGUGUCCAUACUUAUGGUACGGAGUUAACCCCUUUUUGAUGUACUCGGUGUUCAGCUCAUUCCUCCAACGUCGGAAGGAUUCUCCCAUCAUCUUCAUAGCACGUCGUCUUACUGGGGGUAGCUUCUCUGCCGGAAUCCUAAAAUUAAAAUUGACCAACAGACGGUUUUUCCAUAGGUCAUCCUUUAUGUCCUCUGGAUAGUCGUGCCAAUUACGGAUUGAUGGGUUCAACUUGUCUCUGACUAGGGCCCCAAUUGCAUUGCGGAAUUUUGAUUGGAACUCCUUUGGCUUAAGGAUCUGCCCUUCUUCCCCAACCUCAUCAAUCACAUAAACCAUUUUUGCAUUUGGAUAGUGGUUUGGCUUUCUGACCCCUCCUUUCCUUUUCACUUUGGUAGUCGAGGCCGAGGUUGUGCCUUCAGGUUGCGGAGCAGAGGCCACAAUCGUAGUCUCUGUGCCUGUUGCCUCUGCCCUCCUUUCCCUUGCCCCGUCGUGUCCGGCGAAACGUGCCGGACGCCGACGUGGUCUUUUUGGAGGUUUAGGAGGGACCUGUAUAAACAACAGGUGAAAGUGUUAGUAGAGGUAACACAGCCAUAUCGUUACCAAAAUUUAUGAUUUUUUAAGUGACCUUCAUAUCCCUACCUUCUCGUUUGGGUCAAAGUCCUUGUCCAACUCAUCCGUCGUUGGCUUCCGUCUAGGUUCACAUGGGUGUGGAUCCUCAGGACUUUCAUAUCCCGAGGUUGAGUCAUCGUCCUUGCUAGAUCCUUCAUCAGGCUCUUCUCUUCCCGCUUCUCCACCUUGCUCCUCGCCAGACUCCUCCUGAGUAAGCAUAAAUGCUACACCAUUGCCCACUUCUUCAUCAAACUGUUCCUGAGAAAACUGAUCAUGUAUUUCUUGCUCUCUAGGGCUAGGGUGCUCUUCAUGUUCGUUGGAUCGGGCUGCAUUGCUUGUUGUCCGUGUCAUUUCGUGAUUUGUUCUAACAGAUGAAAGGAAUAAAGUGUGCUUUAGUAGUAGUAGUAGUAGUAGUAGUAGCAGCAGCAGCAUUAGUAGUAGUAGCAGCAGCAGCAGCAGCAGUGCUUUAGUAGUAGUAGUAGCAGCAGUGCUUUAGUAGUAGUAGUAGUAGUAGUAGUAGUAGUAGUAGUAGUAGUAGUAGGUUGAAGAGAGGAGAAGAGAGAGCAGCAGUGCUUUAGUAGUAGUAGCAGCAGCAGCAGCAGCAGCAGCACUAGCAGUAGUAGUAGCAGCAGCAGUGCUUUAGUAGUAGUAGCAGCAGUGCUUUAGUAGUAGUAGUAGGUUGAAGAGAGGAGAAGAGAGAGUAGUAGUAGUAGUAGUAGUAGUAGUAGUAGUAGUAGUAGUAGUAGUAGUAGUAGUAGUAGUAGUAGUAGUAGUAGUAGUAGUAGUAGUAGUAGUAGUAGUAGUAGUAGUAGUAGUAGUAGUAGUAGUAGUAGUAGUAGUAGUAGUAGUAGUAGUAGUAGUAGUAGUAGUGUUUAAAAAAGGCCUCAGAAACAUGUCUACCAUCAUUUGAUCAUGAACUUGGAACAUCAAGGCAUCAAAAUAAAGAAGAAGGCAUCAAAACAGAGAAGGCCUCAGUACCAUGUCAAUCAUCAUUUGGUAACGAUGCCAAGUUCCUCACAAGUUCUUGAUCAUCAGCUCAUAUUCCAAAUAAUGAAUGGACUUAGACAAUCUCAUCAUGGCAAAACAAAGGAGAGAAGAAAAAUCAUAGAAGUAGGAGAGAAGAGUAGUAGAAUUAGGACUAGAGUAGAGCAGCAGCUAGCACUAGUAGUAUACUAGUGCAGUAGUAGUAGAGUUGGAGCACAACAGCAGUAGUAGUAGGAUUACAGUAAGCCACAAAUUAAAAUGACAGUAAGCCCCAACAGUAGUGUAGUACUAGUAGAGUACUAGAGUAGAGCAGCAGCUAGGACUAGUAGUAGACUAGUGCAGUAGUGUUGGAGAGAGGAUGAGAGUAGAAAAUAGAAGAGAGAUAGAAAGAGCAGAGAGGAAGUAGAGGUGAGGAGAGGGAAAGGUUUAAAAAAGGCCUUACAAACAUGUCUACCAUCAUUUGAUCAAGAACUUGGAGCAUCAAGGCAUCAAAACAUCAAAGUAGGUUGAAGAGAGGAGAAGAGAGAGCAGCAGUGCUUUAGUAGUAGCAGCAGCAGAUGAGAGGAGAAGAUAGGAGAGAGAACAGACAAAGGAGACAAAUUAGUAAUCGGUAACUACAGUAGUAAAAGAAGAAGAAACUCAUGUGCUCUCAAAUUAGCGGGUUGCUGCUUUAUAGAGCCAUCCGCUGCUCUGUGGUGAUCAUAGAUCAUAGACUUAUAUGACAGUCAGUAAUAGGUUAAGAGAAAACCCAUUUGCACUACAAGACCGAAAACCUCGGGGGGAGGCUAGUAUCCAAUGGCACUCCAUUCGAGACUAGUUUCCCGCCGAAGCUUUCGGUCUAGGAGAAGCUAUGGGUAUUUGACUGUCAUUGUGUCUCACUACACCUUUUGUAUCAUCGAGCAAGAAAUUUUGAAAAAAAAGUAGUACAAGUAGUAAAGGCCUCAGUACCAUGCCAAUCAUCAUUUGAUCAUGAACUUGGAGCAUAAAGGCAUCUUAAUAGAGAAGAUGAGGUCAUAUAGGGGCCGCUGGUAACGAUGCCAAGUUCCUCACAAGUUCUUGAUCAUCAGCUCAUAUUCCAUAUAAUGAAUGGACUUAGACAAUCUCAUCAUCGGCAAAACAAAGGAGAGAAGAAAAAUAGAAGAGGAGAGUAGUAGUAGUAUAGAGGAGCACAGUUUAUAAAACUGUCAUAGAGAGGGUAGUAGUAGAGUUGGGCACAACAGCAGUAGUAGUAGGAUUACAGUAAGCCCCAACAGUAGUGUAGUACUAGAGUACUAGAGUAGAGCAGCAGCUAGCACUAGUAGUAGACUAGUGUCGUAGUGUUGGAGAGAGGAUGAGAGUAGAAAAUAGAAGAGAGAUAGAAGGAGCAGAGAGGAAGGAGAGGUGAGGAGAGGGAAAGGUUUUAAAAGGCCUCAGAAACAUGUCUAGCAUCAUUUGAUCAAGAACUUGGAGCAUCAAGGCAUCAAAAACAGAUAAGAAGGCACUAUAGAGGCGGCUAGUAAUGAUGCCAAGUUACUCAUAAGUUUUGGAUCAUCAGCUCAUAUUCUAAGAUAAUGUAUUGAAUUAGACAAUUUCAUCAUCGGCAAAACAAUAGUAGAGGAGAGAGAGUAUAGUAGUAGUAUAGAGGAGCACAGUUCUAAAAAUGUCAUCAAUUCAAAAUUAUGCUAGUAAGCCACCACAAAUAGUAGUACAGAGGAGUGGCAUAUAAGCAGCCUGCUAUAUAAACAACAGUAAGUACUAAUCAAGAGAUAGUAGACAGCAAGUACUAAUCAAGAGGGACUAUCUUUGUUUAUCAUACUAUUCAUUUUCAGAUAAACGUUGAUGUAGGUUGUUGAACAUAUGACUGAUCAACAAGCCAGCUAAAGUUAAUGGUGAUACAUGGUAUGCUGGUGCUGACUAUUUAGUAUUCGCUCGAUCAGUGGUCAAGCUUGUGGACUGAUUCUGGUCUUUGAAGAACCUAUGCGUGCACAUUUUAGCCAUACUUUCUAUUGAUCUUUGUAGCACUAUAGGUGCAACUGUGUGAUCUGAUCUGAAUUUUGAAAAUAGUACCAUGAUGUGCAUGUCAGUUUAAUCCUCAUUUUCUACUUCAUCUAGAAGGUAAUGUUUACAUUGAUAAAAUACUCAGAAAGAUUUUUAUUGGGAUCAAAUUUCUUUUUUUUCUCAAACAUCUAUUUUCUUUAUUUAUAAACCAUUAUGUUAUAUAUACCACAAAAGAUUGAUAUUAACUCAAUCUGCGAUUUGUGCUAUUGAACAAAAACGACGGUCUGCAGAAACUAAUUUCUGCUGUAUAUAUAUUGGUUCCUACAUACUAAGAUGCAGGUUGGUUAAUCAGUAAAUUAAAACUAACAACUCCUGCACAAUCUACAGACCAAGAUUUGACCCCAUGAAUUACUUUUUGCCUUAGUGUUCAAUGGAAUAAAACAUCCCCAGCAGCAUCUUAGAUCUACCAGUGCAGAUCAUAUGCAGACUACAACAAACUUUAUGUGGUCUGUGGGUAACAGAGGCAGUUCUAGGUACAACAAAUUUUGUCUGGCAUUGAACACAAAGUAUUGAAAAAAAAAGCUCAGUGUGCUAAUGUCUAGCACACGCCACCAUUGGAAUGAACUAGAAUGUGCACACUAGAAUAUUCAUGUUCACGAUCUAUUUUAUAAACAGUACAAAACGUGCCCCAACCCCCAAUCACGGCAGCUGAUGAACCCUAUUGCGUGCUAUCAAUCUGAACAUGAUUAAUUAAGCCCCCACCCCCAAUCAUCGAUCCAAGCACACAACAAAGACAUAAUAUCACACAAAUCUAAUUAGGACUCAAAGAGAGGAGGGGGCGGUACCUUUGGAGGAGAAGGAGAGAAAGUCGCGGACGGGUGGCGGCUAGGGUUCCUAGCAGGCGGCCACGCGUGGAGCUUCGGCCCACCAGUGGCGUCGGAGCAGUUCGCGGACGGAGCAGGUCGCGGUCGGGUGGCGGACGGAGCAGGUCGCCAAGGUCGCGGACGGAGCGGACGGAGCAGGUCGCCAAGAAGAGGGACGACGGAGGUCCCCAACUCGUAGCGGUGGCGGCUAGGGUGGCCUAGGGUUCCCGGUGGCGGCUAGGGUUCCGACCGGGUGACCUAGGGUUCCCGGUAGCGGACCGGUGGCGUGGCACGCGCACUGGCGAAGGGGGAGGGGGAGGAGAGCUCAAGGGGUGGAGGAGUCGGAGCACACGGCGAAGGUGGAGGGGGAGGAGAGCUCGAGGGGUGGCUGCGGCGGCGCAGGCGGGCCAGUUUGGCAGCCUGGCGGCGGCGUCAAGAGGAAGAGUCACGCCCACGACUUAGCCGAAUGGGCCUCCCCUCAGCCGGCCACUAUAUACUUAGGGCACGAACACUGUAAGGGCGGUUGAGGUCUAGAACCGCCCUUACAGUGGUUAAUUACAAAUUUUUAUUUUUUCUAAAAUAAAAUAAAUUUAAACUAUCAUACAGUUUAUACUUAACCUUCAAAAUAUAUUUAUAAAAUAAAACUAAACUACUGUAUUUUUGAUUGAUUUAUCUAUAUGAAGUGUAAAAUUUUAAACAAUUCCAUGUUUUUUAAAAAUAUAAAAAUCAAAUGUUUUUAGAAAUAAAAUUCAGAUUUAUGUAAAUUUGAAUUAUUUGAAACAGUUUUCAUUUGAACAUUUUGAAUAAAACAUUGGAUAAAUUUUCAAACAUUGGAUUUUCAUUUGAGGUCUUUUGUUGCCUAGUUUGACCUAGUUUGACCAAGUCAAACAUUGGAUUUUUGACAAAAUACACUUUGACCGGACCCGAGAUGGUCUCAGAUGUAAAAGUCAUGAAUACAAAGUUUGUUCCCCUUAUCAAGAUGCACAUUUGGUGUAAUGGUCAACUUUUCAUCUGAGAUGGUUUGGACCACUCAAAUUUUGAAAUUUCCAAUUUUGACUCCUACACGCACGUUUUCGGGACCCUAGACGGCCCCAACUCCAAAAGUCAUGAAUAGCAACUUUGUUCCACUCAUCAAGAUCUACAUUUUAUAUAUAGGACAUUUUUGCAUUUGACAAAGCGUUAAGAAAGUGCAGUUCUAAAUCCACAAGUCCCGCAUGUAAUUUCAUAAAGUCUAUAUGUGAUUCAAGCCUUUGUGACUAGAGUUUACAAACACUUUCUCAAAUGCAAAAAUGUCCUAUGUAUGAAAUGUGUAUCUUGAUGAGCUCUAUCUACCUUGUAUUCAAAAGUUUUUCAUUUGAGGUCAUUUACUCACUCGUUUGACCAGGUUUGACCAAGCCACGCCUUGUGUUUUCAAAACAUGUGAACUGAGUUUUCUGUAACUUUUCCAAAUGCAAAAAUAUAUUGUGUAUCAAAGGUAGACCUUGAUGAGAUCUAACUAUGUUGUAUUCAAUUUUUUUUCAUUUGAGGUCUUUUGUUGCCUAGUUUGACCUAGUUUGACCAAGUCAAACAUUGGAUUUUUGACAAAAUACACUUUGACCGGACCCGAGAUGGUCUCAGAUGCAAAAGUCAUGAAUACAAAGUUUGUUCCCCUUACCAAGAUGCACAUUUGGUGUAAUGGUCAACUUUUCAUCUGAGAUGGUUUGGACCACUCAAAUUUUGAAAUUUCCAAUUUUGACUCCUACACGCACGUUUUCGGGACCCUAGACGGCCCCAACUCCAAAAGUCAUGAAUAGCAACUUUGUUCCACUCAUCAAGAUCUACAUUUUAUAUAUAGGACAUUUUUGCAUUUGACAAAGCGUUAAGAAAGUGCAGUUCUAAAUCCACAAGUCCCGCAUGUAGUUUCAUAAAGUCUAUGUGUGAUUCAAGCAUUUGUGACUAGAGUUUACAAACACUUUCUCAAAUGCAAAAAUGUCCUAUGUAUGAAAUGUGUAUCUUGAUGAGCUCUAUCUACCUUGUAUUCAAAAGUUUUUCAUUUGAGGUCAUUUACUCACUCGUUUGACCAGGUUUGACCAAGCCACGCCUUGUGUUUUCAAAACAUGUGAACUGAGUUUUCUGUAACUUUUCCAAAUGCAAAAAUGUAUUGUGUAUCAAAGGUAGACCUUGAUGAGAUCUAACUAUGUUGUAUUCAAUUUUUUUUCAUUUGAGGUCUUUUGUUGCCUAGUUUGACCUAGUUUGACCAAGUCAAACAUUGGAUUUUUGACAAAAUACACUUUGACCGGACCCGAGAUGGUCUCAGAUGCAAAACUCAUGAAUACAAAGUUUGUUCCCCUUACCAAGAUGCACAUUUGGUGUAAUGGUCAACUUUUCAUCUGAGAUGGUUUGGACCACUCAAAUUUUGAAAUUUCCAAUUUUGACUCCUACACGCACGUUUUCAGGACCCUAGACGGCCCCAACUCCAAAAGUCAUGAAUAGCAACUUUGUUCCACUCAUCAAUAUGUACAUUUUAUAUAUAGGACAUUUUUGUAUUUGACAAAGCGUUAAGAAAGUGCAGUUCUAAAUCCACAAGUCCCGCAUGUAGUUUCAUAAAGUCUAUGUGUGAUUCAAGCCUUUGUGACUAGAGUUUACAAACACUUUCUCAAAUGCAAAAAUGUCCUAUGUAUGAAAUGUGUAUCUUGAUGAGCUCUAUCUACCUUGUAUUGAAAAGUUUUUCAUUUGAGGUCAUUUACUCACAUACAUAAAUGUAGUCUCACACACAUACAUAAAUGUAGUCUCACACACAUACAUAAAUGUAGUCUCACAUGGAUACAUAAAUAAAGUCUCACACACAUACAAAUGACUAUUUAUUAGUAUCUGCCGCCGUAACAGUUUUCCACUUCACACCUUUUCGUUCCCAUGGCAAUACAUCUUUGGGUAGGUUUUUUUCCACAACACCGAUCUUGUUAAUAAAGUCUGUGAAUAGCGGCAUCUGAUCGCACUUAUUGUAGGCUUCAACAUCAUCAACGCCAUCAACUUCGAUAAUGUGUUGUUUUCCAGGGAUAACCACAUGCUUAGGUUUCUUCUUUGGGGGGACAAUGCUGAGCGGGUCGGUCAUAUAGAAAACCUGUGUAACAUGUGAAGCAAGGACCCAUGGAUCAUCCUGGUAGCCUAUGUUGUGAAGGUCCACGACCCUCAAUCCGAUUUCAUUGAAUUCAUGUUGCUUGAUCCAGCGACAUCGAAAUAGGGCCACAUUUAGUGCCUCAGUUCCAUAGUCAAGUUCCCAUAUAUCUUCAAUUAUGCCAAAGUAGUCGAUCUUUUGUCCCCCUGCGCCGAUAGCCACUGCUCGAACACCACUGUUUUGGUUCACACAUUUACUAUCCUUUGCGUGGGUAUAGUAUGUGUACCCAUUGAUCUCAUAAGAACUCCAAGAUGUCACCUGUCUUGAUGGCCCCGCUGCCAACUUACUGAUGGUAAUAGAAUCUAUGGUUUCUCCAGGCUGUAUGUUUUGGUCCUUCAACCAUGAAGUUAGGCGUUGCUUGUGUUGUUUCAUGACCCAAUCACCUGUACGACCAUUUCUCUCUGAUUGGAUGAUCUCCAUGUGUUCAUCAAUAUAUGGUUCCAUCAAUUUUGUGCUCACCAAGACAGCGUAGUGCGCCCGACUCACUUCAGCGUAUUCAUUGUCGAUGAAGAUUUUUCUACCAUUUGUGCCCUUCCCGGCCAGCCUACCCUUGUAGUGAGAAUCAGGAAUACCAAUCCCUCUCUGUACUUUUAGGUACUCUUGACAGCACUCGAUGACUUCUUCACUACUAUAGCCCUCUAUCAUAGAGCCCUCUGGGUAUGCACGAUUAUGCACAUAUCGACUUAGAACCGACAUGAACCGCUCAUACGACCACAUUUCAUGCAAGUAGCAAGGGCCCAACGCCUGUAUCUGAUGAACCAUGUGAAUCAUGAGAUGUACCAUAGGGUCGAAGAAAGCGGGAGGUAAACACAUCUCUAGUUGGUUUUGUGUCUCUACGACAAAAUCAUGUAGGUCACUCAGCUCUGUCUUGCUAAUCUUCUUCUGUGAGAUCUUCGACCAGAAGUAGCACAUGCGGGUGAUAGCCAUCUUCAAAAACUCUGGCUUGAUAGCCCUUAUUGCGAUUGGUAGGAACACCGUCAGCAUCAUAUGACAAUCGUGAGCCUUGCAGUGUGGAAAUGAUAGGUCCUUCAUCGACACUAGCUUCUUCGGGUUUGCCGAAAACCCAGUCGGGACUUUGAUCCCCUUCACAGAAGUGCAUAAACCUCUCCUCUCUUCUAGGUCCAGGUUGUAGCUAGCCGCGGGUAGGGUGUAUUUUCCAGUUUUUGUCUCAAGUACCGGGUGAAGCUCUGGCAUCACAUGUAGCUGCUCCAUGUCUCUCCUUGCUUUGAGACUAUCCUUUGACUUUGGUGUGUCCAUCAAGGUAGCGAUGAGACUCUCAAAGACAUUCUUCUGCACAUGCAUAGCAUCAAUGGCAUGGGGGACCUCCAAUUGUGGCCAAUAUUCAAGAUACUGAAAGAAGAUUGACUUUUUCUUAAAAGGCACGCCUUCAAUAGGAGGUGUGCUUCUAUCUCUAGGUGUUCCAUCCAUUUUCUUCUUUCCAUAGAUGACGCUUAUAUUUUUCACCAUUUGGAACACAUAUUGUCCAUCAUGACGUCUCUCCGGAGGUCGAUCUUCAUCCUCUGGGAUGUUGCCAAAAUACUUUAAGUACACUUUGCUGCGGUACUUGUGACCUUGCUUUAAAAAGCGACGAUUCCUGAUGUAAACAGUCUUCUUAGAUCCAUCUAGGUACACCCAUUUAGUAUCAUCCAGACAGACUAAGCAUCCUGUCUUGCCUUUGAUUUGUCCAGACAAGGCAAACAAUGCAGGGUGGUCGUUGAUGGUCACAAAUAUUAUUGCUCUUAAUGUGAAGGUCUCCUUUUGGAAAGCAUCAUACAUCAGCUCCCCUGUCCUCCAUAGUUUCUCGAAUUCUUCCAUCACAGGCUCGAGGAACACGUCCAUAUCAAAGCCUGGUUGCUGAGGGCCAGAAACAAGAACAGUGAGGAAAAGAUACUUUCUCUUCUGACACAACCAAGUUGGGAUGUUGUACAUGGUCAAGAUCACUGGCCAAGUGCUAUGGUUGCUUGUCCUCUCGUUGAAGGGAUUCAUUCCAUCGGUGCUCAAGGCAAACCGUACAUUCCUUGGGUCCGAACUGAACAGUGGGUUGUUAUUAUCGAAGUCCUGCCACUGACUGCCAUCGGCCGGGUGUGCAAUCACAUCGUCAUCGACCUUGCGCUCAUCGUCCCACCAUGUCAUGAGCGCGACUUCCUUAGGGUUCAGGAAAAUACGCCUCAAGCGGUCGGUCACUGGCAGAUACCACAUUACCAAGGCAAGAAUUUUUCUCUUGUUUGCGUCGUUGCCUAAUGGGGUGUCCUCUGGAGGUCGAGAUUCUUGUACCACCUUUUUGGAACCCUUCUUACUCCUCUUGUUCCCGGUGGAGGCUUCUCCGCCACUGUAAAGGUCAUUGUCCUUGUACCGACUUGCCCCACAACGAGGACAUUUAUCCAGACCUUCGAACGUUUCACCACGAAAAAGGAUACAAUGGUUGGGACAUGCAUGGAUCUUUUCAACACCCAUUGUCAAUGGACUUAUGACCUUCUUAGCAUGGUAUGUGUUGGAGGGAACUAAGUUCGGCAGUGGCAGCACAGAUGACAGAAGAUGCAACAGAUCGUCAAAACUGCAGUUUGACCAGCCGUACUUAGCCUUCAGGAUGAGUAGCUCAAGCACAAAACGGAGCAGUGUCCAAUGUGUUGGACAACCCUUCUCAACACCAUACACAGUCUCCUUUGAUGCUGUUUUCACCCGCUCUAGAUUUUCUAGACCCUUCUUCUGUUGUAGUAUUUCUGGUCCAAUGGCCCGAAGCAUUUCCUCUAAGUUGUCAAAGUUUUCUGCAUCCCCCUCACAUGCUCCAACAUCAUUAUUGUCAACACCACCAACAUCCCCAUCAUUAUUGUCGACACCACCGGCAUCAUCACCACGUGCUUGUUCAUUUGCUGAAUCAUGUUGCAUUUGUGCUUCAAACAUGUCUGCGUAUUGGGACAACAAUUGGCCUUCUUCAACAUCGUCUUCUUGGUCAUCAUCGUUGCCAUCAAGAAACAUUACUUCACCAUGAUGAAGCCAUACUGUGUAGUUCGGGACAAAUCCUCGCCUAAUCAGAUGUGAUCUGAUGAUUUCCACAUCAUAAGUUGCUAAGUGGUUCUUGCAAUCUUUACAGGGACAAAUAACUGAACAAUUAUUUCCUGUUGACAACGUCUUUGCAUGAUUCACUGCGAUUGUAAUAAAUUUGUCCACCUCAUCAGCAUAGGCUUGUGAGUACCUUGGCAAACCAUACAUCCAAGUACCCUAUUCUCCAUCUUUACAUAAAUAAAAAAAUUAAUUAGUUGAGAAUAAUUAUUAGCAACAAUUAAUAAGUAACAAUUAUUAUCUACAAUUAUUAGCAACAAUUAGUAGCUAUCAUUAUUAACAAUAAUUGUGUUAGAAAUGAUUAUUAGACAUAAUUAAUAGUACCAAUUAUUAUCUACCAUUAUUAGCAACAAUUAAUAAGUAACAAUUAUUAUCUACCAUUAUUAGCAACAAUUAAUAAGUAACAAUUAUUAUCUACCAUUAUUAGCAACAAUUAAUAAGUACCAAUUAUUAUCUACCAUUAUUAGCAACAAUUAAUAAGUAACAAUUAUUAUCUACAAUUAUUAGCAACAAUUAUUAGCUAUCAUUAUUAGUAAUAAUUGUGUUAGAAACGAUUAUUAGACAUAAUUAAUAUUACCAAUUAUUAUCUACCAUUAUUAGCAACAAUUAAUAAGUAACAAUUAUUAUCUACCAUUAUUAGCAACAAUUAUUAGCUAUCAUUAUUAGUAAUAAUUGUGUCAGAAACGAUUAUUAGACAUAAUUAAUAUUACCAAAUAUUAUCUACCAUUAUUAGCAACAAUUAAUAAGUAACAAUUAUUAUCUACCAUUAUUAGCAACAAUUAUUAUCUAUCAUUAUUAGUAAUAAUUGUGUUAGAAACGAUUAUUAGACAUAAUUAAUUUUACCAAUUAUGAUCUACCAUUAUUAGAAACAAUUAAUAUUAACAACAACUAUUAGUUUACCAAUAACUAUUCAUGCCAACCACAUUACAAAUUCAUGAAACAAAAACAAAAAAAGGAAACCCUAGAUCUAGAAUGCCUUUUCUCUCCAUACAUGAAACUACAAUUAAUCUUCAAUAAAAUCAAGCUAUAUCACCUAAUUGAUGGUGCAAGGUGGUGUCUCUACCUAUUCUACACUAAUAGCAUCAUAGAUAAGCUCUAAUUUGGUCAACACAAAGCUCAAGCUCCAUGGAAGAGAGAGAAAACCAAAAUGUAAAUUGCUCACUAACCAACCAAUAAAACAUGGAUUAGAGGGUGGGAAUAGCAUUUUCUUACCUUAAACAAGCUCCCCACCAAAGGAUUUAAGUUCAAAACCUCCCCCCCUUCCUAGAGUGAUUUUAGGGAGGUGCCCAAGGCCUCCCAAACCUUUUUUUGCGAGUGGAAGUGAGUGGCUCGGGGAGGAAGAAGAGUGGGCUGGCUACUUAUGCUACAGACCUCUGUAGGGGCGGUUGGUGUUACCAGCCCCUACAGUGCCUCCCCCACUGUAAGGGCGGCUGGUAACACCAACCGCCCCUACAGAGAACACUACAAGGGCGGCUGGCUAUCUGGUUCGCUGCCCACCCACUGUAAGGGCGGUUCAAAUGUUAACCGCCCCUACAGUGCGGGGAGGGGCGCUCUCUUAGUAAGUUUUUCACGUAGUGAAUGCAAGUCGUAGCCAGUAAGUGAUGUCUAGUGAAAUUGGUGAAACCAAUCAGAGACCCAGUUUUAUCGCGUAUGGUUGAAACUAAGGGCAGUCUCAAUGGUUGAAACUACGCACGCUUUCCAUAGCUGCCACGUUAACAAGAAACUAUCAAUAGAAACUAUUCCACACAAUGGAAGUUUCUUAGCUUAAUAAAUGUGCUACUUUUGUUUUUUGCUUUCUCUCUCUCAAAUCUAUCCUCAUCCUCACUCUGAGCACGAGGCGUGAGCUCAUGCUCACCAUGGAUAAGCUUGUGCAGCAGGCGAGGGCCUGGAGGAGCCUCACAGCCGGUGUCCACCUCGGCACGGAAGGCUGCAUGCUUGCCACGGAAAGCUGCAUGCUCGUCUGCUCAUGCCCAACGCGUCGGCCAACACCUCGCUGCUCGCUUUGGAUGGCCACGUGCGCGGAUGAGAUGCGUGCGCGGCCAGCGCGUCAAAGCGCUGCGCGAGCGAAGGCAGCGGUGGCGACCGGCGAGCGCGAGUCGCUUGGCAGGCCGUCGACGCCGCCGUUCUCGUCCAUCCCUAUCGGGGGCUUGGGGCCGUCCAUGUCCAUGUCCAUCGGGGGCUUGGGCCAGCGCUGCAACACGCUCGAACGAGGCGAGUACGGCGAACUCCCAUGGCAGUGCGUGGCAGCGCUGGGGGGCGCACGGGCGCGGCUGCUGCGACGACCUCCACAGCGGCAUGGGCGAACGGGGCUGGCGUCGCGGGCAGUGCGGCCGGCAUGGGAGCAAGGGCGGGUGCGUAUAGAAACGGGUGGUUUCUUCCCAACGGGGAUUUCACCGUUUCUUUGUGCAUCGGGACGAGGGAAGACUUCGUUUCCUGAUGAAGAAACGAUUUCUUAUGUUUUGCUUCUUUUUCCUCAUUUAUUGAUCUGCCAUGUCAGCAUUUUUGAUUAGGUGGCAUCUCAUUUAAUAGAGAUAGAAACCACCAUAAAUACCCAUUAAGACUGCCCUUAGGAGCCUUAUUGUGUCGAUCUUCUCGUCUCCUCACGACAUUGAUCAGGAUCAACCUUGGCUGGCGGUGGCUGGCCCACAGCGUUGGGUGCACUAGCAGACCAAGUGGCUGCUGCCCAGAUGUGAGCAAACCGAUGCAUCAAUUCUGAUAUAGCCCGAUAGCGUAUCGGACUAGAUGCAGUCCCCUCUAAGGGCCUGUUUAGAUUGGCAAUGAAAAUUUUUUGGGUGUCACAUCGAAUGUGUCGGAAGGAUGUCGGGAGGGUUUUUUAGAAACUAAUAAAAAAACAAAUUACAUAACUCGUCAGGAAACUUCAAGAUAAAUCUAUUAAGCAUAAUUAAUCUGUCAUUAGCAUAUGUGGGUUACUGUAGCACUUAAGGCUAAUCAUAGAGUAACUAGGCUUAAAAGAUUCGUCUCGCGAUUCUCAACUAAACUGUGUAAUUAGUUUAUUUUUUUAUCUAAAUUUAAUGUUACAUGCAUGUGUCCAAAGAUUCGAUGGGAUGGAUGAAAAAAUUUUGGGUGGGAAACUAAACAGGGCCUAAUCUGGCAACGCAAAUCAGAAAAUCCAUGUAUCAGCAAAUCCAUCACAUGGAUGUACGUAUUUAUUCAGGACUCGCUGACACGAUGAUGGAAGAAGGCAUGCAUUUUGUAUAUAUUGACACUUACAUCUCAUCAGUCACGUCGAUGCCAUGUAGCUUGGGCGCUUGAACAACGACGAGCAGCAGCAACAACACAAGGUGGACGUUAUUGCGGAAAUAUGCCAUGCAUAUGGGUGAUAUGCCUAGCUGCAGAGAAGUCAGGACUUGUUUAACUAAACGAGGCCUUAGCAAAAAUAAUACGGUUACAAUGUCAUUCUAAAGCUAGCUAGUGGGGUAGAGCCACCACCACACAAAUUGAUCCCCUCCUGAAGUAUUUAACUACAGCUCAUGUCAAGUUUAAAAAGCAAAUAAUGGCCAAAUAUGCAUUCUCAAUUAAUUUAUCUCUGAAUCAUACUUCCCCCUCGUUUUCUUUUUAUAAUGCCAGUACACAGUUAUAUAAUACUCUUGUUUGAUUUUUUUUACUAAUAUAAAAGGUUUCUCUAACAACAUAACAUAUAUGUAGAUGUUAUGUUAUGAUGAGAUGAUAUAUGAAAAAAUGGCACAGUUGGGUUAAUAGAUGAAGUCACUUUGUCAAUACAUAUGGUCUUAAUUUGGUUUUUCUCUGUUCUCGAAAACUUCAAUUCCUAGAAUCCAUACCGGUCAAACUUUUAAAAAUUUGACCAACUUUAUAGAAAAGAGCAUUAAUAUCUAUGAUAUAAAAUGUGUAUCUUAUGAAAAUAUAUUCUAUAAUCAAUCUAAUGGUACUAAUUUGGUAUUAUAAAUCUUGGUAUUUUUUUCCUAGAAAUUUAGUCAAAGUUUAAAAAAUUUGACUUAAGACAACUCUAGAAAUUAAAACUUUCAUGAAUAGAAGAAGUACUAGCUAAAUAAAUAAUGGUCAAAUCACGCUCUUAAAGUCAUGUCAAGUUAAAUUACGUCUUGAGCAACACCUUGCAUUUUGAAAACAGAGAGUACGAUUAAUGUUAAAAAAAACUAUUUAUUCUCUGCUAUUUUAGUUAUAUCACGUUGAAAUAAUGAUUAACCAAGCAUGACAAUAAUAAUAUAGAAUAUGCAUCGAGAAGAAAAAGGCAUGCCAACUAAGUACUCCCUCCAUUCUAAAUUAUAAAUCAUUUCAAGAAUCUUAAAGAGUCAAAGUAUCUCAAAUUUGAUCAAAUUUAAAUAAUAACAUAAUAACAUUUAUGAUAUCAUCUAAACAUCAGGUUUUUUAUUAGUUAUAUUUUUAUAGUAAUAUAUAUUUGAUGUCAUGAAUCUUUCUAUUUUUUUAUAAUAUUAAUCAAACUUAAAAUACUUUGUCUCUUUAAGAUUUUUGAAAUGAUUUAUAAAUUGGAACGGAGGGAGUAGUAUUUAAGAAACUAGUGUGCUGAGGAAGUGUCCAUGCCAUGUGGAGAAAGUAUGUGUAGUACCGCUCACGGGCGAAGGAAACUCGACGGUGGCGCCGUGGCAGCGUCGUCGUCGUCGUCGUCGUUGGUCGUCGCCGUCGGUCGGCUCGGCUCCGCAGUGGGUUGGAAGCUGACUGCGGGAUCGCAAAAAAUACUUUGGUCUGGUCUGGUCAUCUGCGGAACAAAUUAGGCUUGUUUAGUUCUAAAAUCUUUAGCAAAAUAAGAUCUGUAGUAUUUUGUAUUUGACAAAUAUUAUUCAACUAGGUAGCGUGUCCGUGCGUUGCUACGGGAUAGCUAACAUUUUUUAUUAAAAAUACAUGUAUCGCACAAUAAGAUAAUAAUAUUAUAAUAAAACUUAAUACUUCGUGAAAUCAAACACGGUCACGGAGAGCACGAUGUUAUAGGCUCACAAAUUCUACUUUAUAGACCUUUCCGUGAUACGACCAAGAUAAUGUUUAAUAUUGGCAGAAAGAAAUCUUUGAUAUCCAUUUCUUUCGUGCGCUGGUAAAUCCACAAAUAAGUUUCGCCGCAUCUCCGUGCCAUCCUAUUACACAUUUGAGUAUAUAUAUGUAAAUUUUAUUGUGUGUCGCAUGGGUAAUACUACGUUAUUUUUAAAAAAAUUCAGAAAAACUUAGACAGAGUGUUAUACUCACGGUAUAAAUGUGUGUGACUUAUGGUCUAUUCCAUGUAGACAUAUACUGUAGGAUGAGAAAUCCACUUAAGUACCUGUAUAAGAUUCACGAUCAGUAAUAUAUAUAAAAAUAUACUAAAUUUAUCAUAUGUAAUAUGUAUCAUUAGUUUGAGCAUAAAAUAUAUUUUCAUAAUAUACUUAUUUGUAUAUAUAAAUAUUAAUAUUAUUUGACAUAUUUUUAAUAAAACUUAAAAAAGUUUGAUUACUUAGAAAGUGAGAUAUGGAUUUAUUUGAGAACGGAGGAAGUAAAUAAACAAAACCUAAACAAGGCCAUUGGUCACAGGCUCGUUCGAAGAAGCCGAGGAGGCGAGCUGGACCUAUAUUUUUUUUUCUUUUAUAUCCGUUUCCCCUUCCUUGCGUUCUCUCCUCUCUCUCUCUCUCUCUCUGCCUCAUCUCUUUUCCCCUACCACCUGCUACUUCUUCCUCACCGUCCCCUACUCCAUGCCACAAGCACCGGUAGAGCUUCCUCCCCGGAGAUUACGAACAAGGAUCUCCCGUCCAGGCAUCCCUCUGCUUCUCCUUGUGCAGCAACACGAUGACUCGCCACUGGCGCUCAUCUCUGCGCAGGCGUGGCGACCCGAUGUCCUUCCGCUACUCCUCAGAUUCUCUGCUUCCUCACCACCGGUCGUAAUCCAAUCCCCUUCCUCAGAUCUCCGCUUCCUGGCUCUCUCGCUCCCUCCCCACUCCCUUCUAACUCCACUGGCCCUCUCUGACUGUCACAGGUGGCUCUUCCUUCAUUUCCUCCUGAUUUGGGGAGGUAGAGUGCGAGCUCGGGCAGAGGCGGCGACAGUCAUUGGGCCCUACAGAGGAAGUUGUGGAGCAAGGCACCGAUGGAGCGCAACGACUCGGCAUAGGCGUGGUGCGCGUUGGCGAGCAUGUAGCGCUGGUGAAUGACCAACACCAGGAGCUCAGAGCGAACCCGAAAGUGGAGCACCGCGUACUCCUCCAUCUUGGGCUGGUCGUACCCCAUGGCGACCCGACCGACCGGGGAGCAGCUGGCGAGUGGCAGGCGCGGAGGCGAGCAGAUCUGGGUGGCUGCCACCUCUUACCGGCUACAACAGGGAGUGGCUGCCACCUCUUACCGGCCACCUCUUACUCGAUCUGUGCCAUCUCUUCUCCUCGACGGCUCUGGCGUCAGCCAGCCAGCCACAACCGAGCCGAGCCAGAUCUGGCGAGGGUCCCUGACGGCGAGUAGGCAACAGUGCGUGGGCACGAUGGUCUCCAUGGAUGGAAACUACUCCCUCGCCACAACGCAACAGUGGUACAAUUCCGUGACCUUGUGUUCGCCUUAAAUUUAUUUAUUUAUUUAUUUAUAUAUGAUUUUGGUUCAGAUGUUUGGAUCGAGAAAUGUGUUUGCUUUGUUCCUAAUUUAGUACAAACGGUUCACUGAUUAGUGAACUAAAAUAAACAUUUGGGAAAAAAAUAUCACUCUAAGAUGGCUGCAUACUAUGUUUUUUUCCAAAAGAGAUAUUUGAUAAUUGCACAGGUUGAGGAUCAAUCAUUCAUGGUAGAGAAACUUGGUAUUAUUUAUCAGUCUCAUCGUGCAAAUAUUUUUGUGCUGUUCUAGCCCUUCUAAUAUUGAUCAGAGUGCAAAUUAAACCCCGAGUCCAGUAGUCAGUUCAUAUAUCAGUUUUGAUAUUUUUCCCAAAUGUUUUAAUCACUUUUGUAUUGUUACAUAUAUAUACUCAUUUAUCAUAGGCUUAGGGCGGAAAAUGGUAACCUGCAACCAAAUGUGGCAAGAUAAUCUUUGUUCCCUGACAUGGAGGUUGCUAAUCUACAAAUAUAAUCUUUGUUCCCUAACAUGGAGGUUUCUUCGCACUUCACGACAUAUAGCACCUUUUCUCCUUGUAGAAUUUAUUGUGUUUAUCUUCCUAAUAUCUAUAUUUCUCAACAAGCUUUAAAAUUGUGCUACUAUUGGGUGUAAGAGAUGGACCUGAUAAGUCAAGAAGUAUGCUCUUAAGUUGCUAUUCAUUUAACUGCUCCACAGUCUACACCGAUAGUCCCACUCAUAUGCCAUGGCAUGAGCGCGGCAACACCACGCCUGGUUUCUAGUACCAUGGAAGCAGUCCCAACACUGAUUACUACUCAGUUUGUUAAGUGUCCCAAUUGCCAUGGUUGACUUUGACAGUUACACCAUUAGGUCAGCAGGAAGAAAAUGCUUGCAAUUGCCCUCUUACAUCUAAUGUUUGGUGGAACCUCAAGUUACAGCCUGUUUUUCGAAAUAAUAUCCAACACAUUUGCAGCCAAUUUUUUUGUGAAUUUUGUGUAACACUAUUUUCCUGCCAAAAUAAGCUCUGGUGGAAUUUUCUUGUGCACCUUUAGCAUUACUUGGUACUAUUUUAGUUUUUAUUAUGUGACAGUUGCACACUUAUUGAUGCCAUGUGGCCUUAAACCAGAGUUCUAACAGUGAAGUGUCAGAUUUUAACUGCUAUUGCACUUGUUUAUUAAUCGUACUUGAUCAAUAAUUAUAGGCCAUCUCAUGGAGAAGAUAGAGGCUGGAAAUGCCCUGCAGAGAGCUUUCAGUGUUUUCCUUUUCAACUCCAAAUUUUAGUUGCUACUACAGGUAUUCACACAACACUAAAUAUGGUUGUCUUGCAUUAAGAUGUAAUGUAAAUUCCACUUCAUGUUCUUGAAUCGCUGGCUGCAGUUCUGAGUUCACUUUGUUCAUUUUCCAAUCAAGUAGGGUAUGCAACCUUUUGCUAUCAUGCUUGGAUUAGGCUCUGUAUGUGAUUUGGACUAUUGAUUUGUGGACAAAGAAACAUUGACCUUUGCUUAUCCUGCUCUAAAUAUAAGUGUGCAGUUUUGGUGUCUUAUCUAAAUAUAAGUGUGCAGUACCUAUAAAUUUAAUGUUGAGCACAUGUUAUAAAUUUACAUCCUUUCAUGGAUAUAAAACAUUAUGUACCAUUCAGAUUUAAGCUACCAUUCAGAUUGAAGCUGUUUUUGACAGUACUAUUCAGAUUUAAGCUAUGUUUUUGACAGUACUAUUCAGAUUUAAGCUAUGUUUUUGACAGUACUUUUCAGAUUUACACAGGACAUUCUGGUUCCUUAAACGCACUAUGUAUUUUUUCAAAUUGAAUUAUUAUAAGCUUGCUAAUAUUAAUAUUACAAUAAUGCAGGAUAUUACCUCACUGCGACUCCACGAGCCCAGAAACCCUCAAGAGUUGGAGCAGAGCCGCUUUGCCGCCGUGCCGCCGCACGGUUGUGGAAUAACGCUGCUAACAAAGCCUAACGCCAACACAGCCUAAAUAUGUUACAUAGGAUCAGUACAUACCCGUACAUUCAGAUGGAUAAAAAUAUGAGCUAUCCCGUAGCAACGCACGGGCAAGCUAUCUAGGAUCAGUAAUUACCUUGCUGUGUCGCUGGGCAGGACGCGGACGUCGCCGCGUCCGGGACGAUGUGUCGCUGGGUAGCAGCCGUGUAGUAGUCCGAAUGGGCACAACGUUGUUACUCUGAAGAAAUCCGCCGCAUUUCCUCGCUGAUCUACCUCAUCGGAGACAUGCCACGCCGGCGGCGCGCAGCGAGGAAAGAGGGCAUGGGGCGGCGCGCGGCGAGGAAGAUUGCAGGGAGAGGCGCGCGAAGGACGAGUGCAGCGGACAAUAAUCGCUGGAGAGAAGAACGAAGGGGCUGGGAGGAGUCGCAGGCGACGGGUCUGGGAGAGGGAGAAAGAGGGAGUCGCAGAAAUCACGGAUUGUUUCCAUCUCCGGUUGGGUGGUAAAACAUGAAUAAUAAUUUGUGUGGGUCCACAAAUAGUGGCGUUUAGAGGGAUACUUAUCCAGGAUGGUCCACGUGGAGUGGCAAUUUUAGGGACAUGAGGUGGGGGCGCGAUGGGGGCGAGGGGAGGGCGCGCGGUCGCAAGGCAGACCGACGGACGGAAGCCUAAUGUCGCACCAAGGGGAGGUCUUACUUUUAUUCUUUUUAUUAGUUGUAGGAGAUUAUAGUUUAACUAGGCUCAAAAGAUUCGUCUUGCUAAUUAUAGGUAAACUGUAUAAUUAGUUGUUAUUUUUAUCUAUAUUUAAUGCUACGUGUAUGUGCCGUAAGAUUCAAUGUGAUGGAAAAUUUAAAAAAUUUUGUAAAUUAUUUUGGAAACUAAACAAGGCCUUUGCGACUCAAGGAAACCAGAAACGAACCAGAAAUUGUGUUACCUCGUGGGUCGCGGGGACGGGCGUCGUGUGUAUAUAUAUAUAUAUAGGGUGGGUUUUCUAUACUCCCGGGAGUAACUACUCCCACCGAGAGAAUACCCGUCAAGCAGGACUCAGGGCAAGUUAACGGGUGGAGUAACAUGGACCCGUUUGUAUUGUUGGCGAGUUGUUCUAAGUCAAACUUUUUAAAUUUUGACCAAAUUUUUAGAAAAAAUGCUAAGAUUUAUAGUAUGACAUUAGUAUUAUUAGAUUCAUCAUAAUAUAUAUUUUUAUAUAAUAUGUAUUUUAUAUUAUAGAUGUUGUUACUCUUUUCUAUAAAGUUAGUCAAACUUUAAAAAGUUUGACUGGCACGGAACCUAGGAAUUGAUUCUUUCGUGGACGGAGGGAGUAUCUACAUGAAUUAAAAAAGGCCGGUGUCCAUUUAAUUACCGGCAAAAACGGAUCUAGGCAACAGUAUACAUUCACUGAUUCACAUAUGGAGAUAUACAUAACAAUGAGAGAGUAUGUAUUCAUACUUUUUGUUUGAGAAUAAAAUAUAUGUGCAUACUUCUAUGAUAAUGGAGUACGCAUGUAUAUAUAUUUCUGUUGACAAAAUUAAACUGACGUAAUACUUAUACGUAGAAAUCAAAUCAUUAGUAAAAAAUCCAAAGAUAAUAUAACCAGCCUUCGUUGCCAAUGUCGGCAACCUAUCCGCAUGGAUCCCUUUGCAGUGUAGGCCUGGUGACAAUUUGUGCUCGCUGCUGGAUGCUCAUGCCAUGGAGAAUGCCAUGAUAGAUACAUCCACCGUCGAAGGCAUUAGUGGAUACUCACCCAUGUAUAUCAUAGGAGCCGCUUGGCAACAGACAAGCAAAUCGAGAAAUGCAUGGAAAAUAAUCAUGUUAAUUAAAUUAUGAAACUAGCGUAUGUAGAUCGGAACUAAAAGAUCAAGAACAAAAAAAAAGAGACCCACCAUCGGUGACUUUUGAGAGAUCCAAUCGCCCAGCCAUAGAGGAGCGCGUCGCCGCCGUGGCCCUGCCAUGGAGGAUGUCUGUCGCGUAGAGGAGGCUCAGUCCACCAGGAGAGGGAGCCCCAUGCGUGGCCUGCUCAUCGGGGACAGGGAGCGCCGCCGCAGCCUGUGCCGUCCGGGAGAGAUGCGAGGAGAGAGAAACAAGAGAUUUUAAAUGUCAGCCAUCAUCUAUGCCUAUAUGUAUACUUGACCCAUUGUCAGCUUGAUCCACUUUUUGCGCUAAUUAUUCUGCCAACCGGAAGUACGCUGAUUUUUUUAAUUCACGCAUAUACGGUAGCCACGCUAGGUACAAAUGGGUUACUUUUGUUUAACCCGUUAACUCCGCUAAAUCAUCGCGGAUGGCCUCUGCUCGUGGAUGCCUAAUUAGAUGAGGGAGUAACUACUCGUAGGAUAUAUAUAUAUAUAUAUAUAUAUAUAUAUAUAUAUAUAUAUAUAUAUAUAUAUAUAUAUAUAUAUGCUAUUCUACACCCUAGGUGUAGAAUACUAUUCUACACCAAAGUGUUAUACUAAGCAAAAUUCAGUAUCGUUCAGUAUUCAUGUUUCAGUAUUGUUCAGUAUUUCGUGGUCUUGGGUGUACAAUUGGUUGAUACUUAACGUUGUUCAGUACUGCUCAGUAUUUUUUCAGCUCAGUUUUGACUUGCGGUGUAGAAUAAUAUUCUACACCUAAGGUGUAGAAUAGCGUUGCCGUAUAUAUAUAUAUAUAUAUAUAUAUAUAUAUGACGCGUUUCUUUUACACGCGCGUGUAGUUACUCUCAUCUAUGUAUCUCUAGAUUUAAGGUGUAUAUGACCGGACGAAAUGUAUAUAGACAAAGUAUAUGAUUAUACUAGACUAUCUAGAGUGAUAUGUAUGUUAAGUAUGCAUACAUACAUAGAGUAUAUGGUUAUACUUAUUGUAUAUAAUAUAGUAGUGGCAUUUUAGUAAUAUAUUUAAAACAUAAUUUUUUUUGAAAAUUUUUCGCGUGGUAAGAUCUAGAGUAUCUUAAUAUGAGUAUAUAAACAUACUCAAACUGAUAAACAAGUAUGAAUACAUACACAAUGUAGUUUAUUGAAGAUGAAAGUAAUUACACGUACGUGUACAAAGGAAUUUCCCUAUAUAUAUGGAAAUUCCUUUUUACACGUACGUGUAGUUACUCUCUCUCUCUAUAUAUAUCUCACAAAUCAUCACAGGCGAAGGGAGCCGUUGAGCCACGCGAAGUGUGCUCGAGUACUGUACAAUUCACGCCACUCCGAAAAAAACACGUAGUACGUGCCUCUCUGCAACGUGCAAGCAUGAAGCAACAACUGGACUAAUUGCAUGAAAAACAAAAUGGGCCCCAGGCCUCCAGGGCCUAGAGUGAUAAAGUGGGCAUCUAAUUCGUUUUGCAGUUACUUCAAUCGUAUGCGCAUAUUUACGGGUAAAAAUAACAAAUAUAAUUUAAAAUCAUGGUGGAGUUAUACUUCAAGUAUGCAUUUGGAAUCAACUUCCCAAACAAGAGGAUAAAACUAUGCAUUUUAUUGAUAGAACAAUUUUGAUUCGAUGCAAUACAUGCCGAUCUUCGGUUUACUCGAAUUCUUCUUCAGGCAACUCUCCCAUCCAACAAGGCGUGUAUGGAAAAUAAUUUCUGAUAUAUUCAUGUCUUUGCCAAGACAUGAAAGUCACAGGCAACAAUGCGCCCAAGUCUUGGACUUUAGAGCUACUCAAAUGAUACGCCAUCACUCUUGUUGAUGAUACAUGGAAGAAGACGAUCUCUUUGUAAGGAUGAAACGCCAUAACUUGAACAAACCUGCGACGCUCUUCAGUUACAUCAUCGGUGGGCAGAAUAAUAUUACUGUCGUUGUCGUCAUCGGAGUUCCAUUCGAAUUCUUGAUCAAGCUGCGCUUCAUUUUGAUCAUCUUGGUGUUGAUCCAGUUGCGCUUGCGCUUCAUCUUCAUCAUCUUGGUCUUCACUUCCAAGGUCAUAUAAGAUCCAGGGUCCACGGCCAAGACUUGGACUUGGAAAUGCAAUCCCCCGACCACUAUCGUGCAUCAGUUUCCACUCUAUUUGAUCGUCACAUGAUUCAUCAAGGAUCCAGAUCCAAAGGCGAUACUUAUCAUCAAGGAAUGCAGAGUAAAUCCCCUUCUUUGACCUUCCUAUCACAAACUCCUGAUGAUCCCCAAAACAUCUUGGGGGUUUGAUUACUCGAUACGUGCUAUCUGACAAUGAUAUUCUGCAACAUAUAUUAAUCAAAGAGAAAUGAUAUCAAAGUCAGAAAUUUUAACCCUUUAAUACUAGGUUUAUAGAUAUGUACUGUACUAGCAGAGGCGGCUGGAAAUAAAAUAAAACCGAAAGUAUACCUCAUGACAAAGUUAGUCUCGCAGUGAACAUAGAGCAUGCCUCGCCAGUAUUCAGCGCGCCCAUCCUCCCGCCAAUUUCUCCACCAGUUUGGCCGCAGGUCGGCGACAGUUCCCGCAGGCUCACCUCGCCGAAGAAACGACCUCUCCUCCCACAGCCCCGUCGCCGACGAGAAGACGGUGAGGAUCCACGGCGACGGCGGCCAUUCUGAAUGCAACAUGGCACCAGCACCACCUCCACCAGGCUCACCAACAUCUUUCGAUUCGGGAGGAACAACGACGUAGGGGACCAUGACCACCUCGUAAUCCGACGAGACCGCGGGAUCAAACGCCAAGAACUCGUAUUCGAGGUGGUGGUGGUUCCGAUCCCGAUCCGUCGUCGCCACCCGUUCGGAGCCCACGCCGGGGCGGGCGAAGAGCAUCGCGCGCGGGAGGCCCUGGUGGUCGUCGUAGCAGAUGACGAGGCCGGCCAAGGAGUGCGGGAGGUCGUCCGCGCACAGCAUGCCGUCGCCGGCGUCGAUGAGCGCACGCCACGCGCGGCAGACGCAGCGGGACACGGCCAGGCUUCGUGGCGGCAGCCGGCGGAGGACGUCCGCGAGCACGUCGUCGGUGAGCAACUCCAUCUUUGCUAUGCUAUCUCAGUCACACGCGACGUCGACGUACGUACGUGGCUAUCUCUAUUCUGAUGAUGACGUGCUCUUGCUUGAUUCCAUGCGCAGGGCGAGUUUUAAGGACUUCCGAUUGGUCCAAUUGGCGCGAGUUUAGGGGGCGAACGCGGCAUGUAUACGGUGUGAGUCUCCCGUCGAGUUCGGAAUCGACUGGCAGAAAUCGGACUAGGAGCCAGUGUCGAUUUAAUUAAAUCAGAGUCGAUAAAACAUUCAGUCGACGUCUAUUACAGUAUAGUUGUAAGUGAUCCAGAAUCAAAUGCCUAUGUUCAUCUACCAAUGGCCACAGACCCUUGUUGCUUUAAGAAUUUUAAAUAUUUAUAUAUAAGAGAAGCUAUACGUAAAAACUAUGCUAUUAAUUUUAGGUGCUUAUUAAUUAUUAUUGUGUUAUAGGGUUCUCAGGUACCAUAACCUAGGUACCCGAAGAAGAGAACUAAAAAUCUCAUCCGCUCCCCUUAGUAGGAGGCCAGGAAAACUAAACAGUCGCUCUUCAUCUCGUACGAGACCUAACGACAAGGCCCUGGGUAGAGCCGAGACCACUCAUUUUCUCCGCCUUGCCCGAGACCCAACGCCAAGGCCUCGAACGAAGCCGAGACUCGGCAAUCUCCGCCUCUCCCAACCUCAGGGUUCGAGCACCCUUCCCCUAUUGGUGCGCUCGAGAUCACCCAUGACAUCACCCAUGAUGGGGCCAUGGUACUACAAGAUAAGACACGAGUCAAAUCCCCAUGCCCGUGCCCAUGCCACACAGAGCAGGCCAUGACGAUCAAUAUGCUAUCUAUUCCCAUCCCUGUGCCACCCGCUCCUAUCAUUGUGCAUACGGCUGGGACCAGGGAAGGCGUUCAAACGUCAAUCCAGGCUCCUGUCACCACGCGCCCGUCAGAGUCCAGGGCAUGGUCCACGACCAGGGAAGCCACGAGUCUCUACAUCGGUCAACAAACAAAGGUCGGCAAGCCUACAACACGUACAGAUAUUCCAUCCACAAGAUAGGCGUGGCUCGACACGCAGCUACAGGGACAGACACGCCUCGUACGACGACUACGACCGGCUACAACACCACAGGAAUGGGAAGCCACUCUGUCGUCGUACUACGCCAUACCUCAGCUCAGCUCUGGGUUCUGUAGUAGCAACACAACAUGUACACAUGUAUCUCUUGGCUCUCCUUGUAACUAUAAAAAGAGAAGGCAGGGUCCAUUCCAAGGACGAGAAAAAAACACAACAAGUAUGAGUUCACAUACACUUGAGCACACAACAAACCUACAACAUCUCCACGUGAGACCUGGGAGCACCCCUCUCUCUCUCUCUCACCCCGCUUAUAACCCCUACUACAGACACUUAGGUGCAAGAUAAUACAAGGACUCCUCAUCUCCUCACUCACUGGACAUAGGAUAUUCUUGGCCUAAACCAGUAUAAAUCGUCUGUGUUCUUGCAUCCCCAUCAGGAUCGAGGACACGCUUAUACAAAUUUAGUCGCCGAUGGUAAGACCAAGUGUCCAAACACCAACAGUUGGCGCGCCAGGUAGGGGCCUUCCGCGUGUGACACCACUUCCUUCGGGAAGCUCUGGAUGGCUGACGACCAUCACCCACUCUGCCUUGGCACAAUCAUCUAGUUUGGGAGCCUAUAGUUCAUGUUGCUUGGCUACGGCUAUGACAUGGUCCUUCUCCUGCCAAGAGCCACCUCUAACGACGAGCCCUCCCCACUCCUUCCAAGCCGCGAGAGGCGCUUAGGACAUCACUCUCGCCGCACUCGUUGAGCACGGCAGAGACAAGGGGAUUCUAGCUCUAACGUCGAAGUCAGGAAUAACCCAACAUGUUUCUCUGGCCCUUCCCGACCGGCGAUCAGCAUACACCCCCUCGAAAGGGGCAUGUCUGGUUUACGCUUGGCCGAGGGAGAGGCGCCGGGAGCACAUAGGAACGUCCCGGCCCCAUGUCCUAGGGCGCCACUGCCACCAUGCUCGGGACUGGCACCGACACGAAGGAGGCGGGCGGCCGCACCAUUCCCACUAUCCUAUGGUAUGGGGAACGCUACGCUGGCCUACUCUUCCUCGACGAGCACCUUUCUAAGUGCCUACAUGGAGCUCCUCGAACAUCACCUACGCUCCACCCUCGACCUCAUCGCAACCCCGCUAGCCUCCACGUACAUCGACUCCGCGGAGGACGGCGAUGCGUGGACCGGUGCGGACUUCACCAGGCUUGGCGACCCUGAGGCUCUGUGCCGAUUCCUUGCAGCAAGCGAUUACUGCUUCGGCUACUUCGACUCCGAUGAGGGAGGUUACGACCACUCCUGGGAGUGCUUCAACCUCAAGAUCGAGGAAGUACCAUCCAGAGACGACGCUAUGGCAAGACCGGAAGAUCGCACUCCGCCUUAGGGAGCGUUACCUUCUGAGCUCCCGAGGCAUCAGGCCGCAGUAUCAGCGCCUAAAGGCCACCGCCGGGCUGAACUCGAGCAAUUACAUGAGCUUGAGGCCAAGCUUGAUGAGAACGGCAAGCGUCUACAGCAACUGCGCAUGGCCCUCGAGCGUGAGCAAGCGGUCCGCGGAGAUGGAGGAACGGCCCGACGUCAAGCUUGCAACGUCAACUGUCGCAUCAUCGAGGACAAGUGGGGCGAUCGACCCCAACUCUUCAACAAGGCCAGCCAAAAUGUGGUGGCAGCAACCAUGCUCUUGCGGAUGAUGCCCGAGCCAUCGACCCUAGAAGGGAGACGGGUCCACGACGACCUCCGCAGACUCCUGGAGUGUGUCACGGUCCUACAGGCGGAAAUCCCCGCUUCUCGACACUAAGAGCCAGAAACCGAGCGACCAGCGUUGCACCCACGUGAGGAAAGGGAGGCAUCGGUUCAUCUCGAGCCCCUAAGUCCAUGGGAGCACAAGGGCAAGACGGUGCACGAUCGCCUCGGAGAGAACAUCGACGCUCGCGCCAUCCUCGACGCAUCUAUUUCUUCAUGUGGCGUGCACAAUAUUUUCCACCGAGCUCAUCUCAUCUCUUAUUAAUUAUAAAAAAUGUGCACAUCAUUCUAUCCUAAGUUCAUGUCAUCGCUUAUUAAUUUCAAAAAAUAUCUAUAUCAUUCUCCACUAGGUCCAUGUUAUCCCUUAUUAAUUACAAAAAUAUCCACAUCGUCUUUAUCCUGUGCAAUAUUUUUAAUCUUUAAUUCAUUAACAUACAAGUUAUCUACAUACGCUAUUUGUUUAUCACAUAUUUCUCUAUAAUGUAAUCAAAUAUUCUAUUGGUUUGUCUUCUAUUAACUUACCAAUUUUUAUGAGAUUUGGUACAAUUAAUAACAUUCAUGCAAAUCAAAUUCAUAUAUACGCAGUAUAUAGAAUAUCAUACACAGUGGCGGAGCCGGCUGAAGAAAUGAGGUAGGGCAGACCGCUAUCUACAUAUAGCAAACUUCACCAAUAUAUCGGUCGAACUAUAUAUGUAUACUAUAUAUAUGUUGGUUUAUCACGUAGCUAUUGUAUUCUAAUAUUUAUUUCAGCAAACAAAUUGUACUGUUUCUAUUGGAUCUAGAUGUUGCUCUGAAUCUCCUAGCUCUUGUUGUUCUAUGGAUUCAGUAACAUUACUGCUUUCACGAGUGCUUGGGGACGAGUUACUUCCACUUGUAGAAAUCGUACUCUUAGUCAUAGUGGUAUAGAAGCUUUUUAAAUCUGCAUAACCAUUUAAUUUAAUUGCUUUCAUAAAUCAGAAAGAUCAACUAAUGAAGCCAACAAUUUCCUAAAAAUCCAUGGCAAUUGGCAAUACCUAGUUUCUUAUAUCGCUUCUGCUUAUGGCUCAAUGGAGUUGGAGUUGGAGCUGUCGGCCUCUGCCUACUUGUGUCUCGGUCGGCUCCAACUUCAUCUCCAUCUCCAUCCAUAAGCACUCACUGGCCACAGGCAAGCAGCUGACCGGCACGACCGCACAGUGGCACUACGGCAGCCACCGUUGUUCGAUCGGCGGAGCAUGGGGCGGCGGCCGGUGGGGUAGAGCGGUGGCCAGAAACCGAAGCCCAGAUGCCUGGAGGCCGAAGCACAGGCGUGGCCGAGCCGCGGAGCUGCGGACUAUGGCCGUGCGGCGCGAAGGCGAACUGAGCCGAGCGAGAGCGAUGCAACGACUAGAUGGGGAGCGGCGCCGUAUCCGUAUGCUAGUCCUCUGCCCGUUUGCCGUAUGUUGCUUGGGCUGAGCGAUGGGUGGGCGUGGGCCUUGUUUGCUAGACGGCCCAGCAGCACAAACUGGAGACUGCCGAACUUCCUUUGUUUUGCUUGACUCCCGUCGCCAUCGUUCUCAAGUCUCAACCAUUCGCUCGAGUCAGUGACGAGUCGGAGCCUGCGCCGCCGCCGGAGAUGGGUUCCUAGAUGUCGUGCUCACCGGAGAGGAGGUAGAGCAGAUGCCCAACCUCGCCAUAUAGGGCUCCACCUCUGAUCAUACAGUAAUGUUAUAUAUACAAUAGAUUUAUUUUUUAAAGUCCUGCGACAACACGUGAGGUAUGCCUUAGUUAAUGAAAUUCAUAUCACAUAAAUUUAAACAAGCAUUCAAACAUUUCAAAAAGGGGCUCCAAUAGUCCAUGAAUUCUAAUUUGGUACCCUAAAUUUGAGAGGGUUAAUGCAACAAAUAUGAAGAUAACUUAGUAAUGCUAUGCAUAUAACAUAUUUAUUUUUUAGAAAUUCUGCAAUAACACACGAGGUAUGCCUCUAGGUAUGAGAUUCAUAUCACAUAAAUUUAAACAAACAUUCAAAUAUUUUUUUUCGAGAACAUGCAAUGGCACGUGUUUCAUUAAGCAGACAAACAUUCAAAUAUUUCAAAAGGGGCUCCAAUAGUCCAAUAUGAAUUCUAAUUUGGUACCAUUUGAGAGGGUUAAUGCAACAAAUAUGAAGAUAACAUACAGCUGAUUUUGCCAUGAGUAUUGUAGAGACCCAUUUAGAUAUUGCAAUCUUGAUCUCCAAAUGAAGGAUUCCAGAUAAGCUUGAAAUAAAUCUCCAAAAACGCUAGACAUUUUUCUGAAGAAGUCCUGCGGCACGCUUGGCCGCUCGAUCCUUUUGGUAUAGAUCGACCAGGUGUUUUGCUGUGCGACAAUUGCGAGACCAGUGGCCUGUACAUCCACACCUGUAGCAAAUCUGUUUCUGCUCCUUCUCCCUCUCCUCUUUCGCCUUCUGAUAGAGUGCCACGAGGUGUUUCGCUGUGCGACAAUUUUCGGCCAGAUGGCCCUUGCAUCCACACUUGUCGCAAAAUAGGGGUCGCUUUGCUUUGUACCUGUCCUUGUUGUUUCUGUUGUUGUCGUCUCCCCGUAGCCCUCCUGCAGGUGCAGCUGCGAUUCCACCGCCUCUCCCCUCGCCGGGCCUGCUCCACGACCUCUGAGCAACAGCGACCUGUGCUUCAGGCACAGGGCGAGAGCUCGUCGGACGGCCGCCAUGGUUUUUCGAAGACCAUUCCUGCUGUUUCUGCGGCGAAGAAACCGGCUCAUGCUUGGGCAUGUGCUGCUGCUGGAGCACAUGCCUGCCGGCAUCCGGCACAGGCACAGGGUGUUCCCGUCUACUGCUAGCCGGCACAGGGUUAGUGGCGCUCAGGUCACGGCGGG
Molecule: long non-coding RNA, 130539 nt
Filed under: Sorghum bicolor (sorghum)
Lineage: Eukaryota; Viridiplantae; Streptophyta; Magnoliopsida; Poales; Poaceae
Description: long non-coding RNA (SBIC_LNC000285)
Source: RNAcentral